Molecule: long non-coding RNA, 123133 nt
Filed under: Solanum melongena (eggplant)
Lineage: Eukaryota; Viridiplantae; Streptophyta; Magnoliopsida; Solanales; Solanaceae
Description: long non-coding RNA (SMEL_LNC000095)
Source: RNAcentral
UUUGAAAUAAGUUUAAGGAUGAAUUUAUAUCUUUUUGGUUCAUGUAGAAUUUAAGUUUAAAGGCUUCUUUUUAUCAAAAAAAUAAUAAUAUGAUAAUCACUUGUCUCUUUGUUGCGUGUGAUACAUUGAUUAAUCUAUUUUAAGAUAUUUUAAAAGUAAUUUACUUUUAAACUUCAAUUUUGACCUACAAUAUUUAUUAUUAUAAUUUAUUUUGGCAAUAAAUAUUCUUAAAAUAUUUUUAUUUCUUAAAUUUCGUAUUCAAUGUAAAUAAAAGACAUAUAUUAAGUCAAAGGAAUAUAAAUUAAUGACUUGAUAUAUAAUAUAAUAUUGUGUGUCAAUUUUAUUGUUUGAUUUAACUUUGUGUGAAGGUUAAGAAAAUAAAAAAUAUUUUCAAAUCUUGUAAUUUAAGUUAAAAUAUGAAAGAAAAAAAAAAGCAUCAAAAUGUCCUUUGAACUUAAUUGUAGUCUUAAAUAUGACAGAUAGAGAAUUGAAAUUAAACUAUUAUCCAUAUAAAAGUGACAUUCUUCGAAAAAUAUUUACCGUUAAAUAUUCCUUCAUAAAUAAAUAUUUUUUUCUAUUAAAUGUCAUUACAAAUUUUCAAGCACCCAUAAUUUGAUAAAAUUCAUUAAUCAACGACAAUAAUAAUUAGUUAUUUUUUAGUAUAUUAUUUUUACAUGAUAUGAACAAUCUUAUCAUGUUAGGGAUAAUUUUUUUCAUUAAAAUAAAAUUAUUUGAAUUUUCCUUUCCCAUGAUCGCAAAUCCGGCCUACGAUCUAUGUAGACUCUAAAAACAAAUUCUUGCAACGGAAAUGUUGAAAAAUUGUGAGUUUGUGAUGAGCCACCAAUAUUAGGGAAGCACAUACAUCAGCUUCACGUCCUUCCAAUUUUUCAAUUAUUAAAUUAUUCAUUCUUUCGUGAAAAAAAAUAUUUUUUUAAUGUAAAAUUUUGUUUCAUUUUUCUAUUUUUUAUUUUUUAUUUUUUCUACCUAUCUUGAAACUAUAAAAAUUAUGGAAGCUCUUAAAAUUAGGUAAACAAAAGAACAGAAGAGUUUGACCAUGCGAUUCUGUGCUUAAGCAUGUUAAAAGAUCAGAAACAUCUAUCAGAAUUUGGUCACCGAUUUAAAAAAUUAUAAUAUCUUUUUUAUUUUAAAAUAUAUAGAUUUUUUUUAUUUUUAAUUAAAAUGUAUUAAAGUUAAAAGGAUAAAAAUAUUUAAAAAGGUAAAAUAUUAUUCUAAUCAAAAUUUCUAGCUAAAAUUGUUCCUUUAUUAUAUUAUAUUGCAUUUGCGUAUAAAUGAUAGAUUAAUGAUAAAAUUUUGUAAAAUGCCUAAAUUUCAUAAACGCUAACAUUAUAGUGUUGUGAAUUGUCCACUUCAUAUUCACGAGUCUUUGAUUUCAAUUUUUCCAAGACAAAUUUAACAUAAAAUACAUCAUAAAGGUAGCAAAUUAACAACAUUGUCAAUAGUAUUAUAAUUUUUUGACAGGUGCCUGUGAAUAAUGGGAUAGGGCAUUGUUAGGGGUGACAAAUGAUUGGAUUGGAUAGGAUUUGAAUAAAUUGAAUAUGAAUUUAGCAAAAAUAAUUUGGGUUACAACCAUCCAAAUAGAAUAUAGACAAAUAUGCAUUCGAUAAAAUGGUUUCAACCCAUUCUAAAAAAUCUAUUUUCAAAAAAAAAAAAAGGAAUUAUCCCUCCCCCGGCACCCGCUUCCCCCUCCCCCCUCCACACACCUUCCACCAACGUACCCCUAAUUUUUUUUUGUUUUUCAAAAACAAAAACAAAGAACUAUUUUUUGCAAGAAACAAAAUAAAAUUUUACCCCCUUGGUGGAAGUUGGGGGGGGGGGGGGCGGGAGGGGAUAAAUUUAUUUUUUAUUUUUUUUCAUAAACAAUUUUUUUUUUAAAAAAUAAAAUUUAGUGGUAGGUUGGUGCAAGGUGGGGGGGGGGUGGGGUUUCGCGGAGGGAAGGGGGUAGAUUUUUUUUUUUUUUUUUAAAAAAAAGAAAUUAGGGGUAUGUUGAUGGAAGGUAAAAAAAAUUUUCAAAAAUACUUUUUUUUAAAAAAUAAUAAUUAGGGAGGGGGUAAUUUUUUUUUUUCAAAUAUAAUUUUUUUUAAAAAAUAAUUAGGGAUAGGUUGGCGGGGGUCUGGUGGGGUGCCUGGGGAGGGGGUAUUUUUUUUUUGGAAAACAGAUUUUUUUUAAAAUGGAUUGAAACCAUUUUAUCCAAAUCAUAUUUGCUCAUAUUUCUAUUUGGAUGAAUUGUAAUUCAAUUUUUUUUUCUAAUUCAUAUUCAAUUCAUUCAAAUCCCAUCCAAUCCAACCAUUUAUCACACCUAUGGUGAGGGAAUUUAAGAAACACAAUCUUUUGUUGGACUUGAAACUUUAUUAUAUUUUAUUUACGUUUCCAAUAUAAUUUUGAACACUAGUAAUAACACUGAACGGAGUGAUAACAUGCUUUAAAUUUUCAUUUUACUCAUAACUAAACUAGCACUCCAUAACAGGAGUGUCAAAGAUUACAAGAUUUUUAGUAAAUAUUGAAGCAGCAUAACUUUUGGACCUGGGGACAAAAAUACGUAUGAUAAGAGCUUAGUGCUUCGGAUGUUUUGAUGAUCUCCUCACAUGUGCAUGGACCUGGUCCUCUGCAGAGUAUGAAACUAUUUCCAGCUGUCAAAAGCACUGGACAACUGUAAAUGCUGUCUAUAUCAAGAAGGUUGGUGAAGAGCAGUGUAUUUCACCAAUCAAAAUCGACUAGGUUGUUUGCAAUGGCGCAGCCAAAAAAUUCAUGAAGGGUAUCUGUUUUAAUACGGUUUUCGAAAAAUAAGUAUUUUUUUUUGUUUUUGAGACUUUUUAGAGUCGCCACUUAAUUUUUGACAAAAAUCAAGAAAAAUUGAUUUUCAAAAGAUUUAAACAGGAAACCUAGUGAAAACUUUAAGGGGGGUGGGGGGUGGGGGUGGAGGGUUCGGGAAUUAUUAUUUAUAUUUUAGGAAGGUUUUAAUGGCACCUAAAAUAUUCGCUAACGCGCGAUUAUCCGAUAACUAACUUAGUUUGGCUAAAGAAAAAUCUAACUUAUUUUGGUAAAAGUUAUUUAGAAUUGUUUGAAAGUGAAUUCUUGGCUUUUUAUCUAAGUGAACAUCUAACUUGAAAAAUUUAUUAUUUUAAAAAUAAUUAGAUGAAUUUAUUUAAAAUUCUUUUCAAAAAAUGGGACAAAAUCAAUCUAUUAUAUAACGAGUUGCCUACUUUGCAAAUUUUAUCAUUUUUUUUAUAGUCUAUUCAAAGAUGAUCAAUUUAGUUAGGAUAGUUAAAACAUAAAGGCAUCUUGGGAGGAUUCGAGGUUUCCAACUCUACAUCUAACGACGAAUAAGCAGAUAAUAAACGAAAAUAUAAAGAAGAGAGAGAGAGAGAGAGAGAGAAUUGGGUCGGGAUCAAAUCCGAUUUCUGUCCACCUAGACCGGUAUUUGGACCCAUUUCGCUUUUAGGCAUUAGGCCUAUUCGAUUUGUACCUGUCCUAAAUUCUAACAAGGUAUUGAUACAAAAGAUAAGGACUUAAACCCAAAAUAACAAAAUACAACUUUCAAAAAAAUAAAUUUGAGCCUUGGUGGACCAAUCUCUUCACUUCUUCCACCUCAAAUCCUUCAAUUUCAAAAACCUGUACGUCGAUUCCUAAUGGUCAAUUGACUCAAUGAGUGAAUUUGAGCCUUUACGGCUCUCUCUGAAAUGCAAGAGGGAAAGCGAUAGUUCAUGGCAAACUCGAACGGUUUAUCCAUGCAAACAAAGACAAAUGGAUUAGUAAGCAACUUGUUGGAACAAAGUUAAGAAUUUUACUUCAAACGGAUACUAAGCUUCCAUAAGAACAAAGAAGAAAGGACUCUAUGGUGAUUAAAAUAAAAUGUCAGUGACAUGUGGGGACCAAAAUAAAGUAAAUAAUUAUCCUACAAAGUCACCAUAGGAAAGAUAAAGAUACGGUUGGAUCACUCAUUCAACACAAAAGAUAAUUACUUGAAGGAAAGAAACCUAUGUUCCAAACAAACGCUAUUUCAAAUAAGGAUCAACACAAAUCGCAUCUACAAUAGGUCAAAAUAACCUGACAGAUGGUAACACCGCGAUAAAGAAGAAAGAAAAUUCAUAACUGCCUCUCCUAAUUCUAACAGAAAACAAGGAUUCAAACUUUUUUACAACUCAAAUAGCAUUUAAAGUAUCCACAGAUAGCGAACUAAGGAGUCGAGACAUUUAGUGCGGGAAUACAUUAUGCAAUCCGGAUUAUAUAUGCAUUCGUUAUUCUACCUCAAGUGCGAUUAACCAUGGCAACAUGCCUUUACAAACAAAAGAAAGCUUAAGAAAAGAGCGGGCUAAAAGGCGUUUGUAAUAAGUCAAGAGUUGAACAAAAACAUAACUUGGACAAAGACCACGAGAGAUAUAACUAUGCAAGUAGAACAGUGAUUCAAGAAUUUUUCUAAGCGCAAAUGAUUACUGAAACAAGCUUGCAGAAGUGCAAAAACAGGAAAGGACAACGUGUCAAAGUUGAAGGAAGCUGAAAACCUCCAUGGAUGAAAGCUUGAUUGGAGAAGAAGCAUUGAAAAUGUGUGUGCUAUUUUCAUUGAAUCCAAAAACUGAAAACUGCACAGUGGUUAUAUAACAAACAAAAAUAGAAAAUGUAACUAACUUUCUGAACCUAACUAACUAAUUAAUUGAUAACUAACUAACUACACUAACAGCUAAGUGUAAUUACUAAUUUAACCUCAAUACCCCCCUCAAAUUGGAGCAGAGGUGAUCGAACCAAUUUGUCCAGAAGCGUAGAGUGCUUAAUCCCAGUAAGUGCUUUGGUAAGGACAUCUGCCAACUGAUCAGUAGUAUCAAUAUGAUGCAGUGUAACAAGCCCUUCUUGGAGCUUUGAUCUCACAAAAUGGCAAUCCACUUCUAUAUGUUUCAUACGUUCAUGAAAAACAGGAUUUUUAGCAAUAUGUAUGGCUGCUUGGCUAUCACAAAACACAGGAAAUGGUGCAGUCUGAUAUAUAUUCAGCUCCUCAAACAAUCUUUGCAGCCAAGUUAAUUCACCUAUUACCUUUCUCAAGGAUCUGUACUCUGCUUCAGCUGAAGAGAGUGAUAUUGUCUCUUGUUCCUUGGACUUCCAGCUAAUAGGACUAUCUCCUAACAAUACAAUAUAACCACUAACAGAUUUCCUUAAAUCAGGACAGACAGCCCAAUCAGAAUCACAAUAUGCUUGUACUUCAAAAUUUGCAGCAAGUGACAUGAAAACACCUAGAGUAGAAUCUUUCUUGAGGUAUCUUAACAUGUGAAAAGCAGCAUGUAGAUGAGGCUCUCUAGGGUUUUGCAUGUAUUGACUGAGAAGUUGUACACCAUAAGUGUUGUGCGGAAUUUGAUAUAAUACGAGAAAAUAUAAACGCGAAAAACAAGACAACAGAUUUACGUGGUUCACCAAUAAAUUGGCUACGUCCACGGGAAGAGGGGGAGCAGUUUUAUUAUGGAGAGGCAAAAACCAGAAUUACAGAAUAGGGUUUGUCAUAGCGUCUAUAUAUAGUGCUAAGCUACGCCCUAACAGGCUUGGGCCCAACAUACAGAAUCAACAGAAAAUAAAGGGCCCAAUACAACAACAUUGUAUACCCCCGUCCUUUCUGUUUGUAGCGGGUCUGAUUCAAGGCAUUCAACAAUAAGCAAGAUCAAGCCUAGUAUGUGUAAGGAAAUUCAACUUGCCAAUUAGUUUUCUAUAGUAAGUAGGGUCAUCCAGAACUUUCCCUUCAUGGGAUCUUAGCUUGAUAUUUGGAUCCAGUGGAGAAGAUAAAGGAGCCAUGUGAUCACAAUUGAACUCUUUGAGAAGAUCCAACACAAACUUUCUCUGAGAAAUCAAAAUUCCAUCAUCUUUGUACAAGACUUCUAGGCCUAGAAAGUAAUGUAAUCUGCCAAGAUCUUUGAUCUUAAACUGAUUGUCAAGGAACCUUUUGAGCUCAUCAAUUUCAUCAGUGUCUGUUCCUGUAAGUAAAAUAUCAUCUACAUAAACACCUAGAAAGACAUUAGAUGCACCUCUUUUCCUGUAGAACAGUGAAUAGUCAUGAAGAGAAUGUUCAUAUCCUCUUGUGUGUAGCGCUUCAGUCAGUUUUUCAUACCACUGCCUACUAGCCUGCUUUAGACCAUAUAAUGACUUGUUAAGUUUGCAAACCAAAUUCUUGUGAGGAGUGACCAAACCUGUUGGUAUGUCCAUGUACACUUCUUCAUGUAAAUCUCCAUGUAGGAAGGCAUUGUUAACAUCAAGCUGAUGUAUAUUCCACUGUUUCUUUGCAGCAAUAGCAAUAAGUGUUCUCACAGUGGUCAUCUUGACCACAGGUGAGAAGGUUUCUGUAUAGUCUAUCCCAUGAUGUUGAGUAUAUCCCUUUACUACAAGCCUUGCUUUAUACCUUUCUACACUUCCAUCAGCCUUGUGUUUGACCUUAUACACUCACCUACAACCAACAGGCUUCUUAUCCUUUGGUAGGUUUGUGAGAGUCCAAGUAUUGUUGUCAUGCAGGGCAAGAAACUCUUGUGUCAUAGCCUUUUGCCAUGCAGGAUCCAUAGAUGCUUCCUCAUAUGAAUUAGGCAUGAGAGACAUUCAUUACAAAACACUGACUAUCAGAAUUAAAGACAUCAGGAGACACAUGAUGUUUAAGAGUAAAAAGGGCACUCAAGGAUGAAGAAGGUGGUUGUGGUGGUUGUGAAUUUGAAACAGUUGGGGAUGGUACAUUGUGAACAUAGUCAGACAAAUAUGCAGGAGUCUUAUGUAGUCUUUGGGAUCUUCUAAGUUGUGGUAUGGAUAGUGAAUUUUCAGGUGUGAUAUAAGCAGGUGAUGUGGAGGUAGUAGGUGAAGUGGUGGGAACCUCAGUGGUUGCUUCAUUACUGGAAUGAUUUUGAUCAUCAUAUGAUAUUGGAUAACCAUGAAGAUACACACAAUGAAAAAAAAAUUUUGGAAAGUGAGUAGGAUCUUUAGACAUGACAAAAGGAAAGAUUGUUUCAUGAAAAAUUACAUCUCUAGAGACAUGGAUUUUCUGAGUGGAUAAGUUCAAGACUUUGUAACCCUUUGUAGCAUAAGGAUAUCCAACAAACACAUGUGGUAUGGUUUUGGGAUCAAAUUUAGUUCUGUGAGCUUUUGGAAUAGUAGGAUAACAUAAACAUCCAAAACUCUUUAAGUGUGAGUAGGUAGGUUUGUGUUUAUAUAAAAUUUCAUAAGGAGUUUUAUUGUUAACAGGAAAAGAAGGUAGUCUAUUUAUAAGAUAUGUGGAAGCAAGUAUACAUUCACCCCAAUAUUUCACUGGGAGUUUAGACUGGAAAAGAAGAGCCCUUGCUGUUUCAAGAAUAUAUUUGUGCUUUCUUUCGACCACACCAUUUUGUUGAGGAGUAUAGGGACAAGAUUUCUGAUGAAUGAUCCCUUUGGAUUGAAAAAACAAAGUGGUUUCAUUGCUAGUGAAUUCUAAACCAUUAUCUGAUCUGAUGGUUUUAACAGUGGUGUUGAACUGGUUCUCAACCAUGAGUAUAAAGGCUUUACGGAUAUGGAAAGCAUUGCUUUUACUACUUAGAAGAUGUGUCCAGGUAGAUUUACUAAAGUCAUGUACUAAGGUAAUGAAGUACUUGAAGUUGUCAUGAGUUGGUGUGUGAUAUGGACCCCAAAUAUCAACAUGUAAUAGUUCAAAAAUGCCAGUAGUGGUGUGAGUUUUUGGUGGAAAGGGUAAUCUGGAUUGUCUUGCGCCAUGGGACAUAUAGGACAGAAGAAAGGUUGUUUUGAUGAGAAGUUUACUGGUAUGGAGGAUAUAUUUUUCAUCUUCACAAAAGGUACAUGUCCAAGUCUAUAAUGCCACAACAAAUCCACACUAUCAUUAGGAAAGGAAUUAGAACUAAAAGAGUUGUCAGCAACAUUGUCUUUAUUACCAACAAGAGAAGAAUUUAUUGCAUUUGAAUGAGAGUUACAUGAGAGAGAUGUACAUUGUACUUUAUCACUGGAUAGAGGGUAAAGAGAAGAGGAAUGAUGUUGAGGAUGUGAAUUCUUUUGUAGGCAGUCUGAGCAGAGGAAGUAAAGGCCAUCAUGCAUCUUACCAAUUUUCAGAGGCCUCUUCAGUGAAGGGGCCUGCAACAGACAAUAAGUGUUAGAAAAAGAGACAGUGCAUUGGAGAUGGUUUACAAGAGAGUUGAUGGGGAUUAAAUUGUACUUGAAGGAGGGGGCAUACAAUACUCCUGACAGGAUGAUUUUAGGUGUAAGAUGUACAUUACCAACCAUUGGGAUUUUGACUCUAUAUCCAUUUGGUAAUCUGACUAACAUAGGAUAAGGUAGAUUUACUGUAUUCACAAGGUUAUUUUUGUUAAAAGUCAUGUGAUGAGAAGCUCCUGACUCUAGAAUCCAUAGGUCAGUCCUUGUUUUGAAACACUCAGAUGAAAGUUUAAUAUAAUUAGGAGAAAAAGAACAAGCAAAAGCACCUGCAAAGUUCACAGAUCCACAUACUCCAUCAUUUUGAAACUAAUUCAGGAGGUGAGAAACUUGAUCAUAUUGCUCCUUGGUGAUACUGAUAUUCUCAUUUCCUUGAGGAUCAUUACAAGAGGUUGAACUUGAUUCCUUUGUCUGCCCACUGGCAUCUUCAUCACAGGAUAGUCUUACAGAGUUUGUUGAUGCACCUCUUCCUUUAUUGUUAUGCCUUGGAUUUGAAUAUGUGUUUUGAACUGUGUUCCUUGGAUUUUGCUGAUCACGAAUAGAACCAUUUGUGUCAUUAGAUGGAUAGCCAUGCAACUUGUAACACUUUGCUCUAACAUGUCCUUGCCUUUUACAAAAAUCACAAAAAGGCCUUCCUCUUGGUGUUGUGUUGGAGGUAGAAUAAUUUGUUUGAAAACUUCUACCUCCUGAACUUGAUGAAACUGCAGCUAGAGAACUACUCUCAGUAAACAUUUGAUUAUUUGGCUUAAACUCUCGUUGUUUUUCCUCUUGUACCAGUAAGGCAAAGGCUUGUGCCAGGGAUGGUAAGGGAUUCAUCAUCAAAAUACUUCCCCUAAUCGUAGUAUAUACCACAUUCAAACCCAUCAGAAAUUGAAUCAAACGUCUGUCUUGCUCCGCCUUCUGAACAUUGGCUUUAGCUCCACACACACACACACAACUACACUGACUUGAAACACAUAAACUGUUUAAUUCCUCCCAAAGUCUCUUCAUCCAAGUGUAAUACGUUGUGAUAUCGAGAAUACCUUGAUUAAGGUCAUUUAUCUCCUUUCUGAGUUUGAUACAAUUUUGCUCCAUUUGCCUGAUCAUAUCGAUCCUCCAGUUCUGUCCACAGUUCCAAAGCAUCAUUGACAUAUUCAACACUACCAGUAAUAUCUCGAUCUAGAGAAUUGAGAAUCCAUGAAGUGACCAUAUCAUCACACCUCACCCAUCCCUCUGGUCUCUUACACUCACCAUUGAUGAACACUAGCUUGUUCUUCACUGACAAGGAACGAAGUACACUACAACGCCAUGAAUGAAAACCAGUACCAUUGAAAGGAAUUGGUACAAGUACUGCUCCAGGAUUAUCUGAGGGAUGAACGUAGAAGUGACUCCCUGCAUCAAUCCCAGAUGGAGGAACACUGUCUAAUCCAGUGCUCGUAGAGGCAGAAUUUGCCAUUUAUGUCUCAAAGGAAAAUUUAAAAAUUUACAGAAGAUGAAGUAUGAAGAUCUGAUGCGCAGAUUGAAGAAGAAAGAAGCAAGAAAAUCAGAAACAUUCCUGCUCUGAUACCAUGUCAAAGUUGAAGGAAGCUGAAAACCUCCAUGGAUGAAAGCUUGAUUGGAGAAGAAGCAUUGAAAAUGUGUGUGCUAUUUUCAUUGAAUCCAAAAACUGAAAACUGCACAGUGGUUAUAUAACAAACAAAAACAGAAAAUGCAACUAACUUUCUGAACCUAACUAACUAAUUAAUUGAUAACUAACUAACUACACUAACAACUAAGUGUAGUUACUAAUUUAACCUCAAUACAACGUACAGGGUUCGUAGAAGUAUUUAACGGAGGAACAUGAACAAAAAAAAAACCAAAGAGAUGCUAAUGAACGAGACAGACAUUACUACAACAAUUUUCAACAGAGAAAUUGAGCUAGUGACUUGCUUCAAGAUCAGCAACAUAAACCAGAAACUUGCGAGAUCAUUAUUUGCAACAAUAAAAAUAAAUGUUGAUAAACACCUAAGCAAACAAUAAAUCUUAUAUUUAUUUGAAAAUAAAGGAUAAACAUCAUCUAUUAAGGAUGCGACUGCACUGUCACUUUAUCUAAAUCAACUAUUUUACAAAAUUUAAGCAAGUUAGCAGUCCAAAAUUCACAUAAUCAGUUCAGAGCGAGAUAUGAAUGGCUUGAGGUCCAAUGUCGACUAUCCCCGCGGAAUCGUAACAAAACUGAUGCAAACCAAAACUUAGCAAGACUAUUUCUAGAUUGUUUAUGGCGAUGCUAUGAGAAAACAAAACAAUAGGACAUACAAUUAUUGUGGAGUCCAAAUACUUCUAUAUCUUACUCACAUGGUGAAGGCUGGUCUCGGAACGGGCAAAAUGACCACAAUCUCAACGGCACAAACAGAGAGAGAUAUCAAAAUAAGAAAAUCUAGACUUUCUUAACGAAACAAAACAUGUUGUCUUUGCUCACAAGAAUAAGCUGAAAAUAGUAACUUCAAACCAAACACAUCUUAUGAUCUAACUUAAAAUCCACAGCGAAACUAUAUAUCAAUCCCAUAAGGAGCAAAACAAGAAAAAAGAAAAGAUUACGACUUAUUUACCUAGUUAUGGGCAGCGAAGUGGGAUGACGACGAAUAGCAGACCUCACCACACAGGAAAAUUCGAAUAUAGAUCAACAAAACGAGGGCUGAAAACUAGUUCUUUUUUUUUUUUGUUUUCUUUUCGAGUGUAUUCUUAUAUAUUUGGUUGUUCUUAGUUACGCUGCUUUCAAAAGCUUAAAAAUAGGACUUCGCUAAACCGGGAAUCUCUAUGUAUAUAUAUCUUAAUUUAAAUUAAUGUGUAACAUAAUCAAGUCUAUGAAUAGAAAAAAAAAACGGUUCUAUUAAUUCGAAGAUUCUACUCUAUGUAAUAGGAAAAGACAUCCGUUUACUCUUUUGUAACUCCUAAAUACUAAUCAACAAAUAGGCCUUUUGUAUCUCCUAGCUCAACUACUGCUUAUCCCCAUUAAUUAGCAUUUGAAUUAAUUGGUAAUUAACAAUUAAAAAUUAAAAAUAUAAGAAAGAGGAGAUGUUACUCCCAGAUUAUUUCUGGAAAAUGAAUAACAACAAAGACCAUCAAGCUUUGAGGUAUGUUUCCUGACUAGCAAAUCUAUCUCUUUGUUUUUUCUUUUUUAACUUAUUUUUAUUAUAAACCUUAAAUUUCAUGUAGCGAAUAAUAUUUCUAUGAUAUAUAGAUUGUUUUGAACGAUAGUAUGAUUUGUAGGCGAUUUUCUUACAUCUCACUUUUAUAGAAUAUCAAAUUUGAUUAUACGCGAUUUCGUUGCAACCAUGAAUGGAUAGCUAAUUGCACAUGCAAGCGAGCACCUUAUACUUAAUCUAUCAUAACUAAGAAGGUCUUAUAUUUCAUGGUAACUUUUUGUACUUAUAAAAGCUUUCUAAAUUGUUUAAAAUAUUUCAUUGACUAGCUCAAGACGUCGAUGCGCCACCAGAUUGACCAUUUUGUUAUCAACAUUGUAGUCGUCUUUCUUUUAUUUUUGUCAAAUAUUACGAAUGCUAAGGUUUUAUUCAAGAAAAGUAAUGAUAAGUUUUUUUUCGUUGUUAUGUUGUUUAUUAUCUUAGGAUAGUGUACAAUAUGCAUACUGUAUGCACAUUGAAUAAAUUACAUAUUUUUCUUUUGAAGUUAAUCUUAAUAUUGUCAUUCACACAGAGUUGGUGGCCACGAGAAUUUUGCAAAAAAAGUGUUGUCCUCAACACUUUAGUACAAUGAUUCAAGAUUCCAUUACAAUAUAAUAUUGUUGUAUACUUUCCUUAAGUUCUUUUAAAACAAAUUAAUUUGAUUACACAUAUUUUUCAUGUAAUAGUUCUCAUGUAAUAUUUCUUUAUUGGUCAUUAUUUUUCCUAUUAUUUUAUGUCCUUCGUUCAUUUUUUUAUUUUAAUGAUUGUUGGAGUGUUUAUAUCCCAAGAAACUUCAGUCUUGGGGCCUUGGGGGUUAUAAUUUCCCUCCCCCCCCUCCCCCCCGUCCAAAAUUUUAUUUAUUGACAUUUAAGUUCUAGGCAGAAAGUAAACUCUUUUACUGAUUAGACAAAAAGUAAACACUAAAAAGAGUUCAUUUUAUAUGCACAAAAACACAGAUAGGAGUACUUCAGACAAUGUUGAGCAAUUUUAUAUCAACAAGAGUUGAUCUUAUAUAAAUUAUAACAGCAACAAAGGUCAAACGUGCAAGGCACGUUUUCAGAACUCGUACAAUUAUAUAUGAAAGAACUCAGUUCAUAUACCUCUCAUAAAGCGUAACAGCGUGCAAACUUUCUUCUCAGUUGUAUUAAGGGUGUGCAAAAUUAAAUAUACCACAUAAUUUUUCGGAAUAAGGUAUGCACUGGACCACCCUUCACCUAAGGUGGCUCCGCCCAUGUACUUUAUAAUAUAGAAUUAUCCAAUUUAUGGCAUUUUCAGCUAUUAUUAAACAGAUAUUGUGUCUUUACCUCUACAUAUUGCUCUGAUGAAGGUGCCACAGUAUAAUAGGGUCUUUCGUGGCAAAUUCCAUAUCCAUGCCCUUGGAACUUCAAUUGGUUGUUGAGUGGACUCUUCAUCUGCAAAAAUCUGUGUAGAUCACAUCAUUAGUAUUUCUCGAACAAAGAGUUAUAUGUGAAAUGGUUGCAUGAUUGAAUACAUUAGCAUGAAAUGAAGAAUAGAAAGUAAAAUUCACCUCAUUUACUUGGAAGUAUGUUUCAUUGAGUGGAAAUUUUCCCUUAUUUAUUGUUCGACACAGAAUCUGAAGAUGAUAUUGUUAGUGAAAAAAAAACUUACAAGAUAAUAAAAUUGCAAAAUUACAAUUGAAAAUAAAAUGAAGAAAGUAAUCUCUUCAGGCUGAGGCGCGUAUAUCUCGCUCUCUUUAAGGAGAUUCAAGCCCACUGCAGCAAAUGUUUUCACCGGUCCAGCAGUAGUCCUCUUUGACUUGUCCCCUCCAGGAUACAACAACCUUCACAAAGUAUAACUCAACAACUAUGGACAAGAGUUGAGUCCAAAUCUCCACAAAAAAGAACACCUCCCUUCAACUAAUAAGAAUUCUCUUUUAGACUAACUCUUUCACUCUUUGUUUUCUCUUGUGUUUUGUGUGUCUCUAAGACCAAAUGAAGACUAUCACUAUUUAUACUACAAGAAGUCUUCCUAGCAUUGAAUAGGAAGAUAAUUGAGGUAGUAAAUAGUGAAUAUAAUGGUCUUAGGAGUUUCAUAGGUUACAAUGGAAGUUACAAAGGUUACAUAAGUUACAAUAGGAGUUACAUAGGUUACAUAAGUUACAAAGAGUAAUGGAGGAAUUAAGAAUGAAAUACAUUGAUGGAUAACCAAUGCUAAUGGAUGAUGUAGAAGUCAUCCAUUCCAAUGUUCAUUCUUAUAACUCCAAAAUAAAGCAAUUUAAUAUGUUAAAUAUUAAUAUUAAAAUGCUAAUAACCUAACAAUCCCCCGCUCAUUUUAAUAUUUAGAUAAGAGAGUAUAUCAGUUGAAGGAAGACUACUAUGCAUAAUGAAGGUGUGCUCUGCAUUGAACCUCCACUUAGUGAAACAGUAACUUUUACUCCAGAGUCGUAGUGGUCUCAGACUUGAACUAUGACUGCUUAAGGGAAAUAAAAUAUCACUGCUCACACAUAAUAAUCAAGGUGUUGACAUGAGAUUUAACAGCCAGCACGUUAUGGUCAUGUGCUAUCCCGGUUUCAUGAGUACAUUUGAAAAUAAGCCCCAUUCUCAUAGUAAGCGACCUACUUCCACACAUCACAUAGGUGAAAUCUAUCGAGAGUGCUCCUGUAAGAUUAACACUCCACCCAUACGGGCUAAAAAUAUUCAUUAAGAGUUUUAUCAACUCAACCUUCACAAACUACAGGAAAUAAUGCACUCACAUCAUAGGGAGAGAAAAAAAUAGUGCAUUUUUCACAACAAGUCAAAAUAUGAUUAGUUUUUCCCUUUGAACCUGGUUAUAGGAUCUCUAGUCCCCGGGUUGGGUUUCCUCAUAUAUAACUCAAGGAUUUGUAGGCUUCAAUCCCAUCCCCAUCGAUGUGCUCCAGACCUUUUCUCUUGUUAAGGCCUUCGUAAGAGGAUCUGCAAGAUUAUCACAAGAUUUGACAUAAUCAACAUUUAUGGUACCAUUUGUCAAAUACGAUCUUACAUUACUGUGUUUCCUCCUUAUAGGUCUGGAUUUACCGUUGUAAUGAUGGUUUUGAACUCUACCAAUUGCAGCGGUGCUAUCACAAUGAAUUAAAAUAGGAGGAAUUGGUUUUUCAAAAUAAGGAAUUUGAAACAAUAAAUCUCUUAACCAAUUCGCUUCCUCACUAGCUGAAGCUAAAGCAAUUAGUUCAGCCUCCAUGGUAGAGUUAGCAAUUAUAGUUUGCUUUUUUGAUCUCCAACAAACAACACCACCACCUAAAGUAAAGACAUAACCAGUUGUAGAACAGGAAUCACCUGACAAAGUGUUCCAAUCCGCAUCACAAAAGCCUUCAAGUACAACAGGAUAUUUUUUCUAGAACAAACUACAAUUUUUCAUUCCAAUUAAAUAUCUCAUAACUCUUGUUAUAGCAUGCCAAUGUUCAUUACCUGACUUGCUUGUAAACCUGCCAAGUACUCCUACUGCAUAUGCAAUAUCAGGCCUAGUGCAAUCAGUCACAUAUCUCAAACUUCCGAUUAUACUAGCAUAUUCCUUUUGAUUUAUUACAUCAUUUUCACUUUCAAUAGGAAAUAAGUGAACACUUGAAUCAAAAGGAGUAGCAACAUGCUUGCAAUCAUGAAAGUUAUAUUUUUUCAAAAUUUUCUCAACAUAAUGUGACUGGUCAAGGAAAAUCCCCUCACAUGUUCUUGUUAUUUUUAUUCCAAGAAUAAAAUUUGCCUCACCAAGAUCUUUCAUAUCAAAAUGGCUUCUAAGAACAUUUUUAGCUUCAUCAAUAACAUUCAUGUUAGAGCCAAAGAUCAACAAAUCAUCAACAUAUAGGCAAAUAAUCACAUGAGAAUUAUUCCAAGACUUAUGAUAUAUGCACUAAUCACUCAUUUGUUUUAAAAACCAUUUUCAAUCAUGCAGGAAUCAAACUUUUCAUGUCAUUGCUUUGGUGCCUGUUUCAAGCCAUAUAGGGAUUUAGUAAGUUUACAUACUUUGCUUUCUUGGCCUUCUUCAACAAAACACUCGGGUUGGUCCAUAUAAAUUUCUUCAUUUAGGUCUCCAUUUAGAAAAGCAGUUUUUACAUCCAUUUGAUGAAUUUGCAAAUCAAAAAUUGCAGCCAUAGCAACUAAAAGUCUAAUGGAUGUAAUUCUUGUUACCGGAGAGAAAGUAUCAAAAAAUUCUAGGCCUUCUAGUUGUUUAAAACCUUUUGCAACUAGCCUAGCCUUGUAUUUAUCAAUAGAACCAUCCGGUUUCAACUUUUUCCUUAAGACUCAUUUGCAACCAAUUGUUUUACAACCCGGUGGUAAAUCAACUAACUUCCAAGUUUUAUUAGAAAUUAGAGAUUCCAUUUCAUCAUUUACAGCCUCUUUCCAAAAAAUAGAAUCAUGUGAAGAUAAUGCUUCUUUCAAAGUUAGAGGGUCAUUUUCAACAUUAAACACAUAAAAAUCAGAACCAAAAUCUUUUUCUACUCUAGCUCUUUUACUUCUUCUUAACUCAAAAUCAACAACAUUUUUAUUUUUUAAAGUUGAAGUAGAAGAACUAGGUAGUGACAAAAUAUUUUGUUCAAUCCUUUGACCCCCACUAUUUUUAGUAUCAAAAGGAAAUUUAUUUUCAUGAAAAAUAGCAUCAUCAGAUUCUAUUACAAUAUUAUCUUCAAGAUUAAAAAAUCUAUAGGCUGUACUAUUUGAAGCAUAACCAAGAAAAGCACAAGUAGUAACUUUCUUACCCAACUUUGUAAUCUUGGGAUCCAUUAGCCUCACAAAGGCUAGACAACCCCAAACUCUUAGAUAACCCAAACUUGGUUUGUAACCUUUCCACAAUUCAAAAGGUGUCAAUUUAGACUUUUUAUAAGGCACACGAUUCAACACAUAACAAGCAGUUAAGAUAGCUUCACCCCAAAAAUUUAAAGGUGCAUAUGACUCAAUUAGCAUGACAUUAGUCAAUUCAACCAAAGUUCUAUUUUUCCUUUCUGCUACUCCAUUAGACGAAGGAGAGUAAGGAGGAGUAGUUUUAUGAAUUAAUCCCAAUGAUCUAACAAAAGAAUUAAACUCAUUUGAUUCAUAUUCACGGUCUCUAUCACUUCUAAUUCUUUUUAUUUUUCUUCCAAACUGAUUUUCAACCUCAUUGGGAUAAGUUUUGAAAUUUUCAAAAGCAUCACUUUUAUUUUUCAUCAAGUAAACAUAUGUAAACUUAGAAAAUUCAUCAAUGAAAGUGAUAAAAUAUCUAUUACCUCCACGAGUUAGAAUUCCACCAAGUUCACAAAUAUCAGUAUGAACUAAUUCUAACAAAUCAGUCUUUCUUUCAACUUGAAAAUGAGGUCUUUUAGUGAUCUUGGCUUUACUACAAGCCUCACACUUUUCAAAAUUCUUUUUAAUCAUUGGGAUUAAUCCUAAACUACUCAUGAUUCCAACAUAACGAUCAUUAAUAUGACUUAAACGAGCAUGCCAAAAAUUAGUAGAAGAAAGCAUAUAAACAGAAGUAGAAGUUUUAUUCAUUUCAACAUUCAACUUAAACAUCCCAUCACAUGCAUACCCCUUCCCCACAAAAAUACCUUUCUUCACUAUUACAUAUUGAUCAAAUUCAAUAAUCUGUUUAAAGCCUGCUUUAUUAAGAAGAAAACUAGACAUCAAAUUUUUUCUCAUAGAAGGAGUAUAAAGUACAUCUUUCAAUGUUAAUAUCCUUUCAGAAGUAAAACACAAUUCAACAUCUCCCUUUCCAAGCACUUGAGUAGUGUGAGCAUCACCAAGCAUGAUGGUUUUGGGCUCCUCAAAAUGAGUAUAUUUUUUAAACCAGUCUUUGUCAUAACAGACAUGACGGUUUGCACCAGAAUCAACCCACCAUCCAUCAACAUUCUCAACCAUAUUUAUGUCGGUAAUCACCGCCACAAAAGGUUCUUCGGUAACGUUUGCUUGAGGGUUAGGACCACGUUUACGAAAUCUGCAAAAUCGAGCAAUAUGCCCACUCUUGCCACAAACAAAGCAUGGUCCCUUUUCUUGAACUUGUUGAUUUUGUGCUUGGUGAUUUUCACCAUUAUUUUUCUUGGGAGGUCUACCAUUAUUUUUCUUGAAUUUUUUCUUCUUAGGCUUUAAACAAGUAUUUUUGUGAGUUUCAGGAUUAGCAUUAUUCGAAGUAAUUAAAUUUACCUUCGAUGUGAUGUUGUUCUCUUCUGUUUGUAAAAGUGCAUCUUGGCCUCUUGCUUCUUCUUCCAUGCAGAUUUUCAUUAUCAAGGUUUCAAUAGAGGUUUCCUUUUGUUUGUAGCGCAUAGUUUUUUGAAAUUCCUUCCAUGAAGGUGGAAGUUUAUCCACUAUGCCACAAACAAUAAGGUUAUCUCCAAUUUUAACCUCUUCGGACCUAAGCUCUCCAACAAUCAUGAUGAAGUCUUGAGCUUGAUCUACCACUGAUUUGUUGUCCACCAUUUGGAAACGAAAAAAUCUACUAGCUGCAUAUUUUUUCGCUCCAGCCUCUUCGGUAUCAUACUUACUCUACAAUGCCUUCCAAAUUUUCUUUGCACUAGAGUAAAUUCUAUCAUAAUAAUCAAAAAAAUUAUCAGAUAGACAAUUAAGAAGAUAAUACCGACACUUAUAGGAAUCACCAUCGUACUUUUCCACUUUCUCUAGAUGAGAAAUAGUUUCAUCAUCAUUCAUACUGGUGAUGUCUUCUUUAUUUGGAUUCUUCUCAGUUAAAAAGUAAGAAACAUUGAGAAGACUUAAGUAGAAAAAUACUUUACCCUUCCAUCUUUUGAAAUGGUUACCAUUGAACCGAAAUGGCUUGUUAAGAUCUCCCAUUUUGACAUCCGCGAUUUUUUCAAUUGUAGCCAUCUUUGAAUCUCCUUAAAAUUAUUAGUGAAAAAAAAAUUUACAAGAUAAUAAAAUUGCAAGAUUACAAUUGAAAAUAAAAUGAAGAAAGUAAUCUCUUCAGGCUGAGGCGCGGAUAUCUCGCUCUCUUUAAGGAGAUUCAAGCCCACUACAGCAAAUGUUUUCACCGGUCCAGCAGUAGUCCUCUUUGACUUGUCCCCUCCAGGAUACAACAGCCUUCACAAAGUAUAAUUCAACAACUCUGGACAAGAGUUGAGUCCAAAGCUCCACAAAAAAAAACACCUCCCUUCAACUAAUAAGAACUUUCUUUUAGACUAACUCUUUCACUCUUUGUUUUCUCUUGUGUUUUGUGUGUCUCUAAAACCAAAUGAAGACUAUCACUAUUUAUACUACAAGAAGUCUUCCUAGCAUUGAAUAGGAAGAUAAUGGAGGUAGUAAAUAGUGAAGAUAAUGGAUUUAGGAGUUUCAUAGGUUACAAUUGGAGUUAUAAAGGUUACAUAAGUUACAAUGGGAGUUACAUAGGUUACAAAGAGUAAUGGAGGAAUUAAGAAUGAAAUACAUUGAUGGAUAACCAAUGCUAAUGGAUGAUGUAGAAGUCAUCCAUUCCAAUGUUCAUUCUUAUAACUUCAAAAUAAAGCAAUUUAAUAUGUUAAACAUUAAUAUUAAAAUGCUAAUAACCUAACAGAUCUUAUGAGUUAGUUUCUACUGGAUAAAUAACUAUCCAAAUAAAUUAGAAUGUGAAAAAUUUUACAAACACGAGAUAUCCAGGAGAAAUUAUCAAGUCAUAAAAAAAUUCUCACAAAAAAUGUCCCACUAACAGUCUCAAUAUUGUUUCCUGUGCCUACGUUUGAUGCAUUGAUCUUGUUUUGAGUCUCAUUGCAAUUCAGGAUUUACACUUCUCUUUUGUAGGUUCUUCUGAAGUUGCUUUCAUAUACGGUACAAAAGUGUGAGUUCACUAUGAUUAUCCUACAUAGACCACAUAUUUGUAUUUCUUUUUUUUUAUAGAAAUUUAGUCCAUUCAAGUAUAUAACUUUUUGGAAAGCAAUUACCUGGUGUCCUAAUAGCAAGUAGAUAUGGGCAACGAUCUUCCAGUUCUCGUUUCUCUAGCUGCAUUUAUAAGCUUCAGUCAACUUCACCAAAUCAAAAGGCAUGAUAAAUAAAUCAUUUAAUUCAUGUUGGUAACCUAACUUACCCUUUCUAACAGAGGAUGUGAAUCUGGAAGUCAUAGUUGCAAUGCGUAGUAAAAAUGAACAGUUAUUUAAACACUUAGCCAUUUUCUUCGGUAUCUUCUGAAAUGUGCAUCCCUUUUUAUUGUUCAAAACUUCUUACGAAUUUUUCUUCUUCUUAUAUCCAUUUUCAGCUCAAUAAUAAGAUUCUUAAUGUGCACACAUAACUUUCUUUAUUAAUACUAUUGAGAAUUACAACUAAUUAUCUAUGUUAAUAGUAGUUUAAUAGUGCAUUAACAAAUUCUGUUAGUUAGUUACAUUAGUUAGUUACUUAGUUAGUUACAUUUUUUAUUCCUUUCUAGAAGAUUCUUGAUCACAUGUAUAUAGUGCAUGGUUGAUGAAUGAAGGAACAGAUUUUGCUUGGCUGAAUCCACAAACACUUUCUUCUUCUCCUCUUCUCAUUCUCGUUAAUCACCAUUAAUGGCUAGCUAUCCAUAGGAAGCUGCAUUGCAUACUUUUACUCACUGAUACAGUGAGUUCUGUUAUGGUAUCAGAGCAAGGUUGAUUUCUCUCGUUUCUGCAUCAUCAAGAUCUAUUUUCGAUCUGUUUUGUUGUUUUCAAUUCGUUGAUCCAUCAUGACAGAAACCACUACUCAAGAAACUGCUACUAGAAUUAAUACAAACAGUGUUUUCUAUGUCCACCCUUCAGAUAAUCCAGGAAUAUCACUUGUUCCAACUCAGUUUGAUGGGGUUGGAUACAGAUCCUGGAGAAGAGGCAUAUUGCGAGCUCUGUCUGUGAAGAACAAGCUAGUCUUCAUUGAUGGAAGCUGUGUGAAACCAGUUGAUCCUUCUCAAUGUCGUCAAUGGCAGAGGUGUGAUGAUAUGGUAACUUCGUGGAUUUUGAACUCUCUUACAAAAGAGAUUGCAGACAGUGUUGAGUAUGUCAACAAUUCCUCUGAACUUUGGAAGGAACUAGAAGACAGGUAUGACCAAACAAAUGGUGCGAAAUUGUAUCAAAUUCAGAAAGAAAUUGAUGAUCUGACUCAAGGAACUUUAGACAUCACUGUCUAUUACACAAGGCUGAAGAAACUCUGGGAAGAGUUGAACUCCUUGAAUGCAAAGAGCAUAUGCACUUGUACAUGUACUUGUGGUGCCAAGGAUAGUAUACACAAAUCUGAACAGGAAAGACGUCUAAUACAAUUCCUCAUGGGAUUAAAUGAGGUUUACACUGUGAUCAGAGGGAAUAUACUCAUGAUGAACCCUCUUCCUUCCACUGCACAGGCUUUCUCUUUGUUGAUUCAAGAGGAAAAACAAAGAGAAUACAAGCCUGCUAGUCGUACACCUACGGAAUCGAUUUCAUUGAAUGUAAAUGCUGGUAGAGGAUCACAAGGUGGUAGAGGUUAUAGAACAAAUUUUUCUGCCAAUAAUGAUUCUAACAUCAACAACAGCAGAGCACUAUGAUCUAUGAUUUUUGUAAGAAACAAGGUCACAUUAAAGAAAAGUGUUAAAAGCUGCAUGGAUAUCCUCCAAGGAAUAAUAAUUUUAACAAUAGAACAAACAAUGCACAACAGUUCAAUACACAAUAACACAGGCAGAAUGACAAUCAGAACUUCAGAGGAAGAAGGAUUGUAGCCAAUGCACAUGGGGAAGAAUGCUCACAAGAAAACAGUAAUUCAAAUGCUGUCAUUACACAAGAACAGUAUGGUCAUAUUAUGAGUUUGUUGCAGCAAUUCCAGACUGAUAGCUCAGGAGAGGAUUCUAAGAGUAAUGCUGAGCCUAACAAGUUUGCAGGUACAAUACUGUGCACUUCUUCUAUUGAUUUUGGUAUUACUUCAUGCAAAUGUUCUAGAUCAAGUAUUGAUUUAUGGAUCAUUGACUCAGGAGCUUCAAACCAUAUGACAUAUAACAAAUCCUCACUAACAAACAUUCAAACAUUACCCUAUCCUAUACUUGUUUCACUCCCUAAUGGUUACAAGGUUAAAGUGACAGAGUAUGGUGAUGUACAUAUUUCAUCUAAAAUGGUUUUAAACAAAGUUUUACAGGUUCCCUCUUUCAAGUAUAACCUCAUUUCAGUCCAGUCUCUAGUCUCUUCAAUGAAAUGCAUACUUUCAUUUACUGAUACAACUUGUCUAUUACAGGCCCCUUCAAUGAAGAGGCCUCAGGAAGUUGGUAGUAGCAAGGAUGGCAUUUACUAUAUGUGUGGGAGAUGCUUGAAUGACACUACUCAUACCUCUGAUUCUGUUUGUAAUUGCAUAUCUCAUAGUUGUAGGUGUUCUUCAUUUCCAGCUUCAUCUUGUAAUAAAUCAUCUGUUAAACAAUCUAGAGAGGUUCCUGUAAUCUUUGAUAGCUCUUCUACUAAUAAUACAGGUGUGUUGAACAAUUAUGCAUCUCUUGAAUCUCUGAAAGAUGAUGUAGAUUUACUAUGGCAUAAUAGACUUGGCCAUGUACCUUUUGUGAAAAUGAGAAAUAUACCUACUAUUCCUAUCAAGUUUUCUGCCAAACAGCCCUUCACAUGCACCAUAUGUCCAAUGGCAAGACAAGUCAGGUUACCAUUCACUCCAAGCACAACACAUUCUAAGAACAUUUUUGAAUUACUUCAUAUUGACUUAUGGGGUCUUUAUCAUGUUCCUACAUAUGACAAUUACAAAUAUUUCAUUACCUUAGUGGAUGACUAUAGUAGAGCUACCUGGACAUAUUUGUUAAGCACCAAAAGCAAUGCCAUACAAGUCCUUCAAACCUUUAUUAACAUGAUAGAGAACCAGUUCCAACAACUAUAAAAUGCAUCAGGUCAGAUAAUGGUUUAGAGUUCAAUAAUAAUGAAACACUCAAAUUCUUCCAAGCUAAAGGUAUCACACAUCAGAAAAGCUGCCCCUAUACACCACAACAAAACAACAUAGUAGAGAGAAAGCACAGAUACCUACUUGAAACAGCUAGAGCUCUUCUCUUUCAGUCCAAAUUACCUACCAAGUACUGGGGUGAUUGUAUUCUUACAUCCACUUACAUCAUUAACAGGCUUCCUUCCACAUUCCUUCAAAACAAGUGUCCCUAUGAGGUGCUCUAUAAAGAAAAACCAAAGUAUAGUCAAUUAAGGUCCUUUGGAUGUCUAUGUUAUCCCACACUACUAAAGUCCAUAGAGACAAAUUAGAACCAAGAACCACCCCUCAUAUCUUUUUAGGAUAUCCUUCUGGAAUCAAAGGGUACAAGGUAAUGAGUCUUGCCACAAGGAAAAUACAAAUCUCAAGAGAUGUGAUUUUUCAUAAAAAGAUUUUUCCAUUUGUUACAUCUUCAGAAAACAACAUUUUUCCUUCUGUUUCAAAACCUUGUUCUACUGAUUUUUGUGAACCUUGUGAUACACUGUUGAACAACCAUUUGGAUGUAAUUGAUGAUCAUACAACUCUGUCUCUUAAUCCUGCAUCAUUAUAUUCCUCACCAACUACACAAACUGAGUUAUCAAGUCCACCUAUACCACAAAGAAAAUCCAACAGAGUAGUUAAGACACCUCAUCAUUUAAAAGAUUAUAUUUUGUCACUUCCUAAGCUAAGAACCAACUCAAAUCCUGUUUCCAACAUCAAUACCAUUUCCAACAAUAACCUGGCCUCCAAUACAUUCCUUAAUAAACACCAUUACAUAAGCCCUGAAGUCAUUGCUUCUAAAAGACAAGUCUUGGUUGAAAGCAUUUGUUGUGACAGUGAACCAUGUUCCUAUGAAGAAGCUGCAAACAAUCCUGCAUGGCAAAAGGCAAUGGAACAGGAAUUUGAUGCUCUACAUGCAAAUGAAACUUGGGAUCUAGUUAAACUACCCAUAGGUAAACAAGCCAUUGGAUGCAAAUGGGUUUAUAAGGUGAAACAUAAAGCUGAUGGUAGCACAGAAAGGUUCAAGGCCAGGUUGGUGGUUAAGGGAUACACUCAAAAGGCUGGGAUAGAUUACACUGAGACAUACUCACCUGUUGUUAAAAUGACUACUGUGAGAACAUUGAUGGCAUGUGCUGUGAAAAAGGGCUGGGAGUUGUUUCAACUUGAUGUCAACAAUGUUUUUCUACAUGGUGAUUUGCAUGAAGAAGUAUAUAUGUCAGUGCCUCAAGGUCUUGAUGUAGGUGAGCCAGGUCUAGUUUGCAAGCUUAACAAGUCCUUAUAUGGCCUUAAACAAGCCAGCAGACAGUGGUAUGCUAAAUUGACUGAGGCAUUGUCUCUUAGAGGCUAUACACACUCACAUUAUGAUCAUUCUUUGUUCUACAAGAAAUCUAAUUCACUGGUGGUGUUUGUGGCAGUUUAUGUUGAUGACAUAGUUUUGACAGGCACAGACACAGUUGAGAUCACUCAACUGAAAAUGUACUUGGAUAAGACAUUCAAAAUUAAGGACCUUGGUAGACUUCACUAUUUCUUGGGCAUGGAAAUACUUGACACUGCAGGAGGGGUCCUUAUUUCACAAAGGAAGUUUGUAUUGGACUUACUGAAGGAGUAUGAGUGCUCCAACUACACAUCUUUAUCAUCCCCUCUUGAUCCCAAUGUUAAACUCAUGGCUAAGGAAGGAGCUCCUCUCUCUGAUCCUACUUAUUACAAGAAACUUGUGGGGAAGUUGAAUUUCCUCACCAACACUAGAAUGGAUAUAGCCUUCAGUGUCCAACAACUGAGCCAGUUCAUGCAGGAUCCUAGACUUCCUCAUUUACAGGCAGCUUUUCACUUACUUAGAUAUAUAAAACAGGAUCCUACAUUGGGAGUUUAUUUGUCAAGAAAUUCUGAUUGUAACAUGAGAGCAUACUGUGAUUCAGAUUGGGCUACAUGUCCAGAUUCCAAAAGGUCUGUAAGUGGUUACUUGGUAUUACUUGGAGACAGCCCCAUUAGUUGGAAGUCUAAGAAGCAAGAAACAAUUUCAUUAUCAUCUGCAGAAGCUGAAUACAGAUCACUUAGGAAGGUAGUAGGUGAAUUAGCUUGGUUACAUAGACUGAUCAUUGAGUUAACUAUUCCUCAUCCUUCUCCUAUUGCUGUGUACUGUGAUAGCCAAGCUGCCAUUCACAUAGCACAUAAUCCUGUCUUCCAUGAAAGAACCAAACACAUUGAAGUGGAUUGCCAUUUUGUACGAGAUAAGCUGCAGGAGGGGCUCAUCUCGAUUCAACAUGUGCCUACAAAUGAACAAUUUGCAGACAUUUUUACUAAGUCUCUCAAUGGUGUCAAACAUGCUGCAGUCUUGAACAAGUUGGUUGUAAGAUCAUUACCACCAACUUGAGGAGGGGUAUUGAGAAUUACAACUAAUUAUCUAUGUUAACAGUAGUUUAAUAGUGCAUUAACAAAUUCUGUUAGUUAGUUACAUUAGUUAGUUACUUAGUUACAUUUUUGAUUCUUUUCUAGAAGAUUCUUGAUCACAUGUAUAUAGUGUAUGGUUGAUGAAUGAAGGAACAGAUUUUGCUUGGCUGAAUCCACAAACACUUUCUUCUUCUCCUCUUCUCAUUCUCGUUAAUCACCAUUAAUGGCUAGCUAUCCAUAGGAAGCUGCAUUGCAUACUUUUACUCACUGAUACAGUGAGUUCUGUUAAAUACCAAUGAAAUAGUUAAGAUAAAUGAAACUUAUUACAAAACUUACAGAUGGUGCUCUGUCCUUAAGCGACUUAUAUGCUUCAAUUUAGGCAAAAGACUUUUUGAGUUGCAAUGACCAAAGCUUUAGACAAACCAAUGUCUUUUGUUGAGAAAUCAUUCUCAUCUAUGUAACUUAACAAAUUUUCCAUGAAUGCUUGGAUAUCAAAUGUGAUGGUAGGUAUGCCACUGGCACAAUAAUCUUCAAUGUCUGUUUCUCCAAUACAUUCAAGUGCUGGAUAGGUUAUGAGCUCAUUCUUGUGAUCCCCCAUUGAAUGUUGCGAAUUCGAAGCUUCCUGGAAAGAAGAAACAAGUUGUGCUUGACAACUGUCAGCACAUGAGCAUGCACUGUCUACUGGUACUAAACGCAGUAUCGACAUUUGCAGAGCUAUUUUCCCCUGGCCCCUGGGAAGUCUUGCACUCCAUUAAUGUUCAAUAGGUUUACUUAGGAAGUAAAAAUAUAGUACUGCUUCUUCAUAUAUCUAUCAACAUGAUUUAAGUUUUGAAUGUUCCAUAAGAAGAUCAUUGCAAUGAUUUCAAAGAGAACGAAGAACUAUUAUAAAGUUUAUCGGGAAGUAUAUACUUAGAAGCAUCAACUGUAGAAAGAUACAAUAUAUUGGUAAAUUCAGCAAGAGAAAACCUUGUAAAAGCACUUGCAAAGUGUCUACAUUCUGCUUUCAUUGGAUAUUCAUUACAAUUUGGGCUUGAUUUUGUACAGAAUACAUGUGUGCAAACAAAUUACAGUCCCAGUCCCAGAAUAUCAAGAAAAGCAAUUUAAUACUAAUGAAAACUAACAAACCUUUCCAAAGGUAAUCAUCUGAUGAUGAAAUUCAUAUCUACAAACAACCGCAAAGGAACAGAAUGAUUUCACUAAUAUUCUGUCAGAAUAAUCAACUAUUAAAUUAAGAGUAUAUAUCUUUAAGUCUGAAGGUGAGGUUUUCUCAAGUCGAUCCUUACAGUGUUAGAUAAUUGAGUGUGCAUAAACGUGGCUAGAUAUACUUGUGAACAUCUUUGACGUCCGGGUACCUAAAGUAUGACAUUUAGUAUCAUGGAUAAAAACUUGCAAAAUGAGAAUUUGACAGCAUCAGCUUACAUAUUCAAAAGAUGCAUCUCUUGUCCUCUUGGAAGUGGUUGAAUAGGUAACCAACCUAGCCGCACGAGUACUCGUCCUACAUUUGUAUUGUUGAAUGCCUUGAAUCGGACCCGCUACAAACAGAAAGGACGGGGGUCUCGCUGCCCGGUCAGCGAGUCGGGGGGUCCAGGGGGGCGACGCGCCCCCUGGCCUGGGGUCCGGGGGGGCGGAGACGCCCCCGGCCCGACGGUAUACAAUGUUGUUGUAUUGGGCCCUUUAUUUUCUGUUGAUUCUGUAUGUUGGGCCCAAGCCUGUUAGGGCAUAGCUUAGCACUAUAUAUAUAUAUAUAGACGCUAUGGCAAACCCUAUUCUGUAAUUCUGUUUUUGCCUCUCCAUAAUAAAACUGCUCCCUCUCUUCCCGUGGACGUAGCCAAUUUAUUGGUGAACCACGUAAAUCUGUUGUCUUGUUUUUCGCGUUUAUAUUUUCUCGUAUUAUCUCAAAUUCCGCACAACAUGUAUUGUUAUAGAAUGUAUAUAGACUUGAUUUCUAGUAGAAUACAUAACCUUAUUUAGAUAGUAGAUUUGUACAAUUAGCAAAUUCACAAGAAUCAUCUUUUAUUUCUUUCCUAAGUUAGCACACAAUCUAUUGUAUUUAUUCAUUGCUUACCUAUUGGAAUAAGACAUCUUCUUCUCUCUGGUAUGUUUACAUGGUAUCAGAGACUAUAGGCUCGAUUCAUAUUCAUAAAUUGGAAACUCUUCGUAGGCUCUAUUCAUAUUCAGAAAUUGGGAACUUUUCUCUGUUUAUUCGAGAAAGAACUGAUCAUUUCAGUCAUCUUCGACGUCGCCUUAGCUGUUUCAGCGUAUCCGAGUUUUCUCUGGUGUUUAAAACACCCUUUGGAGAGUUUUCAUUUCCAGGUUACUUUCUUCCCUGUAACUUCUGCGACUUUAAUUUGGUAUCCAUCUUUUGUGCUUCUGCGGUUGCACUACUUCUAGGAUUCAAAUUAUUGUUGGAUUUGUGGGUUGCUUCUGGUGGUUAUCCCUGGUUUCUUUGUUCUUUGUUGUUGAUGCUGCUGGGAUUGGGAUCUGUAACUCUGGAUUACACAAUCUACUGGAAAUUUUCCAUUUUAUUCUAUUUUAUGUUAUGAUAUUGAUUUUCUCUAAAAAUUUGAUGAACAUUGAUGUUGUAUCUAUGUGAUUGCGCGACAUGUGUGUCCCUCUUUUAGCCUUUCAGAUUAUUCUCUAGACACUAUCUCUGUAUUUCUCUUCAUUUAACUGCUGAAAUUGAAACUAAAAAUGGAUGAAAGUCAGAGAGGAAGCAAUCACAGAACUCAAGCAACUAAUGUUGUUACUAGACAGACUUCUGAUAAUAUGGCUUUGGUUUCUACGGAGAAAUUUGCUCAACAUCAAAAAUCAUUGAUGGGAUCCAAUUCUAUUAAUGCAUUUUCUGAGUCAUAUAAGAUAUGCAUUAUUACCUCUUCGAAUAAAUGGGUUAUUGAUUCAGGUGCCACAAAUCACAUAACUGCGAAUCCUAGUAUUUUCUCUAGCUUUCGACCACACAAUUCACCAUCUCCAGUUACUGUAGCAGAUGGUUCAACUUGCAAUAGUGUUGGAUCUGGGACUGUCAAACCAACAUCCUCUAUUACAUUGUCAUCUGUCAUUAAGUGUACCGAAGUUAGCCUUUAACUUGAUUUCUGUCAGCAAAAUUACUAGAGAUCUGAAUUGUUAUAUUUCGUUCUUUCCAAAUUAUUGUUUGUUUCGUGAUCUUACGACAAAUCAAGUUAUUGGUAAAGGAUAUGUAUCUGAUGAUCUCUACAUCCUUGAUGAAUGGGAGUCUCGAUUAGUUGCCUGCUCUAGUGUCGUGUCUCCAUUUUUGAAGCACAUUAUCGAUUGGGACACCCUUCUAUGCCUUUGUUGAAGAAACUUUGUCCUCAGUUUCAAAAUAUUCAUUCAUUGGAAUGUGAAUCAUGUCGAUUUGCAAAACAUCGUCGCAGUUCAGUGUAUCCAAGGGUUAAUAAGCGAGCUGAGUCAUCUUUUGAGUUAGUUCAUUGUGAUGUUUGGAGAUCAUUUCCUGUCGUUUCCAAAACAGGGCUUAAGUAUUUUGUCACAUUUGUGGAUGAUUUCUGUCGGAUGACUUGGAUUUAUUUUAUGAAGAGUCGCUCAGAUGUGUUUACCUAUUUUGUGCCUUAUGUGUUGAAAUCAAAACUCAAUUUAAUGCUUCAGUACGUAUUCUAAGGAGUGAUAUGCUAAAGAAUAUAUGUCAGAGUUAUUUUAGUCAUACAUAAGACAAAACGAUAUUCUUCACCAGUCUUCGUGUGUUGACACACCCUCUCAAAACGGCAUUGCUGAGAGAAAAAAUAGGCACCUACUUGAGAUAACUCGAGCACUUUUGUUCCAAAUGAAGGUUCCUGAGCAGUUUUGGGCAGAUGCAGUCUCUAUGACUUGUUUUCUGAUAAACCACAUGCCAUCGACUGUGCUUGUUGGUAAUAUGCCUUACAGUGUUCUUUUUUCAAACAAGUCACUAUUUCCGGUGGAACCUAAGGUUUUUGGGAUCACAUGUUAUGUUCGACCAUCUAUUUCCAAGUUAGAUCCGAAGGCAUUAAAGUGUGUUUUUCUAGGCUAUUCUUGCCUUCGGAUUGGAUAUCGGUGUUAUUCUUUAGAACUCGACAGAUAUCUUGUGCCAACAUAUGUGGUAUUUUCAGAGACUACACCAUUUAUGUAUGCACCUCCCACUAAUCAACUAUUGUGCCUUCAACAUCUCCAGUUAGACCACCAAUUUUACAUGUUUACUUGAGGAGACACGAAACCGAAGAUACAUGUCCAUCACCAAUUACUUCAUCACCAGAUAUUGAUCUCCCUAUUGCUCUUCGCAAAGGUACACAAAAAUUGUAAAUCUACAUAUUCCAUUGCUAAUUUUGUUUCCUAUGACUGUUUAUCCUCGACGUCUAGAUCCUUGAUCAUUUCUCUAGAUAGUGUUUCUGUACCUAAAACAGUGAGGGAGGCUUUGAAUCAUCCUGAAAGGUCUGAAGCAAUGCUUGAGGAAAUUCAUGCCUUAGAGGAAAACCGCAUGUCGGAUUUGGUGGUUUUACCCAACGGAAAGAGACCAGUGGGAUGUAAGUAGGUUUUCGCAGUUAAAGUUAAUCCUGAUGGUUCUGUGGCAAGACUUAAGGCCAGACUUGUGGCUUAAGGGUAUGCUCAGACAUAUAGAGUGGAUUAUUCAGACACAUUUUCUCCGGUUCUAAACUCACUUCUAUUCGUUUAUUCAUUUUUCUGUCUGCUUCAAAGAAUUGGUCUUUACAUUAGUUGGAUAUCAAAAACGUUUUCCUUCAUGGUGAUUAUCAAGAGGAAGUAUAUAUAGAGCAACCACCUGGUUUUAUAGCUCGGAGGGUGGGGGUAUGGAAAAGUUUGUCAUUUGAAGAAGUCAUUGUAUGGCUUGAAACAGAGUCCUCGAGCUUGGUUCGGCAAGCUCGAUGAGGUAGUUCAAGAGUUUGGAUUGAAAAUGAGCAAAUGUGAUCACUCCUUUUUUUAUCGUCAAUCAACAGCUGGCACUAUCUUUCUUGUUGUAUAUGUUGAUGAUAUUAUCAUCACAAGAAGUGAUUAUAGAGGCAUCUCUUCUCUAAAGUCUUUUCUGCAUAAUAGGUUUCAUACGAAAGACUUAGGUCAAUUGAGAUAUUUCUUGGGAGUAGAAGUAAAUAGAAGCAAGAAGGAAUUUUUCUAUCUCAGAGAAAGUAUAUUCUUGACCUACUUGAAGAAAUCAGAAAGUUGACAGCCAAACCUUGCCGUACUCCAAUGGUUCCCAAUGUGAAUCUUAUGAAAGAUGAUAGUGAUCUUUUUGAUGAUCCAGACAAAUAUAGAAGGUUAGUUGGGAAAUUAAACUACCUUAUUGUGACUUGUCCGGAUAUUGCUUUUGCGGUAAGUGUUGUUAGCAAGUUCAUGACAUCACUUACGACCAAACAUUUGGGAUCUUUGGCACAGAUUCUAUGUUACUUGAAAGGUUCCCUCGGACUAGGAAUAUUGUAUAAAAAUCACGAUCAUACCCGUGUUGAGUAUUUUGCAGAUGAUGACCAUGAUGGAUCCAAAAUUGAUAGGAGAUCGGCUACUGGCUAUUGUGUCUUAUUGGAGGGAACCUAGUUUUAUGGAGGAGUAAGAAGCAAAGUGUUGUAUCUCGAUUAAGUGCAGAAUCUGAGUACAGAGCUAUGUCCCAUGUGUGAGAUUAUGUGGAUACAUCAUCUUUUAACGGAAAUUGGUCUAAAGCAUCAUGCACCAGCAAAACUUUUUGUGUGAUAAUCAAGCUGCUCUUCAUAUUGCCUCAAAUCCGGUGUAUCAUGAGAGAACUAAACAUAUUGAGGUUGAUUGUCAUUUUAUUCGUGAGAAAAUUCAGGAGAACUUGAUUUCCACGGGUUAUGUGAAGACAGGAGAGCAACUGGCUGAUUUGCUUACAAAGGCAUUGCAUGGAGCUCGAGUUGACUACCUUUGUAACAAGUUGGGCAUGAUCAAUAUUUAUGCUCCAACUUGAGGGAGAGUGUUAUAGAAUGUCUAUAGAUUUGAUUCCUAGUAGAAUACAUAGCCUUAUUUAGAUAGUAGAUUUGUAGGAAUUAGCAGAUUCACAAGAAUCAUCUUUUUUUUUUCCCUAAGUUGGCACACAAUCUAUUGUAUUUAUACAUUGCUUACCUAUUGGAAUAAGACAUCUUCUUCCUCUGAUUGAUUACAUGUAUCAACCUAAAAUAAUGAGUGUUAAUGAUAAAUCUGAUAGACCACAUUAACAUGUUUUUACGAUAUAAACUUACUGGGAAGGCUUGGUGUUGGAGAGUUAGCAACCUUAUGCAUUCCACACUUUUCACUCCCUCCCUGCAAGAAACAGAUUUCUCAAUCAACUACACUUUCAAAACUCAGUUAACAUAUGUGUUUCCUGUUUCACCAACUAUCUAAAUUUUUCAAAUUCAUACAGAAAGAAAGUGCAAACAUUACUUAGCCUUUUCUGGUUCAACUUCUUGUAGCCAUUCUAGAUCUGCAUUCCCUUGUUCCAGGAUCAGGCGGUUGAUAAAAUUCUGCAUGUAGUGAGCAGUUAGUUUAUUACAAUGCUGAUUGAUUGCCGAGUAAUUCUUAGCCAAACUUUAUUAUACUUAAUUCUUAGUGCAAGUUUUUUGUCCAUUUUCCUUUGCAUGAUAGCUUUCGAUACUUGAUCCGUUGUUGCAGCGUGGACUGCAUGCCAAUCUAUGACAUCUAACUUGCUAUCAUUUCUCUCUUUGGGAUUAACAAAUGAAGAUCACUUCCUCAUAUUUUCUCAUUCAAUGGCUUCACUUUCCAAGUCUGCAUUCUGACUUUUCCUUCUUAAGAUUGGUUCAGAUUGCUGAUUUCUUGUCUCCUUUUUCUUCGCGCCCCUUUCGGAUUUGUUCUUCGAAUUAUCCCCUGGUUCUUAAUAUUAGAACUUCCUUUUGAAGAUUUCUCCAGCUUCGUGCCAUUUCUGUUGUGGAAUGUUGAUUUGAAUCUGACUUCAUUACAUGUGAGCAGCAAGGGACAUGAAAGCAGAGCUGCAAAUGCAUCAGCAUAGAAAAUUGAGAUUACUAUUCAGAUUCUUAAUGAACAAAUUAAUAGUCAGUUGUGAAAAGUUCCUUGCAUACAAUCUUCAAUACCUCGAUAAGUUGUCUGCGACAUUUUGAGCCAGGAAAACCCCAGCCACAGAAUCUACAAUUGAACCUUUCCACUGUGAGAACUGUCUAUUACCUGUCAAUAUAUAAUCUGCCCGCAGUUAUAUCUUCGUGAAGACACCGACCAAACAUAUUCUCUUUACAUGAUAAUGAAAGUAUUUGAAAUGUUUGCUCAUCGUUAUCUUACUCAUGCUGAUAAAGAAGUACUCCAAUUGCAGAUACCAUUCUUUAAUAUCUACAACUUACAUUUAUCGGGUUCUCAUCAUGUUUUAUUUAUAGGGAACACUUCAAGUCAUAAAAGAUUACAAUCAAAGCCUUAGUUUGAAUAUCACUAAAGAGAAAUGCCAAGAAACACGUGAACUUGAGGUCAUAUCAUGUGAUGCAUAAACAGGCAUUUUGAUGAUUUUCUGGAUGAAUUCUUGUGCUAGGUGUACUUCACAAAGUUGGUAGUAGUUUUUCUACUUGAAUUUGGCCUGCUAGAGUGAUCUUUCAAUGAUGCUCUAGAGUUUACUAGUGGCAAUACUGUGGCUACACUUAAUGGAUAUAUGCUAGUUUGUCGAAUUCUAUGAUAUUUUUGUAUCCUUGAAUCGGUGGAGUUACAUAUAUACUAUUGUUUUCAUUUAUGCUACAUACAUUUGUAACUUUCAGAGUUGCAUACAAGAAAUUAAUUAGAUCACAGUUUGAUACUGAGUUCAAUGAAGGAAAGAGUCAUAGAACUUAAUUAAAAUACAAUAAUAAAAUGAUAACUUGAAUAAGAUGCAUGCGAGAAAUGAAUAUCACCCGUCCAUGGAACAAUGCCUCUCUAUUUCCCAUCUUUCAUCACACUUUUCUGAUUUGCAGCCUUCGUUUUCCGGUUAUUCCAUCAGAAAUUUCCAUUCUCGUACCGUCUCCUCAUCAAGGAUUACUUUUGUUCUCAAGAUCAUUUUGUCUGUGUCACUAGGUGUUUCACUGGUUGGAACUUUUGCAUCUUUUUCUUGUGAUUGAUUUGAUAAUUCUUAUUAUGUUUCAAUGUGAGUCCACUUUUACUGCUAGAUUCUUGAAGCCUUGGUUUCUUGUGAAUGGGAAGGCUGGCAGCCUCCAUGUAGUGAAAAAGGUCCUGAUUGGAAAUUUGAGGCAAGAUACUAAUAAUGCCUCAAGAGACCUGUUAUGUUUAAAUAGUUUUGAUGCUUUAUUGAAGACUAAUGGGAAGCAAGUAAGGUUAACGAAAAAUGACCACGAUUUGAUCCAAGAAAAAUAAGUCUCACCACCUGCUUUAAAUAGCAAAUUAAGUCCAGAAGUUCCUGUAUUUGUGCCUAAAUGUGUGCUUGCAAGGAAGAAAGAGUCAAGUGCCUUAGUGUCAAAUACAAUUUAUUUGGACGAGGAUUCUCUUGAUGAAUCAUCAAGAGUGGAUUUGGAUGAGGAUUAUCUUGAUGAAUAUGAGGAAGACAAUAUGUUGGACAUUUGCUUUGAUAGAGUGGCUAGGAAAGGGGAUAUAUCACCUAGGUAACAAAGAAGUGGAAGCAAUAAAAGCAAAAAUAAGGCAUAUGGAAGGCAACAUAGUUGGGACGGUAAAAUGACUGAGAAUUUUGUUCCAAGGCACCUACAUGCGACAAGCAAAGCAACACCAUUUGACAAUAUCAAUAAGUUCAACUAGAUCCAAUAAAUCCAUAAAGAAGGUCUGAAUCAUCAAAUUUUGUUGGAUAGGUUUGAAGAAGAGACAAGAGAAUAAUACUUCAAGUUACUUUAGCAAUAGAAGUUUGAGGCUGGUAAUUCAACUUUCUUUUUGAUUGACAUAUUUUUACAUUAUUUAAGCAUCCUCAUUUGUAAUAUCAUCAUAGAGUGUAUUACAAAUUCUGUGAUGAUCAGAAAAUAUUUAGUUUUCUCUAACUCUUAUUUUCUUCAUGCUUGUUAGGUAGCAUAAGUUAGGUACGACAUUAGGAUUAAUAAGAUAGGCCUACUCCCCUUGCUUGUACUUGUCCCUAUGAUAUUUUUUAUGUUUAAUAAAAUACCACUAGACAUUGUCUAGUGGUAAAUUUGUUUUUUUUUUUUAAAUGUAAGUUGUUUAACCACGCAAAUCACCGUCUUCAUUACCUUCGGUAGUAGAAACUAUUGAUGUUUUCUGCUUCUUGUUCUGCCCUUGCUGAAAGGAUGGCUCAACUGUUUCGCACUUGUUAUAUCUCUGGUUCUUCUUAAAUCGUCGAUUGUACACCUGCAAGGCUGCAACAGAUUGUUAGUAGCAUAGUUUGGGAAACAGAGAAGAUGACAAUGUAACAACAUUUGUAGUAGAAACUAGGGGCGUCAAAAAUUAACUCAAACAUAUGUAACCCGUUCAACCCGUCCAGAAUUUUAAGCAUUGGGCUCAAGAUAAUUUGAAUAGGUUCAAUCUCAAUUCAUUCAAGCUUAACUCAUUUGAAGAUAAUUCUCAAUUGAGCCAAAUUCAAUUUUCAAUUUCAACUAGUUUUAAAACUUUUUAUUAAGAUAUGUUCCUAUAUUAAAAAUAUGAAUUAUUAUCUAUUUAAUAUUUUAGAAUUUAUCUAUUCAUUUGUUACUUUUUUAACAAAAAGUUUUUGAACGGAAAUUCAAAUUGUAAUUAUAAAAAUUAAAUAUCAAUAUGUUAAAUUAUUGAGAUUAAUCGGGUCAAAUUGGACGGGUCAAGACCCAACCCGUUCUUUAGCCCAUUUGAGCUCAAAGUAAACUUGGGCGGGUCAAGACCCAAUCCGAUUUCUAUUAAACCCUUGUAAUAUUUUCAAUUUCAACUCUACCCGCCCAUUUGACAGCCUAGUAGAAACAUUUGCCUUGACAGGCUUGUUAUGCCCUUCAAUGAAUGGUUGAACCUUUUCGCACUUGUUACGCUUCUAUGGUACACCUGCAACGGAGAGUAGUACCAUACUUUGGAUAUGAAAUAAAUGAACAUUUGCAGGAUUGACAAUGAAGAAAUAGGGGGAAACUUUUACAUGGAGAGUGUUGGAUGGAACAGAUAAUGAACCAAGCUUUUUUUAUGAGCCUUUGUAUCUGUGUUUUUCUUCAUUAUCUGCUGGAAAAUAAUUCAAUAAUAUUCUCCAACAGGAACAGUUAAAUAUAUAUAUGUCGAUAUUAGUAACAAGCUCAAUGUUGAGAUACUUAAUCAUCAUUCAUCAAGCACAAAAUCUAAUUUACUAGUUGAGUUUGGUUCAUCAAGCAAAUCACAGUUGAAGUCCUUACCUGCACCCAAGCUAAGCCUUUCCUUUACUAUUUCCCGUUGACGAAGAAAGUACCUUUUAACUGUCAAAAUGCUCUAAAUUAGUAAAGCAGAAUAACAUAAUCCUAACGAUACAGAACCUUUCAUACUUAUUUGAUUAAUAAUCACCUGCUCCCAAACUAAAGUAUCUCCUUUCCUUUCCUUGGUCGAUGCCAAUAACUAUUAUCUGCGGAAAAAAGACAUUUACUAUGUAUAUGCAUAUUGAACUGAUGAAAUGCCAAAAGAAAACAAUAACCUAGCUCUCGAUUGCAUGACAACAAUGCUACAACCAACCAAUCAAGAAUUCAUCAAUGACAUAACACAUAAACAGACAUUCGGCACAGCUGGCAAGUAAUAUAAGUACUCCAACUCUAGGUCGUUUGGUUAGGAACAAUUUAUCCUGGGGUUACGUGCGACUAUCUCCACUAUAGAAAGAAAAAAAGAAAAAUCUAGUAAAGUAACUACUAGAACCAAAUAGGCUUUCUACAUAUGCAUCGUCUAAAACAACGAUUUUUAUCAGCUGUAGCAAAGAACGAAACUUCAUAGAAGUCAAAAUAGGAAAAAAUAAAAAUGCCUAGCAACUUUUUUCUAUGGAUAUAAAGCUUUAAUUGAGAGAGAUAGAGGAAGCACCGUAAAGAUCAAUUAGCGAGGUUUUGGGCCGAUACAAUAAUAACUGCGUACUUAUCUCAUGAUGUGAGAUAAAAAUUAGGAAUUAACUUAUGUAAUAGAGUCGAUCCACAACCCAGCUGGCUGGUCAAUCUCAGAGAUCGUAUCGGCCGGCAAACCGGAGACGGACGUCGGAAGGCCAUCCUAACAAUAAGGUCUUCCCUGUCUCGGGAAAGGGUCCUCCCCUCUUCUUCCAGGGUUUGAAUUUGGUUAAGGAGCUGUUGAAUGCGUUGUUUAGGAUAAGUUAUCCCAAACAUGACAACCAAACAAGAUACAAAAAUUUUAUUCCAUCACUAUUUUCUUAUUCGUUACUAUUUAUUUUUAUCCCUCACGCCAAAUUACCCCCGAAAGUACACACCUAGACGCCUCAACUUGGUCACAAUGGAAACUAAACACUCCAAACUGUCCUCAAUGUGUAUCAUGGACACCUAACCCUGACGUGGCACAUAAGUGUUGUGCGGAAUUUGAGAUAAUACGAGAAAAUAUAAACGCGAAAAACAAGACAACAGUUUACGUGGUUCACCAAUAAAUUGGCUACGUCCACGGGAAGAGAGGGAGCAGUUUUAUUAUGGAGAGGCAAAAACAGAAUUACAGAAUAGGGUUUCCCAUAGUGUCUAUAUAUAGUGCUAAGCUACGCCCUAACAGGCUUGGGCCCAACAUACAGAAUCAACAGAAAAUUAAGGGCCCAAUACAACAACAGUGUAUACCGUCGGGCCGGGGGCGUCUCCGCCCCCCCGGACCCCCAGGCCAGGGGGCGCGUCGCCCCCCUGGACCCCCCGACUCGCUGACCGGGCAGCGAGACCCCCGUCCUUUCUGUUUGUAGCGGGUCCGAUUCAAGGCAUUCAACAAAUCUCCACCUUGACUUGAAUUCUCCGAACAGAUUCUUCAGACGCACUAUGAUAGUGCCAGGACUCCCCCUCUUCCUCAGAGUUGCCCCGCAGGGCAAUUAACAGCUUCUGAUGUUGAGCAAGUCCAAACAGUGUUGAAACUUGCUCUGUGGAACCGGCUUUGUAAACAUAUCAGCAGGAUUAUCAGCAGUUCCUACUUUCUUCACCUUGAUUCUCUUCUCACUUCUCAGAAAAUGAUACCUUACGUCAAUAUGCUUGGUUCUCUCAUGAUGGACUUGAUCCUUGGCUAGACAAAUUGCGCUCAAACUGUCACAAUACACCGUAGCCUGAUCAUGAUGCAGACCAAGAUCACUAACCAGCCCUUUCAACCAAAUCCCUUCUUUUGCAGCCUCUGUCAAGGCCAUGUACUCCGCUUCCGUAGUAAACAAAGUCACUGUAGGUUGCAAAGUUGCCUUCCAACUGACGACAGAUCCUCCAAGGGUAAACACAUAGCCAGUCAUCGAUCUUCUUGUGUCAACAUCUCCAGCAUAGUCUGAAUCAGAAUAGCCAGUAACUAAGCACUGAGUAUCACCUCCAUAAAUGAGACCAACGUCAAAUGUACCUCUAAGGUACCGGAAAAUUCUCUUCACAGCCUGCCAAUGUUCUCUCCCUGGUUGUCCCACGAAUCUGCUCACUACACUGACUGCAUGUGCUAAAUCUGGCCUUGUACAGACCAUAGCAUACAUUAAACUUCCUACGGCACUGGCAUAGGGGACUCGUGACAUAUACUCCUUCUCUUCUUCUGACUGUGGAGCGAACAUGGCAGUGAGAUGGAUAUUGGCAGCACUGGGGGUAUCAAUGGGCUUAGAUGAAGACAUGCCAAACCUCGCCAAGACCUUCUGAAUGUAGCUUCUCUGUGACAAGAAAAGUUUCCUUCUCUCUCUGUCUCUAAUGAUCUCCAUCCCUAAAAUCUUCCGAGCGGCUCCCAGAUCCUUCAUCUCAAACUCAGCACUAAGUAAACCCUUCAGCUUCUGAAUGUCAUACUUCUUCUUUGCAGCUAUUAACAUAUCAUCUACAUAAAGCACCAGAUAGAUGAAUGAAUCAUCAUUGAGCCUAUUGUAGUAGACACAACAAUCAUAUGAGCUCCGAGUAUAGCCCAACUUCACCAUAUAGCUGUCAAACCUUUUAUACCACUGCCUUGGAGACUGCUUAAGUCCAUAUAAGGACUUCUUCAACUUGCAGACGUGAUUUUCCUUCCCUGGAACUUGGAAACCAUCCGGUUGAGUCAUGUAUAUCUCUUCCUCCAACUCUCCAUGUAGAAACGCUGUCUUCACAUCAAGUUGUUCAAGCUCCAGAUUCUGAUGUGCAACUAUCGCUAGUAACACUCGGAUGGAAGUAUGUCUGACCACUGGUGAGAAGAUCUCAUUGUAGUCCACUCCCUCUCUUUGGUUGAAACCUCUGGCAACAACCCUAGCUUUAUACUUGACUCCUUCUGCUGGUGAUAUCCCUUCCUUCUUCUUGAAAACCCAUUUGCAAGUAAUAAUCUUUCUCCCCGAAGGCUGUAUGACCAGAUCCCAUGUCUGAUUCUUGUGUAGGGACUCCAUCUCAUCUCCCAUAGCGGCAAACCAUUUUUCAGAAUCAGAACUUAAAAUGGCUUCUUUGUAAGUAGACGGCUCAGAUGUAUCUACCUCUUCAGCAACCUGCAGUGCAUAACCCACCAUGUCCUCAAAACCAUACCUCGUAGGUGGCCGAACUCCAACCCUCCUUGGCCGAUCUUGAGCUAUACUCUGAUGGAUAUCUGAUGGCAUAGAUUCUGGAAUAUCAGUUUCUGUCUGUGGCUCUUGAUCCUCCUCUUCAGGAUCCUUUAAAUCGCUCUCGUUCUGAAUGACUUGAAACUCCACCUGUUUGUCAAGACUCCCAGUUUCUGACGUAAUUGUAGGCUUCACAAUGGUUCUAAGCAGAGAACUUUCAUCAAAGACAACGUUCCUGCUCAUAAUAACCCUCUUUUCUGCUGGAGACCAGAUUCUGAAACCUUUCACUCCAUCUCCGUAGCCCACAAAUACUCCCUUUUUAGCUCUUGGUUCUAACUUACCUUCACUGACGUGAUAGUAAGCCGUACAACCAAAAACUUUCAGAUUUGAAUAAUCAGCAGCUUUUCCUGACCACAUCUCCAUAGGUGUCUUGCACUGUAUGCCUGUAUGUGGUCCGUGGUUAAUCAAGUAGCAAGCUGUACUAACCGCUUCUGCCCAGAAUCUUCUAUCUAGCCCAGCAUUAGAGAGCAUGCACCUUGCUCUCUCCAGAAGUGUUUGAUUCAUCCGCUCAGCUACACCGUUCUGCUGUGGUGUAUUUCUGACUGUACGAUGUCGAGCAAUCCCUUCAUCCUUACAAAAUUGAUCAAAUUCAGACCAACAGAAUUCCAGCCCAUUAUCAGUUCGCAACCUCUUGAUCUUCUUCCCUGUUUGAUUUUCCAUCAAAAUUUUCCACUCCUUGAACUUCUGGAAGGCUUCACUUUUAUGCUUCAUCAUGUACACCCAAGUCAUCCUUGAGUAGUCAUCAAUAAUGGACACAAAAAAUCUGCAACCUCCCAAAGACUCAACACGGCAUGGACCCCAGCAAUCAGAAUGGAUAUAAUCAAGUGUGCCUUUUGUUCUAUGAAUGGCCUUUGGAAACUUGUUGCGAUGUAGUUUUCCAAAAACACAAUGUUCACAAAACUCUAGGCUCUUAACCUUAUGACCAGCAAGUAAAUCCUCCUUUGACAGAAUUUGCAUCCCUCUUUCACCCAUAUGACCAAGUCUCAUGUGCCAUAACUUAGUCAUAUCCUUCUGGUGAAAUUCUGACGAUGCAACAUGGGCUGAACCUGUAACCGUGGAACCUUGUAGAAAAUACAAAGUACCACGCAUGACACCUUUCAGAAUCAAAUUUGAACCCUUCCAGACCCGCAAGACUCCAUCUUUUCCCGACCAGCUGAAUCCCUUGCUGUCCAAAAGACUGAGAGAUAUCAGAUUUUUCGUCAUCAAUGGAACGUGCCUGACCUCGUUCAAUGUGCAGAAGCUACCGUCAUGUGUCCUUAUCUUGAUCGAGCCUGUCCCAACCACCUUGCAGACAGAACUGUUGGCCAUCGAGAUGCUGCCUCCGUCUACCUGCUCAUAAGUCGUGAACCACUCUCUCCUAGGACAGAUGUGAUAGGAUGCCCCAGAAUCGAGAACCCACACAUCUGAAUGAUGAGUGUGCUCAUCCGCAACUAGGGCAAUAUCUUCUUCAGAAUUGGUGUCUUCUUCAGCAACAGCAGCAGACACUGAUUGUUUUUCCGAUUGCUUCUUCUUCUUCGGACAAUCAAAUUUCCAAUGUCCCUUCUCCUUGCAGUAAUUACAAACAUCAUCCGGCUUUGCACCCUUCGACAUCGGCUUAUUUUUCUUUCCGCGUUUUUCCUUCCCUUUCCGCUACUGGUGAACAGACCGGAAGGCUGUAUGUCCGUACUUGUGCCGUUAGCCUUAUGCCGUAAUUCCCUGCUAUGAAGGGCCGAUCUGACUUCUUCCAGCGACACAGUAUCUUUCCCAACAAUGAACGAUUGAACAAAAUUCUCAAACGACAUUGGGAGAGAUACUAACAGAAUCAGGGCAGCAUCUUCAUCCUCGAUCUUCACAUCGAUAUUACGCAAUUCUAAUAACAAAGUAUUCAAUUGCUCUAAGUGUUCCCUGAGUUGUGUACCUUCAGCCAUUCGUAAACCGAAUAGACGUUGUUUCAGAAGCAGCUUGUUGGUUAGAGAUUUUGUCAUGUACAAACUCUCCAGCUUCAACCACAGACCAGCAGCAGUCUCUUCAUCCGAGACCUCCGUGAUGACGUCAUCCGCGAGACACAGCAUGAUCGUCGAGUGCGCCUUUUCCUCCAGAAUCGCCAUCUCAGGAGUAACGACGGCGUUCUUGUCUUUCGACAACGGCGCCCAGAAGCCUUGCUGUUUCAACAAAGCCCGCAUCUUGAUCUGCCAUAAACUGAAACUGUUCCUCCCUGUGAAUUUGUCGAUUUUCACGUUCAAAGCAGACAUCUCGAAUUCUCCAAGAACACCGAUUAACCGAGAGGCUCUGAUACCAAUUUGUUGUGCGGAAUUUGAGAUAAUACGAGAAAAUAUAAACGCGAAAAACAAGACAACAGUUUACGUGGUUCACCAAUAAAUUGGCUACGUCCACGGGAAGAGAGGGAGCAGUUUUAUUAUGGAGAGGCAAAAACAGAAUUACAGAAUAGGGUUUCCCAUAGCGUCUAUAUAUAGUGCUAAGCUACGACCUAACAGGCUUGGGCCCAACAUACAGAAUCAACAGAAAAUUAAGGGCCCAAUACAACAACAUUGUAUACCGUCGGGCCGGGGGCGUCUCCGCCCCCCCGGACCCCCAGGCCAGGGGGCGCGUCGCCCCCCUGGACCCCCCGACUCGCUGACCGGGCAGCGAGACCCCCGUCCUUUCUGUUUGUAGCGGGUCCGAUUCAAGGCAUUCAACAAUAAGUUAUGGAGGUGUUCAAAUAAUCAUUUUGUAAGUUGAAGUGUUCAACUAGCACUGACAUAAUGGUGACGAGUUGAUGUGUCUAAGUAAUAGUAUUUUCUAUACAACAAUAUGAUAGGGGAACUAAAAACUAAUUAAUCCCAUGAAGUCUCAAACUAACUAACAUCAAAGACAAUAAUGUGCUUACUGUGUUGAAAGUGGGACUCAGUGAUGUCUUCAUUAACCUUAACCCAUCUUUUUCUGAAUCUUUUCCCAUUUGAAAUAUCUUUCUCUGAGUUCUAACUUAAAGGGAAAAAAAAAACCCUGUGCCAUUAGAAGUGAUACAUGCAAUAUACAUAAACAAGAGAAUUCAUCCAUGAUGCAAUAUUUGUAUAGAGACUUUAGCCAAAACAAGCAUGCAUGAGGAUGGACAUGGAUGAUGAUCAUUCAAUUGAAGCAGAAAAGGAAUGAGAAAAAGAAUACCAGAAAAGUGCACAAGGAAACCGGAGGUAAUGUACUCUUUACUAAGUCUUGAAAAACAGAGAAUGUAAACAAAGUGGGACAAUUUAAAAGGCUUGGUGAGGUAUUAUAGUGUAACAAGUCCCCAAGACCAUGUAAUAAUUGCAUCAUGCAAUAAAAACUUACUCUUGAAUUUAAUUUAUUGAUUGAGUUGUAGCUUAUGGAUUAUUACACCAUGAUUUGAUAACACUCUAGUUGGUUCAAUUUAUUUGUCUUGUUUCGAUUUGUUAGGAUACAGAAAUAUUUUGAAUUUUAUGGACUUAAAUUAAAGCUUUAUAGAAUGGAGUAAAUUGUAGGUUUAGCAAACAUAAAAAUCAUAUUUGAAUGUUAUAGCUACAAUUUGCAUGAUUACACUUCAUCGCAAAUUUUAUGUUUGCUAUGAAGAAUUAGAUUUGUAUAAUCAAAGGCAACAUUUCGUUUGUAUAAAAGCAUAUCGAUUGUAUAUGUAUAUCAGUUAGAUAAUUGUAUAUAUGUAACUAUUAUGUAUAUAUAUCAAUGAUUGUGUUUGUAUAUCUGCAUAAAAUUUGAAUUCGUAUAUACUUCACCAUUUUAGGCCUACGGAUACCCAAUAAAGUGUAGCCUAAACUACCAAAAUGUGUGGCCUUUGAUAAAAGGCUACACUUUUGGACUUUAAGCAACGCUUUCUAGGGGUGGCCUAAUGAACGUUAAUCUUUGACAUUAGGCAACACUUUUUAAAUGUCGUCAUUUUUCGCUAUACUUCUAAAGUACAGCCAAAGAGGUAUAAGGGAACGCUUUGUUGUGAUGCAUUAGCGACACCUAUUUUUUAUUAUACUAUACUAAGAAGUGUUGUCUUUACAGUGUUAUUGAAUCGAAAUAAAAUAUUUGUAUAUCAAAUAUCUCUCGGUUUAUACAAUACAAAUUACACAUUAUAAUUUAUACAAUUUGUGUUGUAUUGAGUGAGAAAGAAGGAAAAAUAGAACUGAUAAGGGAAAUUUUGUACUUGUAUUUAUAUAAGUGUAUAGGAUGAAAAUAUAUGUACUUGUGUGUAUAAUUUUCUCUCAAGUUAUACAUUUGUGUUAGUAUAAAGUGAGAAGCGAGGGAAUUGGCGAGCGUGAUCUGGAAAAGUGGCGAGCAAGAUGUAUGGGGAGAGAGGCAAUGGCGAAGUGUAUGGUACGGAUUAGCAUCAAAUGAAAGUGUGAUUAUAGCAUUUAAUUUGAAUUGAUAGUUUGUUAUUUUUUACAAUUUUCCAUUAAAGUAUUAUUAUUCCCUCAAAAUAUAUAAAAUAAAAUGUAAAAUAUUAUUUUAUUUCGCUCCAUCACUUCUUCUCACCAUACUUCAUUCCCUCCUCAUUAUAGUAUUUUAUUUUUUUUAAAAAAAAUCUACACCACCCCACAUAAACCCCACUUCCAAAUUGUUUUUUUGGAAAAACUAUAUAUAAUGGCAAAUUAAUAAAUCAAAUUAAUUGCUAUAACCACCCUUUGAUUUAAUUGUGUCCCGUAGCAAACUGUUUAUCAGACACCUCUCUCCCUCAAACUCUCGCUCGCCACUCUCCUCUCUCACUCCAUCUUUCCCUCGCUUUCUCUCACUUUUAUACAAACACAAGUGUAUAAAAUUUGUUUCUAUUUGUAUAAGGAUGACGAAAUUGUAUAAAUACAUAUAUUUUUGUUUUCCUCUCUCCCCUCUCCCUGAUCUCGCUCCCCACUCUCCCUACUCUUGUUCGCCAACCUCGUCUCUCUCGCUUAUACAAACAAAAGCGAAAUGUAUAAAUUGUGUUUCUGUUUGUAUAAAACGAGAGAAAAUUGUAUAUACACAUGCAAAUACAUAUAUUUUCAUCCUAUACCCUUAUAAUUAUACAAUAAAAAUACUCCCCUGGCUAGUUUCUUUUGCCUUUCUCUCUUUCUCAUUUUAUACAAAUUCAAAUUGUAUAUAAUUUCUCUCUUUCUCGUUUAUACAAUUCAGUUCAAUUGUAUAUUCCCUGCCCAAGUCUCUUUUGCCUUUCUCUCUUUCUCAUUUUAUACAAAUUCAGAUUAUAUAUAAUCGUUCUACACACUUAUAAUUCGUUUUUAUACAAUUCUCUGUCCAAGUCUCUUUCUCUUUCUCAUUUUAUACAUUUCGUUUUAUACAAUUCGCUUCAAUUUUAUAUGUAUAGCGAAUUAUACAUUUAUAUAUUUGCUUUGGAGAAAUUAUGCAAACUUUGCAUAUCUAAAAACGUAUAUACAUAUCUAACACAAAACAAAAAAAUAAAUAAAAAUAAAUUAGAAGUUGGGGGUUAGACAGGGUGGAGUAGAACUUAAAAAAAAAAAUAUAUCAAAUUACUUUUGGGAAGGGGCCGGGGAGGGGUAAGCCCUAUAAUUUUUAAAAGUAUUUUACAAAAGAAUUUUAUAAAAAUAAAGAACUGGGGGUUGUCGGGUGGAAAGGAGGUGGUGGAGUGGCGUGAAAAAAUAUUUUAAAUUUUAUUUUUUAAAACAUAAUUUCCUUUUUAUUUUAUGAUAGGAAUACUUUAAUUUUUAGCUUUUAAUUAAUAUUAGUAGUUUAUUAAAUUUUUGACAAGGUGAAAUAUUUUAUCCAUGUGAAAUGUCACAUAGCAAGAUUUUUGCAAAUGAAAAGAGUGAAUACAUCGCACAUGUCAUUGAGGUGUGUUUUUCAAACUAAUAAGUGAUGGUUUAUGUAUGAAACUCACUCUUCUAAUAGUUUACGCAUGAAACUAAAAAAACGAAAAUAGUUUAUGUGUGUUUGAUACUUAUCUCAAUAUUGUGGAUUUAAACUGAAACAACUUUCACAUAUAGCAAACAUAAAAAUCAUAUUUGUAUGUAAUAGUUAUAGUUUGCAUUUGCUAUAGAGCUUUUGAUUUGUAUAAUUCGCUAGAUACUUCAAUUUAUAAAAAUUGUUCAGUUUUGUAUAAAUUCAUUUAUACAUUGUAAUUUGGAUAAUUGUAAGUGUAUAUAUAUUUGAAUUUAUAUAUACAAUUUUCUCUCGCUUUAUACAAAUACAAACGCAUCUUAUACAUUUUAUACAUUUGUAUACCGAAUGACUAAUUAUAUAUCGAAAAUGGUUAAAUGUAUGACGAAUCAGAUAGCAAAAAAAUGAGAUAUUUGCUGCGAAUUACAAAUAAAAUAAAUUAUAGUUAUAUCAUUUAAUUUGAAUUAAUAGUUUUCUAUUUCAUACAAUUUUCCCUUUAAACUAAUGUAUUAACAUAUUAUUUAAUUUUGUGAUAUUAAAUAUAUUAAGUGGCAAAGUGAAAUAAAAGAGUUGACCAAAAAAAAGUUCAUUCAGCAAAAAGCAUAUAAUUUCAAAUGAAUUAUGACUUGAUUUGUAGUGAUUUUGAUUUAUAGUUAUAAAACUUCGUUUGAAUUCUUGAUCUGAGCUUUUAUUCUCAAUUUAUCAAUAAUGGACUCAUAUAAGUUUGAAAUUUUGGAAAAAAUGAAUUGUGUAUUAUUAAGUAAAUGUUAAAUAGGUUUGUUAAAAUUUAUAUAAAUAAAUUAAUAAUUAAAGUUUUUUCUUUUAUGAUACUAAAAUUAAUGUUUCAGAUUUGAGUUUAUUUCAAAUAUGUAUUAGUCAAAAUUAUCAAUGAUCUUUAAACUCUUCAAACUUAACAAAAGUCAAAUAUAGUAUAUAUACUGGUAAACAAGAUAUCAAAGAAUGUGCGAAAAAUAAAAAAAUAAGAUAUCAAAAAAUGUGCGAAGAAUAAGAAAAAUUUUCCGAAAUAAAAUUUAUUUUAUAUCGUGUCAAUAAUAUCAUUGUUUACAAAGAUAUAAUGCCUAAUAUAGUAUAUCAACUAACUAAAAACAUACUACUUAACUAGUUAAUUAUGACAAACUAAUUAAAAAAAGUGAAAUACUUCUUUUUUUACCUAAAUAACUUUUAUCUCUCAACACUUCUCUUCAAGUUAGAUAGUGCAAAAUAAAAGUGUACAAUGACUAAGAUCGAUAAAAAGUUAUUUAUCUUAACGAAACAAUGAGUAAGAUAAAAAGUAACUCCAACUACUCGUAUUGAUAUUAAUUAGUUUUCACUCAAAGAAGAUGAUAUAUGGAUGUGUAUGUCAAUAUGUAAAUAUUUUUAAAAUAAAUUGUCACUAAUUUUACAUACAUUUCGAGAUCAAUAGUAAUUUAACCUAUUAAAAUAAAUAUGGUCGAACACAUUUAUUAUUUUAAAUUUUUUUAUUCAACUUAUUUAUUAAAAGAUAUUCAUACAUAAUUCCUUUACUAAUUAUAAUAUCUCUAGGUUCAACGUAAUGACAAAUCAAUGCCACAGAUAAACUAUUUGAAAAUAUUAGUUAAAAAGCCUGGAAAUUGAUGAACUUAAAACUGCUAUUAUAAUAUUUACACAAUGAAAAGAGAUAUUAGGAGGCUAUAUGGUGAAUUAAGUAGCCAGUAUAUCAUCACUUAUUAUUUGAUUAUAUUAUGACAAAAGAAUUAUCUUAUGACAAAAGACUAAAGAAGAAUUACUUGAUAUAUUCUGAACUCAAUCAUAUUAACAAGAACAGUAAUUAAGUUGAGAGAUUUUAUGUGUAUUGAAAUAAAAAGACUAAAGCUUAUUUAAUUAUUAGUCAAACAUUUUGUGUAUGAGCUAUAUAUGUAUAACAAUUUUCAUUUUUCUUUUAAUAAUGUUAACCACUUGAUGCGAUAUAAUACCUUUGUUCUUAUUCUCAAAAAUCUUAUUGCCAUAUAAUAAGUUUUAAUUAAGUUGAUUCAAAAUUUUGGAAUAUGACACAGUUCACUUUCAUUUAACUAAAAACUUAUAAAUUUGAGAAUAAAAUAUAUUAUAUUCUUAAUGUCAUGACUAUAAAAAGGAAAUGAUUAAUUAGUCUAAAUCUUAAUUAUAACUUUGUAAUACAUGCAUAUAGUAGUAACUUAGUAGUUAUAAAGAGAUAGAAAACUUUUCCUCGCGAAUAAUUUAUAAUAACUUCUUUUAUUAUCUCUUCAUGAAAUAUAGUUUACAAUACUUCAAAUUUAUAUCAGCCUUUUCUUUUUUGUCGAAACUCUUGAAUUCAUUACGUUAUAACAGUAUGGUAGUUUAUUUUUUAAAAUAUAUUUGAAAAGGAUAAUGCACAAGUACCCCAUCAAUCUAUACCCAAAAUUUCAGAGACACACUUAUACUAUACUAAGGUCUUAUUACCCCUGAACUUAUUUUAUAAAUAAUUUUCUACCCCUUUUCGACCUACGUGGCACCAUCUUGUAAGCUCAGUAUGUGCUGACGUUUUUUUUCAAACUAGUGUCACGUAGGCCAAGUUAUUGUUAUAUCUUUGCAUUAGACUUAUUAACAUAGUUAGAAGUAAUUCAACUAUAGUAUUAACUCAACAAUAAGAUAUUUUUUUAUCGGUUUUUGGUCUACCGAUUUUAGGUUUAACCAAUAAGAAAAUACUUAUAAAAUAAAUAUAUGACUUUUCUAAUAAAUUUGAUGUGAAAACACAGUAAUGUAACAUUAAAAAAGACGCUCAUAGAAAAUGAACAAUAAUAACAAACAUGAAAAGAACUAUAUGAGUGUAUACAAAGAGAAAUUAAAAAGAAUAAAGUUCUAACUUUAAAUUUUAACAUUUUGUAUAAUGUUAAAUUGUGAACUCAAAGUUACUGUAAACUGUAAGUUGAAGAUUAAAGGACAAAUAUAGUAAUUAGUAAGAUAUUGAAAUUAAUAUAUAAUAUUUAUGUACAUGUAAAAGUAGUAAAUUAUUAGUCUUAAUGGGUCAUCGAUUUACCCAAUAACCCAAUAUUUAAAACAAAUUCCAAAUCGACAACCGAAUAAUUUUUUUAUAAAACCAUUCAAAAUCUGUUAAUCCAAUACCCCAAUAACAACAAGUCAGUUAAACUAAAAAAAAAAAAAAAACAAACAAGUCAGUUAAACUUUUAUCGAUUCAGUUUAUAAAUUGAUUUUGUUUUUGCACAAUCUUACUAAUAGAAAUCUCGAUUUCAAAUUUUAAAUGGAAAAAAAAACUUUAAUAAAAAAUGAUAUCUCCAAACAAACUUAUCCGAUGUAAAUUCAAAUCAAUCCAAUCUUAAUACAAUUAUUAAAUACAUAAUUAAAAGACAAAAUAAGGUAUAUAAAGGGGGCAAAAAGGAUAAAAGGGACUCCAAAAUGAGAAGGAAAAAGGGGAAGAAAGAAACAAAAAAAUAAAGUAAUUUGCACGAGGGAAGAGGCGCCCAUUUUCUCUUUGUUUUGCGCAAAAUCCGCAAAAAGUUUGCCGUGCUCCUCAAACUCUAAAGUCUAAAUCAGUGCACCAAAUUUUAUAUUUAAAAAAAUUAUUAUUAUUUACUUUAUCAUAAAUAAUUUAUAUUACUUUUUUUUAUAGUCAUUUAAUAUAAAAAAAAUUAUACCAUAAUCAUUUAAAAAAUAUAAAUUGCAUGCAAAUAUUAUAAUUUAAAAAAAAUUAUAUAUAGAAAAAUAAAUUUAUAAAAAGCUAACUUUAUAUUUAAAAUUAAUAUUAUAAAAUAUUACAUAAAAAUAAUAAAAUAUACAAAAGAUUUAAUUAAAAUAUAUCAUUUAUAUAAUGUUAAAUUAAAAAUUUUGUAUCAUAAAAUAAUGUUAGAAUGUCCAAUAACAUAAAUUGGUGUCAUAAUUAGUGUUACACAUCAAAAUAGUGUAGAAUUGAGUGUUGGAUUCGAGCUCCAAAACACUCAAUUUUACACCAAAUAAAAAAUUUGAUACAAAAUUUGAUCUUGGACGGAAGAUGGUCUAACCGCUUCUUUUAUUAAAAAAAUAUUUAUUUUAUUUUUUUUCCUAUUAAUAGAAGAGAAGAGUUAAAUAUAUUCUUCAAUUAUUCAAAAUGAGUUAGUUUUAUUUUUUACUCAAAAAUAUCUUUCAACUAACAGAAUGCAAAAAAAUAAAAAAUCCCUUUUUAACGGUUAUUUUCAAAACCAAAAAAAAUGUAACUUUGGUAAAAGUUGUGGGGAUAAUUGAUAUAUCCAUGAACUUUAAGGUACUUGUUGUAAAUUACCUAACCAUUUAAUGAGCAUAAGACAAAUUAAAAAGGUGAUUUACCUGCUUAAUCACGCCAUCAUGAAUCAAUUAAUUGGUCCUGACAUGUAAGAUUCUCUCAAAAUUUACAUUAUUAUACACAUAAGACCAUUGAGGUACUCUGUUAAAAGGGACAAAUGGAUCAGAUUGCAUAAAAAUAUAUUCUCAAGGGCUAAAAGAGUAAGAUUCAGAUCUCCAGUAUGACUAGAAAGAAAUACUUCAAUAAGAAAAUUAAGUGGACUAUUCUAUAUCAAACUAAAAUAAAUAAAUAAAUUUUUAAAAAUCAAACUUGAUCUUUUUAAAACUGGACAAGGUUCAAAAAUAUCUUUAAUGUAUGUGAAAAGAAUAAAAAUGUAUUUCGUUUAUAGUUUGGUUCAAAAAUAUUUUUAUUAUCAAUAUUUUGGCUAAAAACUAUCUUUAAAUUAUACAAAAGAAACAAAAAUAUCCUUCAUUUGUUGUUUGAUCCAAAAAUGUUAUUAUCGUCAAUACUUUGACCCGAAAUGUUAUUAUUAUCAUUUACUGGGUAAAAAAUGUUCACUUUUUCAAACAAAAAUAUUAUUAUUUUCUUUUUAACACAUUCCUUUUCUGAUACUAUAUAUAUAUAUAUAUAUAAAGGGCAUAUGAGAUUAUUCUAUUUUAAUUGAUUAAAUGAGAUAAGAAAAAAAUAAAUAUUUUAUAUACUUUUAUUUGUUAAAGUGAUGCUAAAAGAAAUAAAAGAAGAAUAGUAUUCUUUAAUAAUAUUUUAAUUAGGAAAAAGAUACGUUUAAAAAGAAAAAAUUAUAUAUUUAUAAAGGCAUUGUUAACCCAUUCUGUAACUAUAUAGGCAAUUUUUUGAACAAAAUAUUAACUGCAAAAGCAUUUUUGAGUUAAAAUAUAAAUAAAUUAAAAUAUUUUAUAAACUAAGAACAUUUUUAUUUCUUUCGCAUAGUUUAAAAAUAUUUCCGAUCUUUUUCCCUUUUUAAAAGAUUAAGGAAUAUACACUAAUGUAUAUUCAUUUGCACUUCUUUUUCCUCACGUAGUGGGAGCUCUACCCCACUAAUACUUGUCUCCUCUACGUAAUUGCCUUCUUCUAUUAGGCAAAUUUACUGGUCAAUUAAAAUUACUGCAUUUUGGUGGUAUAUUUUCAAAAAAAAUACAAUAUUUACACAUUCAUGAUUGUCAUUAAUCCACGUUGAAAGUUUAUGAGCUUAAACAGGUUUAAUUAUAAUACCCUUGUACUUUUAUAUUUAUGGAGAUAAAAAUGUUUUGGGUGUGUUAUCUUCAUUUUUUUGAAAAAUGAAAAAAAAAAUCAUAUAAAUUAGAGUAGAAAAAAUAAGUAAUAUUUCCCUUCGGUUAAUUUUUCGUAAUUAACCAAAAAUAAUACUCAAUGUGAAGGUAAAAAGUAAAUAAAACUGUAGCAAAAGACAGUAGAGUGAUAAGAAAAGGAGCCGUUAGACUGGGGGUAGUUUAGUCAUAGAAUCACAUUUCCCAAUUAAACAGUCAUUAAUUUGACUGACACAGAUUGUAUAUCCAAAAGAAUACUUGUUGUGCAAAGGUUUUUUCUGUUCAAAAGGUAUCGCCCACGCAAAUAAUCUCUUCGUCUUCUAUUAACUUAUUAAUUUUUUAUUUAAAAUAUUAUAAAUAAAAAAAAUAAUUUUACUAAUUUAAUCUUUAAAUUUUUUAUAAAUAAAUAAAUAUUUUCUAAAAUAGUUAAUUACAAGAUAAUAUAAAAAAAUUAAUAAUAAUUAAUUAAUUAAUAUAAAAUAAUUACAUUUGAUAUAAUAAUCCAUUAAUAUAGAGUGCGCAAACAAAAAUUCCAUUGCUUUCUGCACUGUGGAACCUUGGGUGAAUGUGUCAUCUUUGUACUGAAUCAUUUUAUUUGUUGUUUCUCAUUAGUCAUUCUUUUCUAAUCUAUUGGUUAAACACCAUACUAAUUUGAUUCACAAAUAUUAUUGCCAAGUACAAAGUUAUUUUGGAUUUAUAAUUCCUAAACCAUUUCCGUUCAAUUAUUAUUCCAACUACUAUUCAAUGAUUUAUUUCACGAAAUAUAAUACAUAAUGUCCUAGUUUACGAUUCAUAAUUAUUAAUUGGUUAAAAAAAGGAUAUUUUAUAUUUAAUGAUAAUAAUUUAGUUUUAAAAUGUCAUUUUAUUUUUAUAAUACGAAUUCUACUCACACAAGUAUCUUGACUUGUUUUAAAUCAUAAAUUUCAAGGCUUUUUUAACUUUUUUUUUAUGUCAAAUUAAAUUAGAUCAUAUAAAUUAGAAUGAAAUUAAAAAAAUAUGAUACAUUCUUAAAAUUUGUGAUCUAAUCGAAGUCAUUUAUAUAAAAUAAUCAUAAAUAUAUGUAAUGACUAUAAUUUUUUAAAUUCUUUCAUUUAAAAAAAUUAUGAAAAAAUCGUAGUAAUCCAUGUGAAGAUUAUUUUACCAUAAAGUUUUGAAGCAAAUAAACACUAUUGUUCAGCCUCCUGUUAAAUCUUCGUUUUCAUUCAUUCAUAUGAAUAAAGAGGAAAUGAACGUAAAGUAGCAUUCAAGCACACUUCCCGAGGCUAAUGCAUCAACACUGUACAAGAUUCCCUCCUUCCUUCUUCUACCAAUUUUCUCAUCAUUUCAGUAAGGGUCCCUUUGCUUAAAAAGUUGAACUGAAUACUCUGUUUUCAUUGAAUGGUUUCCACUUCAUUGUCCAAUCGAUUCAGGUUACCUUUUUAUGGGCUUAAAGAUUUACUGUUUUGUUCGCUUUUCACUCUCUCCUCUGUUUUAGAGCUUCACUUGGGUUUCAUUUCUUCGACUGAAGAGGUCUGAUUUACAACUGUUUCUUUUUCUUUUUGCAGCUUUCUACAUGGGCAUGAACCCCCUUUUAUCCAUUUUAUCUGUUUUGAUGAGAAAAGGGUUCUGGGUUUGGUGUUAGGGUUUUAGUGUUUUUUGGGGGGAAAUUCAGUGUUGAUGGUGGAAAUGUUCAAUUCAGGGAAGUGGGUGAUUUGAUUUGAUUUGUCUUUUUUUCUCUGUGUAAAUGGGUGCGGCAAGUUCAAAGUCUGAACGGAGUGAAGCUCUGAGACUGUGUAAAGAAAGGAAAAGAUUUAUAAAACAAGCAGUUGAUUCUAGGUAUGCAUUAGCAGCUGCUCAUGUUUCGUAUGUUGAAUCUUUGAGAAAUAUAGGCAUUGCUCUUAGGAGAUAUGCGGAGGCUGAAGUGUUGAUAGAAUCAUCUCUAUCAACUUCAGCUACUGAGCUUGAUAAAACUCCGUCACACUCGUCGUAUCCAUCACCUUCACCAUCUCACGUUGGUGGGGUUUCAGAUUCUCCUGUUCUAAAUGGAAGCCCCCUUUCACCUCCUAUUGCUACUAGGUUGAGUUACAUGAGGUCUGCUGGACCUACUGCUGUCACUGUUAAGGUGAGUCCAUCUUCAACCAAUAUGUACGUAGAUGAUGUUGAUUUCUCAACCCCAUUACCCCCACCCCCACCUCCAGAUUCAGGGUCUUGGGAUUUUUUUGACCCUACAGAUAAUGAGAGCUUUAGGUUUGUUCCACAUAAUGGUAGGCAACUGAACUUUGAUGAACUUGGUGAAAAAGAUAAUGAGGGUGACAAUGGUAUUCAAGAAGAGUUCUUGACACCUAAAUCUGAACCUAAAAGUAAUGGUCAUGGUAAAUUGGAGUUUCAUGAUUCUAGUUCAGUUAUGCCUAAGAGGGCUGAGAAUAAUAGUCAGCAAAUAGCUGAUGGUGAGGGUAAUAAUGUGAGAAGUGAGCCGAAAGCAAAUGGUUCGGUUGGGACUACGAUUGGGAAAUCUGCCUUGCAAGUAUCUGUUUCAAAGGGAGACAAGCCUUCAGUGGAUGAAAGAGAGGAUCCUUCAGAGUUCAUAACUCAUAGAGCCAAAGAUUUUCUUUCUAGCAUAAAGGACAUUGAACAUCGAUUCUUUAGAGCAUCUGAAUCCGGAAAAGAAAUUUCAAGAAUGCUCGAAGCUAGCAAAAUCAGAGUUGGGUUUUCUGAGGCCAAAGGUAUAACUAUCUCUUAGAAUUAUUAAAAAAUGCUCUUUUAUUGCUUACUUUGGUUUUUGCAUCGUUUUACCUACUGAAAUUCACAUGUUUUUUGUUAUCUAUGGUCAAGUGCUAAUACAUUGCUUCUUCAGGAAAAUCUUCGGUGUCCGCCUAUUUGUCUUCUAUGGGCUCAGGUUGCUGCAGAAGAGUGGGUGAGAACAUGUCUGGUGGUAAGUUCAUUGAACAAAUUAAUAAAUUGCGUCUUCAUGUAAAAGUUGCCAAUAUGGUAAUUUAAUUAAACAUUACAUAAACAACCUCUAAAGAGGAAACAUAGUCUAAAUUCAGGCUUUAGAUUGCAUAAUUUGUGAUUUUACUUAAUUGUGUUACUCCACUGGUAGUAGACUUGGGGUUUCUUCAUGAAGGCUGUGUUUUAAUGAGAUAAUCACAUCAGCAAGUAAUUCUAGAGCUCUAAAGACUGGAUAUUUUAGGCUUUUCCCUUCAAAACAGUUGCUUUUUACUAUGAGCAAAAUAGUUAAAUUGUUAUCAACAUAUUGAGCUUACUUGAAGCAAAAGGUUGAUCUUAAACUUUUGGAGCACUUUAACCUUAAUAUUGAUGAAGUGGGCGUUUAAGUCAGAAUGUUGACAGAUUUAGCAAAGAGGCCCGAUAAGAAACUUUGCAGCAGUUGCAUCCUCGACAAUUGUCUUGAAAGUGGCUCUUUGGUCUUUCGUGAUCAUUUUAAGUCAAAUCUGAGUCGUUCUCCUACAUAAUCCUUGUCCUUCUCUUUCCUUCUUUGAGCUAGUUGGGCUUUGGGUGGGUGGAGUGUGAGCAUUGUUGAGUAUGGGCGAGAAAGCUGGUGGUGACUGCAAGUGGCUGUUGUAGAUGGACGGGUUGAUGCCUUGUUGAUGGUGGUAAAGGCUAUAGUACUUGGGUUGUAGUCUUGGUGCUAAGCGGUGUUGUAUAGCAUAUUGAAGGAAGGAAGAAAGGGAUGUAGAAAAUUUGAAAUAGAAAUAAAAGAAAAAGAAAGGAUGCAAGAGAAAUGUGUGACUGCAGGAUAAGAGAAGUUAGAAGAGAGAACAAAAAGUUGAGUAAAAAAUACAGUGAAAGCUGUGGUGAGGGGAUGUAGAGAUAGUUACCUUGGUUAAACUUUUGGUUUACUCCGAGAAGAUCACUGAGGUGUCGGAAGUUAUUGACCAAAGGUGUGGCCUACUGAUCAAUGAAGUGUGUUGAGACCAUGAUGUCUUAGGUUAAGUUCCAGUGGAGAAAAAACAUUAGGUUAUUUCUUCCCAUUGCCCAAGCCUUGGUGGAUAGAGGUACCCGGUACCUGUGUUGGCUAGAGGUUAACCUGUUAAAUUAGUUAAGGUGCGCCCAAGUUGGGCCGAACGCCACGAUUAUACAGAAAAAAAUUUAUAGCUUGUGAUGCUGUACCGAGUUUUAAGAUGUUAAUUUGAUAUGUGAACUCUAAAAACUCGUGAAUGCUUUAAAAGAUAUUAUGUUAGAACGGUUUCAAACAGUUAUGGGCAUCACAUAUCGGAAAGACUUCAUAUAAAUUUGAGUUUGAGACAGGGAGAGUAUUUACUUUUUACAUCCAUCCAAGGCAAGGCUGAAAUGUCCACGAUUCAAGAAAUUCUAGUCCUAAUCUGCUCCAACAAAUAUAGCGAUUUAUUAUCUUAAAGAAGACACAACACAAAUAUAGGGAUUUAAAUCACAACUACCCAUUAACGGAACUAAAAGCAUAAUUAACUUAUCAAACUUGUUUGGAGUAAUGUUGGACAAACUUGAUUAUGGAGUUAACAUUAAAAAAUUGGUUAUUGGAGUAAGUUUUCUUUUCAAUAAUCAUGGUGUCUGUGCCUGUUUUCGUGCACCUCGACUAAUUCCACGAGAUACUUCUAGCUCCCACCAAUAAUAGGUACCAGGUAACUCUGUCCACCAAGGCUAGGACAUGUGGGAAGAGAUCACCUAGUAUUUAGAAUAUGUAAUUCAAGUUCAGUUGUAGUUCAUAAAUUUUAGCAUUAUAUGUUAGUGGAUUAAAGCAUUUAUACUCUUUUUUCCUGUUCAUUGCUGUUCUAAUACUUCUAGUGCAAUGCAGAAGCAGACCAUGUAACAAAGGUGAUUAUCUGGAAGAGGACCACAUCCUCAAGAUCAUCUUCAUCGAGGAAUCCUCUUAAUAGUAAGGAUGACAAUGAUGAUAGUGGAAGUGAUUUUGUUGAAGAUUUUUGUAUGAUAGCUGGAAGCCACUCAUCCACCCUUGACAGAGUAUAUGCAUGGGAGAGGAAACUUUAUGAUGAAGUGAAGGUACUGACCUAGAAAGUUGAGUGUCCUGAUUAUUUUGAAUUAUUAUUAUUGGUGUAGGAUUAGCUCAGGGAGCUUGAAAUACAGCUCAAGUAAUUCAAAAAUAUAUAAGAGCUGAAUCUUCAGAUAUUAAUAAGUAGCAUCAGAAGAAAUGGAUAUGGUUUAUAGAGUAAAUACACCAUUCUUUUUUUUAAAGAAGGGUUUAGAGUAAAAUACUGUAGAAUUUGAGAAUUAAGGAAAAUUUUAGUAGCCUUGAUCAUACUAGGAUAAUUUUAGUAGCUAAAUGACACAUUAAACAAAGAGUAUACUAUUGGAACAUGUGGUGAAAUGACCCUUCGAUUGAGAAUUGUGAUGUUCAGGCCAGCUUGUGUGCACUUAGACUAAUUAAAUGUGUUCCUUCUACCUCCUACCAGCACAAGUACCGGGUAGCUUUGUCCACCAAUACUUGGACGGACGAGUAGAAAUGGUAUUUGAACCUGAGACCUCAUGUUUCUCAACCCACAUCAUUGACCUGUAGGCCACAACUUGGGUGUUGUUCAUCCUAAACUAUACAAUGUGUAGCCCAUUGACUGUGCCCCUAGGGGUACUACGUAGGUCGAUAGCUGCAUUGCUCUAUAACCAGAGAUCUGGAAAUACUAAGUUAAUGAGAAAUUCCAAAAUGCUGAAAUCUGUCGGAUUUUCCCCCCCUUAAUUUCUGUCCUCUUGGUGCGGGCUUGCAGAACUUCACGUAGGCCUUCUAUAUUACUCAUUCACAUGAUAUACAUGAACACACCCCGUCUUCCAACUUCUCCUUUUUUGACAAAAUUCUAUUCUGCUUGAGGUGUCUGAGCACGUUUCUUUUAUCCAGUCUCCUAACCUCAACCAUCAUAAUGAUUAAAUUAUAUUCAUUCAAUUGAGCUUCACUUUUUCAAAGAAGUCCAUCGCUUGUUAUCCUCCUUGAUGAUGUCAAAAAGUAUCUUUCUGCUGGUGCAGUAGUUGCUGUCGGUUUGCUCUUUCAAUAAGAAUCCUUAUUUGUUUGAUAAACACAGAAUCUGGUUGACAACAAGAAAGUUUAGCAAGUUAUAUUAAUACCCAUAAAAAAAGGAUGUUUAACAAGUUGUAUUUAUAAAGUAAUUGGUGUUAGGUCAUGUUUUACUGAAUACUGCAGUACUCCAAACUACCAAUCCGUCCUGUCAGUUUCAGUUGCUUUAGACUGAAAUCCUUCUUUGAGAAGCUGUUCUGGAUGAUAAGGAGCUCCAUUUACUGUAGUUCUCACUAGUGUCGAUAAAUAACAGCCAAUUGAGAAUGUUUCUUUUCUGCAGAGAGGGUGUUCAGCAAAUUUGUAUAUAUGGAGGAAAUAACCUUGUGGAAAACAAGACAGGAAUUCAGAAAUUUCUUUUAGUAUAGAUACUAAUAUUGAUAAGAUACAUUUUUACUUUGGUUUCUGGACCUUCCAUAGCUUUGUGUAUUCCACACCUUAUCACUGUUCUUGAAUUCAAACUUGAGGAAAUGAAGAUGAACUAUACAGCCCUUCACAGGCAUGUCAUUAUUGUGGUAAUUUUAGAAGAUAAUUUUUCUUUUUUGUGAGUAUUUCAAAGCUCAUUUGCUCAUCAUCCUCUUUAAUUUGUAGACGAUUGAGUCAAUCAGGAGAGAUUAUGAUCGGAAGUGUAACCAACUUAGGCAUCAAUUUGCCAAAGAUGUUAGCGCCCAAAUAAUUGACAAAACACGGUCAGUGGUGAAGGAUCUCCAUUCACGCAUCAGGGUGGCUCUAUAUUCCGUUGAUUCAAUAUCAAAGCGGAUAGAGAAAAUGAGGGAUGAAGAGUUGUUGCCUCAAAUUUUGGAACUUAUCCAAGGGUAAGGAUAACAAUUCUUUCUCUUCCUGCUAUUGAGCAUAUUUAAUCUGAGUAACUAUGCUAUCUAAACCUCAUUUUAAGGGUCAUCUGUCCAUGCACAUGCCUUGUAUGUUUGCUAUUAUAUUUUUUAUCAGAUUCUUAAUAUCUGGGCUCCAUGCAGAUUGAUCAGAAUGUGGAGAGCGAUGCUUGAAUGCCAUCAUGCUCAGUAUAUAACCAUUUCUCUAGCAUACCACGCCAAAGCUUCGGCUUCUAGUCCCCAGGGUGAAACUCAAAAGCUGAUUAUGAGUCAGCUGCAGGAUGAAGUAGAAUGCUUUGGCUUGAGUUUCGCCAAUUGGAUUAACAGCCAUACUUCAUAUGUGGAAGCUCUUAACAGCUGGCUGCAAAACUGCAUCCUGCAACCACGUGAGCGAACCAAAGGCAGAAGAGCAUUUUCCCCUAGACGAGUUCUGGCCCCACCAAUAUUUGUGCUUUGUCGGGACUGGUCCACUGGGAUUAAAUCUCUGCCUUCUGAAGAGCUUAGUGAUGCCAUCAAGGACUUCUUGUAUGACCUACGGCAUUCAGUUGGACACCACUCCGAGGAACUGCAAAAGAAAGAAACUACUCCUGAACCGGGGAAUGAGGAAUUGGAAGGGAAAGAUGAAGAGAAGAAUGAUGAGAAGUCAUCAAAUUUGAAUUGCAUUCACUCGAGUUUAACAAGGGUUCUGGACCGUCUGACCAAGUUUUCCGAGGCUUCUUUAAAGAUGUGUGAAGAUAUCAGGCAGAAAUGUGAUACAGCUCGAAAUGCAUAUCUGAACUAUCGACCAGCACCAAGAUCCUUUAGUAUAUGAUUGCAUUAUAAAAAUUAUGUUAUUGUAAAUCAAAGGUGGCUGCCUUGUCUUUUUGGUGGAAAAUAGGUUACCAAUUUAACUGAAAAAGUCCAUUCUACUUGCCAGUUGCAUCAAGCAUGAGCUUUCAAACUACCUAGUGAAGGCAGCAUCAUUUCAUCUUUUGUUAGCUCUCUUCCUCACUGUUGUCUCAGUAUUAUGUUUUAACAUAUUUCUUAUCAAAGUAAACAUUAUUGCUAAUAUGAAGGUACUAGCAACACAGCAGCUGUUGUAUCAUGUGAAGAUCAAUUUGUAGUGACUAGGGAUGCUGCAGCAGUUCCAAAUUUAGAAAAAUAAGAUAGGUGCUGUACUAGAGCGGUCAGAGUCUCUUUAUGUCCACAAGGAUAAGAUCCACUUAUCUUUUACUCUUUUUGGACUCCAAUUAAUUUAUGAAAUUAUUUUAUUGAUAUAAAGUAGGUGACGGGCUGUGAACUGGUCCAGCAGUGGAAAAUAUAAUAAGCUCAAAUGGUCAAUGCCAAAAUAAAUGCGCUGUUGUUGGGGCUGACAUAAAUUUAAGAAGCUUAUAAAUGUCUCGUGUUUCGCUCAGCAACACUCCGUCUCAAAUUAUCUGGUGUUUUUCUAUUUUCGAUGUCCCUUAAAAAUUAUUCUUAUUUAUAGCUUAGUUACUCUAUUUAUAUGCUUAAUUGAAGUGUUUUCCACCUUUUCGAAUUAUUUUCAGUAUUACUAUUAUACACAGAGACACUAAUUAAGAAAAUUUAUAUCCAUCUUAUUUUUAUUUUUAUUUUACAGACAUAAUCUUUUUUAAAUGUUCGAAUUGAGAUAACUAUAUUACUACUAAGGGUAAAAAUGAAGAAAGAACAAUUAAUCUUAUUUUAUAUUUUUUCACAACGAUUAGAAAUAACUAUAUUUAGAAACCACCAUAAAUAAUGCAAAUGCAUGAUGUAAUAUGAACCCCUUUGGAUCUGAUUUCAUAUAUAAUAUUAAGACAAAUACACCAAUUAGAACUAGUUGACAAGAAGUGAAUACAAGAAGAAUUCCUCAAGCUUGCCUUACCAAAGAUAAAAGAGAUGCAGGAAGCUUGACAUCAGGAUAAAUAAUGGUAUACAAAGUAUACUUAUAAGGACCAUGGGGAACUUUUUGAACUAUGAAAAUCAGAGGAAACAUAUAUUGCCCACUUCUGUUAUAAAUUAGAACCCAACAUUCUGUGUAUACUGAGUAUAAGCUUCUGAUGGAGUCUGCACACCAAUUGGAGCACGCGUUACAUAAUCUGGAAGAUCAAAGGCAUCAACAAGUUCCCUUGCGAUAUUCUUAACUUGGAAGCAUAGAUAAUCUGCUAGCUUGUGAAUUGCCUGUGAAAAAUUAAAAGUGGAUGGUCAGGAAUAGAAGAGAAUCAACCAGCCUAGAGAGUGUUAUAACUAAGCGAAGAUUUAUAACUUGCUCAUUUAACUUCUAAGAUAACCAUAUUUGCCAAGCGUCAUUUACUUUAUGUGGUUAUCUACAAUUUUUUAAGAGAAAAAAUUACUAAACGUCAUAGUAUCUCCAUGACAAAAGGGGUCAUCACGAUAGAAUAAUCCUUAAGAACCAUAUCAAUUGCAAAACUGCAAUUAGAUUCUGAUCUCUCGUACUAUACUCUUGAAUGUUUUAAUUUGCAUUUAGUAUUAGAUUAAAGAUAUUAAGAUGUAGUACAGUGACUACAUAUCCAGCUAACUUUCUCUAGAUUCAUACCUUAGCUUUGUUAGGGGCCACAUAGUCCACAUUGCGGUAAGUUCCUAUAUCAUUCCAGAUUCUGUCCAAGGCAUAGAGAUCGCACACGAGUUUUAGGGCAGCACGAGAGUUUUCAUCAGGACAACUGCAAAUAAAAGAGAGAAUUAGAUAAAUACUAGUUGAAGGAAAGAACAAGUUUCUCAAACUGUGAUUAGGAAAGUACUUUUUAACUGCUUCAAUGAACUUUUCAAGAAUGAACGAUUCGAUAUGAGACUCUGCAAGUGUCAACAGGUGAUUUAAACAUCUAUUCCAAGCACCAAAUCCUCCAAGAGUCUUGGAGUGCUUCUGAAGCCGGAUAGCUACACUUUGAAGCAACCUUGAUGUCCGAUACUGGAAAAGGAGCAGUUACAACAUUAGUUAGAUGUACAAUGCUGUUGUAUGCCAAUGUGUACUGUCGUCAGAUUGACCACAAAAUACUCACCCUAAAAGCAUCCAACUGGAAGUUAGGGUUGCGUAAGUGUUCUUCACUUUCCCAUCUAGCAGUAACUGGAUUAGGCUGAGCAAGGUAAGAAUUCAUGGAUUGUCUUAGGUAGUUCCAUGUGACAGUGAGCGUCCCACCUCGGAAUUUCUCCCUGUACUGCUUCAACAGAAGGCCGGCUACCUGGAUCAUAAGAAGAGUCGUUAUACCCUGUCCCUUUAUCAUAUUUUGCUUAAAAUAAUUAAGAAACAGAACAGUUCUUUUUGUAUGCAAGGGGAAAUGGACUCGAAAUCUCAAAUCUCAACCUGCUGCAGAAGAACAGUGUUGUCUCCCUCAAAUGUCUGAAAUAUGUCAUGAUCAUUCCUCAAUAUUCCAAACCUAUUGACAGCGGCAUAACCAUGGCCACCACAAGCUUCUCUACAUGUGCUCAAUGACUUUGCGGUGUAAGAAGUGAUAUAGGCCUUAAGCCCUGCAGAAAGUGCAUGUACGUCCCCUAUCAGUUCCUCAUCAUGAGACUUCUUCAUUUCAGAAUAUUUUUCCACCAGAUGAAGUGUGGCAAAAUGGAAUGCGUAGGUCGAAGCCAACAUUGGCAUAAGCUUGUGCUGCUGAGAUUGGUAGUCAAGUAUACUAACUUCAGGUUGUUUAGGAGGACCGAAUUGCUGGCGCAAAAGAGAAUAUCUUGUUGCAAUAACAACAGCAAUCUUGAGAACACCCACAGAUGAAUACGCAAGGCCAACUCUACCACCAACAAGUUCUCCAAGUGUGGCAGCAAAUCUUUUGCUAAUUGUAGGCAGGCUGCUGGUGUAUCUCCCAUCCCGUGAAACGUCUCCAAAUCGAUUAAGAAGGUUAUCUCGUGGAAUUCUUACUGAACGAAAUCUCAAUGCACCAUUAUCUACUCCAUUCAAGCCAACUUUAUGGCCACAAUCAUGUAUUUCAACCCCUGGCAUUGUUUUGUGGGUUUUCAUAUCCCUUAUGGGAACAAUAAAUGCAUGAACACCCAUGUCAGUAACACCUUUUGUAUCAUGAGUUGGUAACAUCAGUCUUGCAAAAACUGUUGCAAACUUCCCAUGAACGGCAGCAUUACCAAUCCACCAUUUAAUAGCCCCAUCAUUUGGCGUGUCAAUUAUGAAUUCAUCUGUGAGUGGAUCAAAGGUGGCAACUGUCUGAAGACCUUGGACAUUGGAACCUGGUGAGCAAAAAAAAUAAAACUAGAUUAGACUGAAUCAAAGUGUCCUAAUUAUCAAAAUAACAGCACUAUAUGGUAAUGCUUUUGAUUCAAUUAAGUGGCAUUCUUAUGGAUGUUAAUUGUUAAAGACAUCAUCAACUGCCUGGGCUAUACUAACCACAUUCUGCAACUUCCAGAUAUCCCACUUAUAUUCUGUAAUUUUCCUUUAGAAAAAGAGGACGAAAAAUGAUUAGAAUGUUUCUUUGGAACAUAAUGCUGUAAAUAAGCAAAGUAUACAAACACGUACAGAACAACCUAAUCUUGCAAAUUUCUACCAACGUUUGCUAUAUGCAUUGAGUCAAUGUGUAAAAUAUUUAUCACUACUUUAGCUACGUAUGUUAUAAGCAAACAUCAUCUCCCUUAACUCAAUUGCUAAAACACCUGUAUGUGCAGUGCACAAGACCAAAGAACAUACUGGAAGUUGAUAAUGAAAUGAUAAUUAUACAAGUAGUAGUCCAAAACAGUUUACCAUGAUGAAGCUCCGUCAUUGCAAAGCAUCCCGGGUAGUCCACAUUGUCUAUACCAUCAAAGUAUUUGUCUCUGUGCUUUUUAGUUCCCAAGUUGAUAACAGAACCUCCCCAUAGACUGUAUUGAAAGUCCAAUCCGUUAAGAAUUUGUUAUUAACUUUAUUAAUGAGAAACUUAAAACAUAAGAUCCAUCAUAGUUGCUAUAGUAAUCGAGAUUCAGGAAAAUAUGCAACUAGGACAGAAAAUACACCAUACAGUAACAAAGGGAGGAUUAGAAAAGAAGACCCUAUGGUAUAUAAGUUUUACUAGGGUACUCUUGAUCACCAACAACUUAAGGUUUGGAAAUGAUGCAUUCUGAGAAGUAUCAAAUUCUAGCUUUCGCAUACUUGCAUAGAUGAUAAGUUGGAAAUUAGGUGCAACUACUAGGUACUUCAAUCAUUUGUACACAAUAGCAAUCAAGAAGGAAACUCUUUAGUUGAUCUGAUCCAGAUUAGAUACUAGAUCUUUCCUCAAUAAACAUCAAAUAGCAAAUCAAGGCCUUGACUAGAAUCAUAUGAAAUAUCUUCUUUAAGAAUAUACGAAUUUGAUUGGUCCAUACAAUCCAAUUCAAAAGGAAGCUUUUCUAUCUUGUUUCUAUGCAUGCUCUUGAACUCAAAUAAAGCUAUAGAACCCCCAAAAGGAUUUCAUCAAAUGCAUUUUCUAAGGAAGAAAACAUUUGCAUAUUGGCAUAUUUCUGGAUCCUAUUGGUCCUUGUAAAUGAUCUUACUGGUGUAUACUUAUAUCUCGAUUCUCCGAUCUUUCUGGUAAAUAAUCAGCAAUAAAUGAUUUUUCACAUAGCAUUGAACUGAUUCAUACCAACUACACCUAAGUGGCUAAAUUCCACAGACCUCUUAACUCCUCCCCGAAAAAGAGAAACUAUAAAAACAAAACAGAGGCUAGCUAAAACCCAAAAUCAGCAUAAUGAUUAGUAUUCUUAUUUCAAAUUACAUACAUAAAUACCAGUGCUACUCUAAACUCAAAUUACAGAUGUAACUGUACUCCGGGCCUCAACAAUGAAAACAAAACAACAACAUACCCACCAGUGAAAUUCCAGAAGAAAAAUGUUUUCACAAACAAAUUUGACCUCAAUAGUGAAAAUAUGUCAAAAUUGAAGUCAAAGCGGUGAGGAGAAUUUAUAUUUUUACCUGUACUGAACACCCAUUUUGAUGCCAAGUGACAUGUCAACGCUUCCCACGGCUUCAGCAAUCGCAAAAUACUUGGCCGGAUCGUCAACCACAUACCUAAAUGGCCUAAUUCCACCUUCCCUUACCAAACCCACAAGCUGUUUCAUGCACAAUUCCCUGUGUUCAUCUUUCGAUAUCUCAAUCGGUGUUUGAAGUUCCGGUCUUGAAUUAAAGUAAGCAAAUACUUUUUCCUGUAUAUCCCUAUGCUUCCCUCUCAUGUACUCUGACAGCGCCUCCGUGCUCACUUUAAUCGCCUUCAUCUUCCCUGCGCAUCUCAGCAGCUCCAAUUCCUGAACCGGGAUUUCCUGAACCGGGUUCAAAUGCAACGUCAGCAAAUUGAUUCGCCGGUUCACGAGUUCCGCCGUUUCUUCACUGUUUUGAGGACCCUUUGAGCUGAUCUUUUGAAGCUCCAUGGAAUCUUGAAACAAAAACGAUAAAUCAGUAAAUAUAUAGAUACAGAGUUGUGUAUAUAUAGGUAGAGAGAGAAAGAAGACGUUUUAUGGUUAUGGAGGUUGGAAAAUGGAAAUGUUGAGAGGAGGUUAGGAGAAGAAUUGAAAUGGUUUAUACGGAACGUUAGUGUGACGUGGAGUCACGAGUGGCAUGGCACGUGGAGUUAUGUUAUUGGAGGAAAAGUAAGGUAAAUUAAUAUAUAUAUAUAUAUAUGGCGCGCCGUUCGAUGUAGAUCAAGAUAGGGAUGGGUGAAUCUUGAAUGAAUGGGAGAUUUGGAUGAGAUUGGUUGUCAAUCAAGACUCAUAUUUUUUGGCCAUUUCCUUUUUAAUUUUUUAAUUUGAAAAAGGAGAAACUCUUUGUUUUUCUUUAUUGGGUUCGAAUAUUUAUCCAAUAUUAGUUUAAUAGCUUAGCUUACUUUGUAGGUAAAAGACUUUUUGUUUUGACUUUAAAUAAUACGCAAGUUCCGCGAUAUGCUAAAUUAGUUGGCGAUUUGUUUCAGGAUAUGUUUCUUGUUGUUAAAUAAUUCAGUUUGGAUAUAUUUAAUAAAAUAAUUAUAAUUUUAUAUUUCAAAUUAGAAUUAACAAAAAGUUAGAUAUGUUGGGAAGAAGACUUAUUGACUUUUAAUUUGAUAAAGUAUGAAGUAUUUAACUCUUUAUAUUCUAUAAGAUAUGGUCAUUUGAAGUUGACUCAUUCAUCAUCUGAUGAUAAAAUUUAAUUGGUAGAGAAACUUUGAACUUGACUUAGUGCUAGACUUUCCUUAUGACUCUAAUUCACAUCUAAUAUACUUACAACACUAGAAAUUGAUCUUAACACGUAAGAUCAUCAAAAUUGAAUUUAUACGUCUAUGGAAAAUGAUUCGGACCUUUGCUAAAAGUUACGGACGUUACAAGAAGCAUGUAGGACACUAGAUAGAAUUGUUGACGAUAAAUUUAUACUUAUAUAUUAUAGUUUCUUACAAAUUUAAUAAUAUAAUAUUAAUUUGUUGAAAACAUACUAAAUAAAUUUAUUUACCAAUAUAAUAAAGAAAAUUAUAGCAUAAAACUAGAAACACACAACCUGAUAACAAUUUAAUUCAAAAAAUGCUCAGCAAUAAAAUAUAAGAGGAAGCAUCAUUUCUUUUAUCUUUUUCUACAGGGAAGGACUUCUAUAUUUAUAGAUCAAAAUCACUUCACCUCCUAGUGGGUUAAGACUAAUGGAUUAUAAUCCAAAAAGGGUAAAGAACUGACGACUCGUUAUCAUCAUGAAGAAUAAAGUCUAUGUCAUAAUUGUAAUAGAGCCAUAAUUUACUUUUGCACACUUGUUAAUAAAAUUAUAAAUUGAAGUGUAACUUUACUAUAUAACCUUUUAAAUAUAAUAAACGUAAUGUCUUGAAAAAUGUAAUAGGAAAAUGACUAUAAUUAAUGGGGAAAAUGCAUAAAUAUCACCCUAGACUAUGAGUGAAAUUCCAAAUACAUGCCUUAACUAUUCUAAGAUCCUAUUACUCUUUUGAACUUUUUUUUUUGUAAUUUUGUGCACCUUUUUGGCUUACGUGGAUUCCAAAUAUCUCUACGCGCCUCAAUUGCGUGGAGUCACGGAGUGUGCCACGUAAGACAAAAGGUGUAUAAAAUUACAAAAAGAAUAAGUUCAGAGAAGUAACAGGACCUUAGUUUAGUUAAGGUGUGUCUCUGAGAUUUUGGUCAUAAUCUAAGGAAGGAACUGUGCAUUUUCCAUAAUUAUGAUAAAAGUAAAUUAGAAAUUUAGAUUAAAAUUAUUCAUUGGUUUCAUAAAGUUGACAAGUAUUGUUGAUCCAAAUAGUACAGUCAACAACUAUUGUUGAACGGAUUAGAUAUUUAUUAUCUAUUACGACAAGGUAAUUUUACAAUAUUAUAUCAUAAUUAUAAUAGAUGAUUGACCCCAUCUUUUGAGAUUAUAAAUUAAAUAUUUAUUUAUAAAUGUGUUUUAAAUGACAUAAUAGUAAGAGUUUAUAUUAAUUAAACUCUCAAAUCUCAAUUAAGUAAUUUAAAACAUUUAUGAAUUGUUUCUUUUACCUAUGAGGUUACAAGUUUGAAUUGAGUGAUCCUUUUGAUGAUUGAAUUUUAAUUUUAUUUCCUUCUAAAAAAUAGUAAAUUAAAAUUAUUUAUUUACUAAUGAUGUGUUUUUAUACAAUUCAUACUGCUAAAAGAAAUAGUAAAAUUAAAAAUUAUAAGUCAUUGGUGGAUUUCUAAUACUAAGGAGUCUCCAUAAGGUGCUUUUAUACAAUUCAUAUUGUUGCAUAUCACGUUUCUGCACACUUACACUAACAACAUUAUUGUUGAGUUUCCUUAAUAAUUUGCACACAUUGUAAAGGUUUAUUUACCAUUCAAUUUAAUAUAUUUUUAUGUUAUAAAAGACUGGUAAACUUAAUUAUAUUUUAGUAAAUAAAAAAUUGACUUAAUCAACAAAGAAUGUCAAAGAUAGUUGAUCAUUCAAUUUAGUUUCAUUGUUGAUAAAAAGAUUAAACUUCAAAAAGCAUGAAAUCAGGCCUAUUUUGAAUUAAACUUUAAAAAACAAAUUUAAAAUAACUUAUUUUUGAUUUUUUUUUUUUAAAAGGGGCCAUUUUACCGUCAGAAAAAUAGUUCAUUCUUUAGGUGCAUACGAAAGGAAAGGACUUAGAAAUUGAUACAUCUUAUAUUCAAUAUUGUAUUCAGUUCUUAAAAUUAUACUGAGUAAAAUAUUUUUUCCUAAAAUCAUGUUGUAUCAAACGUACUUAAAAAUUAAUAGGACAUACGUUUAUUUUUGUUUCAUCUUAUGACAGUUUGUAUACAAAUAAAUUAACAAGUCAAGUGUGCCAGCAGACACAUAAUCAAUACCUCAUUAGUCAUUACUAUUGUGGAUGGCCGUGCGCGCACGGGCCAAGGCGAUAUUUGAGGCAAAUAUUAAUAGGGCGACAAGUAGUAAAUGAUUAUUAAUAUAUAAACGGAUGACAAUAAUCCAAAUAAACAUAUUUUAUAAAAGCUUAAAAAAGUAUGGAGAAAUGCAGUGUAAUAUAUGCUGUUCUUUCACAGAAAUAGGUAAGCAAUGUCAAUUUCUGUUAGCAAGGAAAUUUUAAUUUUAAUAACUAACAUCUUUGCCACUUAACAAUUCAAUGUUGACUCCUCUAAAUUUAAGCAUGCACAUGUCUUUUAUAAUGCGGAAGCAAUCCAAAUGUAGCUUGAAGUUUUCACUAUAAGGAGAAGAGAAGUAAAAUUUGGGUACGAAAAUUGUAGAAAGUUGAACACACUUGAGAACAAUAAUCACAACUACACGUGCGAAAACAUGAAAGAGAGCAGUCACAAUUAGCAGUUUAGUUAGAUAAAUAUAGAAGGCUUUGACAACAAAACUGUGAAGAACUGUGUACAUUUAUGGAAAGAAUUUAAAAGCAGUACUCUCUGUUCUAUUUAUGCGAUACAUUAGAAGUAAUUUGCUUAUAAUUACAAAAAACUUAUAUCAUGUUUUUAUAAUUAGCAGUAACUUAAUUUUAGAGUUUCUCUUUUUAUACGUUAAAAAAUAAUUUAUUGUCCAAGAUUUUUUGUAGACAGCAGAUUUUAAAAGUCUUUCUUUAAUUUGAGUCCAAAACAACUUUCGUAAACAAAGCAGCUGUUAGCAAGCUAUUAUGGAAAGUCUGCAGGGGAAAACAUAGCUUGUGCGUUAAAAGAGUACAUAGCUACUAUAUCAAGACAUGAAUAUGUAAAAACUUGUAGAAAGCAGAAGAGGGCUAUUGUGAAAAUUUUCCUAAUAUUUCUUUUGUGCCAAGAGUGGCAAUAUAUAUACAUAUAAGAAUGCAAAGAAAAGAAAAGGAAAACUUUCUAUUUGUACAGAUGACCUUAUUCUAUUUGAUGUGGUCUAACAAAUCUGUCAGUAAAUAAAUAACAAGGAAAGAAAAUACAUAUAUAUGACAUCAAUAAAUUUGAAUUGAGUGACAUCAACAAUUCUUAUUGUGGACGUUUUCUUUCUUCUUUCUUCUUAUUUUCCAUCUCUAAAUCAAUAUGUUGAUCUGAUGCAUUAUUUCCAACAUCCCCCCUCAAGUUGGAGGGUGUAGAAGAAGAAACCCCCAACUUGAAUAGAGAGGAAAGAUGAGUCGAGCCAGACAAGGGCUUGGUGAACACAUCAGCAAGUUGAGCAAUGGAUGGCACAAAAGAAAGGGAAAUGAUACCUGCAAGGUAUUGUUGUCGAACAAAAUGACAAUCAAGUUCAACGUGUUUAGUGCGUUCAUAAAAGACAGGAUUUUUGGCAAUAUGAAUGGCAGCUUGGCUAUUGGAGUGUAGAGGCACAAAUAGACGAGGUUCAAUGGAAAGAUCAGUGAGAAGGCGAAUAAGCCAAGUAAUUUCAGCAACAACCCGAUGCAUUGACCUAUAUUCGGCCUCAGCUGAUGAAAAGGAAACCAAAGAUUGUUUCUUGGACUUCCAAGAGAUAGGAAAACCUCCCAAAGUGAUGUAAAAACCACUAAUGGAUUUGCGAGAAUCAGGACAACGACCCAAUCAGAAUCACAAAAAGCAAUUAAAUCGAAAGAAGGAGAGGAAGAGAGAAAGAUACCCAAACCAGGAUCAAGAAGAAGGUAUCGCAAGCAACGAAGAGCAGCAUCAAGAUGUGGCUGCCGAGGGGCCAGCAUAUAUUGGCUCAAGUGUUGAACAACAAAAGAGAGAUCAGGACGAGAAUGAGUGAGAUAAUUCAAUUUCGGAAGAAUCUUUCGAUAGGAAGUGGGAUCAGAAAUUAAGACACCUUCAUCAGCUGACAGAGGACAUGACGGAUCAAGGGGGGAAGAGACUGGUUUUAAAUCCAUACAAUUGAACUCCUGUAACAUAUCCAUGGUGAACUUUCUUUGACUUAAAAUUAUCCCCAGUGGUUCGCGGAUGAUUUCUAAGCCAAGAAAGUAGUGACCUGUUCUAAAUCUUUUAUCUUGAACUCAGAAUGUAAGGAAGCUUUGUUAGAUUGACAUUCUAUAGGAUCAUCACCAGUGAGGAGAAUGUCAUCCACAUAAACUGCUAUGAUGGAAGUGCUGUGAGGAGACUUCUUGUAAAACAAAGAAUAGUCAUUGAAAGAGUGGUUGUACCCUUUAAAAUGAAGAGCUGCAGUGAGGUGUGCAUACCAUUGGCGAGAAGCUUGUCGGAAACCAUAUAAGGAUUCCUUGAGUUUACAAACGUGAUUAGGAGAAUGAGGUCUCGGACCAGGAGGCAACCUCAUAUAUACCUCUUCAUGAAGUUCUCCAUGUAAAAACGCAUUGUUUACGUUAAGUUGAGAAAUACCUCAACCUUUCUUCACCACAAUACUUAACAAACAACGGAUGGUUGUCAUUUUCACCACCGGAGUGUAUGUUUUAGUAAAAUUGAUUCCUUCUCGCUGGAUAUCCCUCGUACAACCAAACGAGCUUUAAAUCUUUCGACUGAACCAUCCUGUUUAUAUUUGACCUUGUAUACCCACUUACAAGGUAGGGCCUUUCUAUCCGAAGGUAAAUCCACAAUCUCCCAAGUAUUAUUGGAUUUAAGGGCAAUGAGUUCUUCAGCCAUUGCAUUCUGCCAACCAGGAUGUAAAGAUGCUUGAGAAUAGGAGGUAGGCUCAUAUAUGUAGGAAGUUGAGGUAAGGAGAGAUUGAUUUGAGUGUGAGAGUGUAGUAAAGGAGACUGUUUGAGGAGAGAUUGGGGAAGCAAAACAAGAGCCGGUCAAAUGAGUCAAGACGACGGAGUUACAAACAAAAUCGGCUAGGUUUUUAGGUAUUUCAUGACUUCAAGUAGACCUCCUUAGAGGGAUAGGAAUGGGGGUGGUAGAUGGAACAGUAAUGGGAGAAGAAGAGUGAACAUGAGUAGGAGGAGGAGAGACGAUAUGAUCAACUGGAUUGGUUAAGGAAGGAGAAGAGGAAGGAGAAGUAGGAGAAAAGAAUCAGAAUGUCCAAAAUCAGUAGGAAAAUGAAAAGGAGUGAAAUAAGGCAAAGGAGAAUCGGUGGAAACAGGACGAGUAUCUGAGGAGAAGGGAAAAAUUGUUUCAUGGAAAACAACAUCCCUAGAUGUGAGGAUUUUCUUGGAGUUAAGGUCAAGCACCUUGUACCCUUUCUUCCCGAAAGUGUACCUAAAAAAAAACACACUUGAGGGACCUCGGAUCUAGCUUUCUUCUCUGUAAGAAAUGAGUAGAAACAUAACAAAGACAACUAAAAGACUUUCUUCUUAUUUUCCAUCUCUAAAUCAAUAUGUUGAUCUAUUUCCAACAGAAUAUAGUGGUAAAAAGGAUAUGAAGGUGUAUAGAACGUCUAAAAGCUGCUAGAGGAUUGGAGAUUGAACUUGUCAACAUACAAAAAUACUCAACUAAUAAGAUAUAUGUAGCAAGGAAUGGUAAAUUCCAUAAUUUCGAGUGGAGCAAAGUUAUUUGCAGCAACCUUAGUCCCCCUAAAUAAAACUCUACACUCGAAAUGGCAGGAUUGAGAAAGCUAAACACCAAGGAUAGACUCAUGAGUUGUGGUGUUUUAGAUGAGUACGAAUGGUUCAUCGUCUGUUCUUUAUUUUUUUCGAUCAAACGCAAUCAUAGAGAGAUUUCUAUUUAAAAUUGGAUGCAAUAGUUAGUUCUGUUGUACAAAGUUGAUCAACUAACUUUAAGAGCUAUUGUGUCAAGUUGUUCAACUAAACUUAACAACUAAAUAUAUAUUUUGAGAAAAUAAUGUACGGAGAGAUCAGAGGAGUGUUAUGCUGGAGGUAUUACACACUAAUUUGAUUAGGCUGGUUCAAUAACUUAAUGAAUUGCAAAAUACUGAAUUUAUGUCAACAUUAUUCCAAUUGAAGGAAUUAAAGAAACUUCGAAUUCUCUAUUCUAUGAAUUCUACGUCUACCAUUUCUGUUGCUGCCUAAACUUUCAUCAUCUUCUUCAUCAAUGGAUAGAUGAGAGCAAUGUGAUUGAGCUGGGAAACCGCAUGAAUGUCACGCGUUACCACGUGGAAUAAAACUGAAGCACAGGUAUGAGUUGGAAUGGCAAAAAUGACCUUCAUAAAUUUAAAAAAAAUGACUUUAAACAGACAUGUUGAUUCAUAGUUAUACUCGCUCUUUUACUAUGAUAGAAAUGUUUCCUUAGAGAAUAUAAAUAGUAUAACAAUUAAAUAUCAAAAUAACGUAUUGUAGCUAAUCAAAAAUAAUUUAUCAGUACAUUAGUGCAACAAUUUACCUUAAAGAGGUCUCGCACUGUAUUUCUACUGGGGAAAUUUAAAAAUAACAAUAUUUUAGUCUUUUGGGUACUCCUUAACAACAUUUUAACUAUUUAGUAAAAUUAGCAAUGUUUUAAUUUGUUAACACGAUGAAUACUGUAUUUUUUUCUUUUAAUAUAGUACGUAUAUUUAUAAUAAACAUUAGAGAAAAAGAAAUUAAAAGAUAAAAAGGUAAAUAGGAUUUUAAUAAUUUUUCAAUUACUUUUAAAAAGCUGAACUUUUGCUAUUUUUUGAGUUGAGCGUUUCUUUUCCUCCUUUGUUCUUGAUAUUUAUUUUUUAAAAAAAUACAAACAAAGUUGUAUUCCUAAUUAUCAAUUGAUAAAAUUGCUUCAUUAGUCGAAUCGAAUUCAGCAAAUAGAAUCAAAUACGAAAAUAUUUUGAAAGCGGAAAUAUUCGAAUCCACAACUAAAAUUUCGUCAAUUCGAUGCAACUCAAUUAAUUUCGAGAUGAUAUAUUUUUUCAUGUUGUUUAUUAUGAAUAGACCUUUAUAUGAUUUCUAGCUUUUUUGUGAAAGUUCGACUUCAGUUUCAUUGAUAUCAAUAGAAAACCUCUGAACAAGAUAAGGAACAUGCAUAUAAUUGUACCCGAUCAUCUGAUGUAUAAGGCUUGAUAAGUGAUAGGUUCUGUUUAGACUCAUAUUUAGUAUUUAUUUUUGUUUAUUUCUUGUUGUUAACAAUAUGAAAUUAUGUAUGUGUUAGUUUUGAAACGGCUAUUAAUGUAUGCAGAAAGUUAUGUAUUUGAGUUCUCUUUACUGUUUUUGUUAUUCUUGAAACGUACAUUUAUGUAGUUAGAUAUUGGAUACAUUCUUUUCUUUUUAAAAUUUUUGAAAUACUGCAAAAAUGAGAUCAUCAAGUAUAUAUUUGUUAAUAUAGUCAUGGGAAGCAUUAGUUUUUUAGCCAUGCAUUCUGGGAAAAGGCUGAGCAAGUUGAUGUUUGUGUAGAAAAUAAUUGGAAUCGAGAGGUUAUGAAAAUGGGCUAGGGUAUAUGCAACAGUUAAUCGAGGAAUGGUUAUGACAUCAAACAUAGCUGAGUGCAUAAAUUCUUGUCUAGUUGAAGCAGGGGAAUAACCGGUAUACGAUUUCCUUGAAUAAAUAAGGCAAAUGUUUGCAACAUGAAAUUUGAAAACUCAUACGUCUGCUUCACAUACUUUCACCACACUUUGUGGUAAAUCACAAGAGAUGCUUGUUGCUAAUGAAUAAGCAUCAUUACAUAUGAAGGUAUGUUGUUGCAAUUAUAUGUUCAUUAACAUUAUAUAACAUAACUGUUUAUUUAUUUUUGUAGGUUGUACCAUCUAAUAAUUAUGUGUACAUUGUUCAUCACGCAGGUGGAACCUAUAUUGUUUGUUUGGAAAAUAAAAUUGUGCUUGCAAGAGGUUUCAAAUGGAUGAAAUACCAUGUUCGCACGCUUAGUCCGUUUUAAAGAAGAAACAUUUUGAUGUUGGACCAUAUUGUAUCGACAUGUUCAAGCCAAGUAACUUUUUGGAUACAUGUAGCAUUCCAAUUAGUCCGUUACCUGAUCAAAACAAGUGAAAUGUACCUGGGUAUAUUAAGGACGAUAUAGUGCGGCCUCCAAAGCACAAAAAGCUUCCUGGAAGGCCAUCCAAAAAGUAUCAUGACAAGACGUAUAGCGAGAUAUACGGAAAGAAGAGAAAGAAUUCCUGCAGUACUUGUGGGUUUAAAGGGCACAAUAGGCGUUCAUGUAAGAAUGGACCGCAUAUUGUAUAGUUAAUGAUUUGUCGUUUUUAUAUCUUAUUAGAGUUAAAUUGCUUCCAAAGUUCUAAUGUUUUCUGGUUUAUAUAAUAAAAUGAAAUUCUUUUUAUAUGUUUUAUCUUGAAAUGCAUACUAUUGUGAAUUUUUCUAAUCGAAUUCAGUAAUUUUUUGGUAUAUGUUAUCUCUCGAAAUGUAUUUAUAUCCAUGGUUUUAACCUGUAUUAUAUUUGUUCUAUCUAAUUGUAUGUGUGAAAUUGAAUGAGUCACAAACAUAACCAUUACAGUUACUUGUAUUCAACCAUAAUUGUAUUUGUAAUUUAAUAUCAAUUGUUGUUAUAUUAUUUUUAUUUAAAUUUAAAAUUGUACAUACUAUUUCUUUACAUAAGUUUAUAUUACAAAAGUUCAUUGUGUAUUUCAAUAUUUGGUUGAAUCCCAAACAACAGGAUUACAUCCAUCUGUAACAUUUUAAAGCAUACAAGUUUUUUUGGUAUCUGUUUUCUCUCGAAAUGUAUUCAUAUCCAUGGUAUUAAUCUCUCGAAGUGUAUUCGCUAUACAACUUCUCUCGAACUUAUAUUAUUAUUAUUAUUAUUACUUGUAUUCAAAAAUUAAUUGUAUUUAUAUUUUAAUAUCAAGUGUUACAUCCAUUUGAAGCAUUGGAAUGCAUACAAUUGUACGUACGUUUUAUAAUUUUUUUGAUAUACGUUUUAUCCCAAAAUUUAUUCAUAUCCAUAGUUUUAAUCUACAUUAUAUUUGUUUUAUCUAAAUUGUAUGUGUAAACUUGUAUGAGUCACAAACAUAACUAUUACAUUUACUUGUAUUCAAACUUAAUUGUAUUUACAAUUUUUUUGGUAUACGUUUUAUCCCAAAAUGUAUUCAUAUUCAUGAUUUUAAUCUACAUUAUAUUUAAACUAUCUAAAUUGUAUGUGUGAACUUGUAUGAGUCACAAACAUAACCAUUAUAGUUACUUGUAUUCAAACUUAAUUGUAUUUAUAAUUUAAUAUCAAGUGUUGUUAUAUUGUUUUUAGUUGAAUUUAAAAUUGUACAUGCUAUUCCUUUACAUAAUUUUAUACUACAAAAAAUCAUUGUGUGUUUCAAAAUUUUGUUAGAAUUCCAAACAACAGGAUAACAUCCAUUUGUAACAUUUUAAAGUAUAUAAUUUUUUUUGUUUCCCUUUUCUCUCGAAAUGUAUUCAUAUCCAUGGUAUUAAUCUAUAUUAUAUUAGUUCUAUCUAAAUUUUUAUGUGUUAACUUAUAUUAGUCAAAAACAAAAUCAUUACAACUAUUUUUUUAGUUUUAGUAUCAAAGUUGUGUUGGUAGAAGCAUAUUUCUUGCAGGUAAGCUUCUAACAUAUAGUAAAGUACACUGUAAAAAAUGAGCUUUAGGUGCAUCUUACAUAUAUGUUUUCUUGAUAUUUAUUUGUAUUUAGUUGCUGAUAAGAUGAGCUUUGUGUACCCCACUUGCAAUACUUAAGCAAGACGCACAAAUAAGAUGCUCUUUUUCCUCACUUCCACAAGCAUCAUAUAUGCUCUUUGGUAAGAAAAAUAUGUUAGCAAAGAUUCAUAAACUAUAAAAUCAUAGAGAUAGAUGGAGUAAACUGUACAAGGACUAAAACACUUGAAUAUUAACCCAGAACUUUGAAACAUUAGAAUUAUAAAAACUAAUAAGAUUUAACCAGAACUUCAAGGUUUCUACAUUAAUUAAAACAAGAACUGAAAUCAUUUACAUGCAUGACAAAUGCUUAGCGAGAACUACAAUUGAGUUCUAAAGUCAUGCAACACCUAUGUAUUUGUCCGCGUGCACGACAUUGAUGCAUUUGCAUGUAAUUACCACAACAGGUGCUCUAACGAAAUACAUUGUAUACAUGACCAUGUAAAUUCUUCAAAUCAGUGUUUAUGUCAUGGUUAAAAGAAACAAUGAAUAUGGGGAGCUUUUUUUGAUUUAUUUUUGACAUAAAAUUCAUUUGCCUGCACAUGUUCAAAAAUAAAAUGAAUACAUACUUAAAAUAUUUACUGAUAUAUAAAUCUAUUUCUAGUUAACAACAUAGAAUAAGAAAAACUACAUUGUAUACAAAAGCUUGAAUGUUCAUUCUAAUUCAUGAAUAUUGAUGACAUAAAAAUUAAAAUGAAACAAAUAACAGAAUACGUAUUAAACUCAUACUAUAAAACUAUUAAAAUUUCAAUACAUAAAGAUGCUGAAAAAAUAUAGAUAUAUUAUACAACAAUCUAACAUAAGUAUACAACUAAAUAUGUGCAAAUAUAUUGGCUAAUAGAAUACAGUUUGAGGAAAAUCUACUAAAUUGAAAUAGAUAAAGAUAAAUAUUGUAUUCCUUUUCCUAAUAAUGCCAAGCAAUUGAGAAGAGUCUUAAGUAAAUUGUAAUUUAUAGAAUUCAAUAUUAGCAUUUUGAUAAUUUUAGUUAUGGUUAUACAUGCACAUUUUUGGUUGAAGGUUUUUGAUAUAUGCACAUUUUUUGUUUAACUAACAAGUUCUAUAUUGAGAAGUUGUGAAGAAUUACAACAAACAACAACUUUUAGUUAUGGUUUUAUAUAUAUAUAUAUAUAUAUAUGACAAAGGGCUGAAUCAAGCAAGAUUAUAGUACUCAAUGUGUAAACUUUUCAUCUUUAUACUUAAACGCACACGGGAAAUGUAAUUUGUAUAUCUACACAACUCACAAAGAUUAAAAAAAAAUUUAACUGUAUCCAGAAUUUAUUUCAUCAAAUUUAGGGAUACAAACAUAAUAUUUGUAUUUAAAAAUUAUAAGCUUCCAAUCUGAAAGACGUAUACAAUUUCAAACACAAAAACAACAAUGGACAUAAAAACAUGCAUUAUGUCAACACUACAAUUUCAACAGUAAACAUGCAUGUGAAAGAUUAAUUGUUCUUUGCUUCAUAACCCUAACAUAAAACUUAAGUCACCAAUAUCAUCCUUAUAGUAUAUAAAAGUGAAGCCAGUAACCAGGCCUAAAAUCUACUACUUCCUGUUUUCCUGUCUCCCCCUUCCCCCUCCCCCCCCCCCCCCCCCCCCCCAAAAAAAAAAAAACCCUCCCCAACAAAAAAGGAAAGUAGGGGAAUCUUAAACCAGUUUGGUAAGUAAAAAGACAAGAAUGAAAUGGAAACUAUACAAGACUGUCAUCAUAUAUAUUCCGCUUUCUAGAGUAAUGAUCAUGGUGGAUAUAAUGACAGAUAAAAUAGGGAAUAUCACAAUGAUAAGUACCUUUUUCCCGCUGGAAACUCUCUUGUUUAAAUAUACAAUCAGCGAAAAAUAACAAUAGACAUAGCAUAUAAAAUUAUUUCAUAAAUAAUUUAAUACCUCUUCAUCGUCAUAAAGUAAUACUUCAUUACUUCGAUCUUUUCGUAGAUCAUCAGGGAUUUCAGAACACAACACUUUCUUUUUUUUGGAAGAGCUCUCUGUUGAAAUCUAGAGACAAGACUCCAUUAAUGAUCUGUGAUGAAGAUCCAUAAAAGCUUGAAGAAGAAGAAAGUAAAAGAAGAGAGAGAAAGAAGAGAAAAUAUUCGGUGUAUUGAAAAACUUGAAAAUGCAAAGUACAUGUUCAAGCUAAUUUAUACAACAAUAUAAAAUCAACCAGCUAACUACUAAAACAACUUAGCUAACUAAUUAUGUUUAACACUAACUGACUCUGACUGCAUUAUUCUGUUAAUUAGUCGAAUCAAUCUCAACAUCCCCCCCCCCUCCUCAAGUUGGAGGGGAGGAAUCCACUGCCAACUUGCGUAAUAUCGCAGUGUGCUUAAUCCCUGUUAAGGCCAUAGUAAACACAUUAGCCAAUUGUUCAUGUGUUGAAACAUGAUGAAGGGUGAUGAUUCCAUCCUGUAUGUUGUUUCUCACAAAAUGACAAUCUACCUCUAUAUGUUUUGUACGUUCAUGGAAGACAGGGUUCCUAGCUAUAUGGAUUAUUGCCUGACUGUCACAAUAUACAGAAGUAGGACCAGUGUAAGACACAUCAAGCUCUGUCAGCAGAAUAUAGAGACAAGUAGCCUUUUUCUUUGGUUUCCAACUAAUUGGACUAUCCCCAAUCAUUACAAUGUACCCACUAACUAAUUUUUUGGAGUCAGGGCAAGAGGCACAAUCUGAGUCGCAAAAUGCUUUUAAAGUAAAUGUGGAGUUUCUUGACAUGAAAAUCCCUAGAGCAGGAUCAUUCUUCAAGUAUCUAAGGACAUGCAUUGCAGCCUUGAGAUGAGGCUCUCUAGGAGCUUGCAUGUAUUGACUUAAUUGUUGCAUAUUGUAUGCUAUAUCCAGUCGAGUGUUAGUGAGGAAGUUAAGUUUCCCCACCAAUUUUCUAUAGUAAGUAGGAUCAUUAUGUAGGUGUCCCGCAUCUGCCAGUAGCUUAAUAUUGCAUUCUAAUGGAGUAGUCACUGUUGAAUAGGACAUGUAGUCAAAUUCCUUUAAUAAAUAUGUAGUGAACUUCCUUUGAGAUAUGAUGACACCAUCUUGGCUAUAAAAUAAUUCAAAGCCAAGAAAAUAGUAUAAUUGACCUAAAUCCUCGAUUAUGAAAAAGGCAUGAAGAAAAGACUUUUAUGUUGUUGAUCUCUAUUAAAUUUGUCUCUGUAAGCACUAUAUCAUCUACAUACACUGCCACAAAUACUUAUGAAGUGGAUGAUUUUUUAUAGAAAGAGUUAAUCAUCUUCAGCUGAAUGCACAAAUUCUUUUGAAUAUAAUGCUUCUGUGAGUUUGCAUACCACUUUCUGCUAGCUUGCUUUGAACCAUACAAAUAUUUCUUCAAUUUGCACACCAAUUGUGGAGUUUCCAUAUCCAAUCCUUGAAGAGCCUCCAUGUAAACUUCUUCAUGCAAAUCUCCUUGGAGAAAUGUAUUUUUUACAUCCAAUUGGUAAAGCUUACACCCCUUCUUAAUAGCUACAUUGAUUAGGGUCGUAAUAGUGGUCAUCUUCACCACUGGUGAAAAAGUUUCAGUGUAGUCGACUCCAGCCUGUUGAGUAUACCUUUUAACAAUUAAUCUUGCCUUGAAUCUUUCUACAGAUCCAUCAUCCUUGUGCUUGAUUUUAUAAACCCAUAUGCAUCCUAUAGUCUUCUUCCCUGCAGGCAAGUAAACUAAAUCCCAAAUUUGAUUAGCAUGUAAAGCCUCAAACUCUUGUGUCAUGGCUGCCUACCAUGCAGGAUUCAUGGCUGCCUCUUCAUAGAAGUCAGGUUCUCUAUCAUGAAAAGUGUUAAUCAUGACUUGUUGAUUGGUUGGACCUAAGGAAGAGAGGGAUAAUUAAUUUGUUGGUGAGAAAAGCAUUCGGAGUUGUGGGUUGAUUUUUAAGUUAAGGUAGGGAGUAAACAAAUUCUUUCAAGGAAGUAACUACAUUAUUAUUAUGGAAAGGUUCUUGGGUGGUGUUGACAGGGAAGUUGGGUGAUUCAUUAUGGAUGGUGUAUGAUAAAUAUGUGAAGUAUCAGGUGUUGUAUUAUUAGAUGAAUGUAUAUUCUCAAUCUGUGAUUUCCAUGUAGUUAAAAUGUUGCCCUCAAGAUACAACAAAUGGGACUUAGAACUUACAUGUUGCAACAUAGUGGAAAAAGAUGAAUGUACUGGUAAAGAAGCAAAAGGGAAAUCAUUUUCAUGAAAAAAAAUCCCUAGAUAUGUGUAACCUCUUGGUGGCCAGGUCAAGAACUCUGUAUCCUUUAGUUCCAAAGGGGUAUCCUAUAAAAAUAUGAGGUUGUGUUCUAGGUUCAAAUUUAUCUUUGUGAGGUUUGAGGGUGGUAGUAUAACACAAACAUCCAAAACAUCUGAGAUGGGAAUAAUUGGGCUUCUUUUGGUGAAGGAGUUCAUAUGGACACUUAUUCUUUAGGGAAACAGAUGGUAAUCUAUUAAUUAGGUAGGUGGAAGUCAAAAGACAUUCAACCCCAUAUUUAUAGGAAGUUUUGAUUGGUAUAGGAGUGCGCUAGAUGUUUCUAAAAGAUAUUUAUAUUUUCUUUCAACUACACCAUUUUGUUGUGGUGUAUAUGGACAUGAUUUUUGGUGUAUAACUCCUUUGGACUGAUAAAAAAUAAUGGCUUCAUUUCUGGUGAACUCCAGACCAUUAUCUGACCUAAUGAUUUUAAUAAAAGUCUGAAACUGAUUUUUUACCAUUUGAACAAAGGCUUUUAGAAGUUGUAAAGUGUUGCUCUUGCAGCUCAUCACGUGUGUCCAAGGAGACCUAGUAUUAUUAUUUACCAUAUAUACAAAGUAUUUAUAAUUGUUGUGUGUGUUUACAUGAUAUUGUCCCCAGAUGCCUAGGUGUAGAAGGUUAAUAGGUUUGUUGGUGGAAGGGAGUGACUUUUGUGGAAAUGGUGAUCUAGUUUGUCUUGCCAUUGGGUAGACUUGGCAUAGAAAACGUUGUUUAGAAGCAAAUUGAGCUAGUAUGGAGGAUAUCCCUCUCAUUUUAACAAAAGGAACAUGUCCUACCACAAAGAAUCCACACAAUUUCCAGAAGAUGAACAAGUAGUAGGAGUGAUAGGUAAAAACUUCAUGAAAGAACAAACUUCUUUAUUUGAUGAAUGACAACUAUUUACAGAAGGAGGGAUAUAGUAUGGGGAAUAAGACUGUUGAAUAUCACACAAAGCAACAGUAUCAGGAGUAUCACACACAAAUUUUGAUUUGCAACUGUUUACAACAGAAGGAGAUAAAGCAGUAAAUGAAACAUGAGGAAAAACUGAGUAGACUCAAAAAAUUGACACCCUGCACACAGGAAAUACAAUCCAUUCCUUGAUCUACCAAUUUACAAAGGCCUUUUCAUUGAAGGGGUCUGCAAGACACAUGAAAGAGCAGAAAAACUAACAUUAUACUUGGAAAGAUGUGUAGUGAGGGAAUGUAUAGAGAUAAGAUUGAAUUUGAAAUUAGGAGCAAACAACACUUUAUGCAAUGUUAGAAUUGGACUGAGAACAACAUCACCUACUUCUAACACCCUCACUUUAUAUCCAUUUGGUAAGGUAACUAAGAAAGGGUAAGAUGAAGUUCUAAUGUUGGUAAAAAGUUCCUUGUUAUGUGACAUGUGGUUGGAUACUCCCGAGUCUAAGAUUCAGUGAAUUAGCAGGUGAUUAACAACACUUGAAUGAAAGAUUAUCCAUAACUUUCUAUGAGUAGAGCAAGCAAUUAAAUGCAGCAGGAGCUGCAAACGAGAGUUAUCAAGAGAAUUACCAAAUCAAGGAAUACCUGCAAAGUUUGCAGCUCCACUGGUGAUAUUGUCUAAGUUUUCACAAGUUUGUCCACUUUGAAAGCUUCUAAGCAGAUGCAUAAGCUGAUAUUGUUGUUCCUUGGUCAGGGUAAGAUUACUAGUAUCACCAACUUGCAAUUGAUUAGUAGAGCCCUCAAGAUGGUUGUCUAUCAUGUCACCAGAUUCUCCUUGCACUGCUGCAGCAGAAGCAGUAUUCUUACUUUUUGUGAAUUUGAAGUUUAGAGGGAAUCCAUGGAGCCUAUAACAUUUUUCCUUGAUAUGUCCUGUCCUUUUGCAAUAAUCACAAAACAAUCGAAGACCUGAAGAAUUGCCUUUAUGGAACUGUUGGUUGGAUUUGUUUCCUGUGGUGUUGUAACUUGUUCAAAAUUGAGUGUUCCCGUAUGCAUUCAGAGAUGUGCUAUUUGUGGUUAGAUGAUUUCGUGAUCUGACCUCCCGUUGUUUCUCUUACUGAACUAAGAUAGAAAAGCUUUCAGCGAUGGUCGGGAGAGGAUUCAUCAUCAGUAUGCUUUCCCGUACAACUGUAUACUCUUCGUUCAGUCCCAUUAGAAAUUGAAUAAGCCUUCUAUCCUGCUCAACUUUGUGCAUAAUGACUUUGGCACCACAGUUACACACACACAACUGUAUUGAUUGUUAAUAUCUAAUGUUCCCAGAUCCUCCCACAAUCGCUUUAUCUUAGUGUAGUAAGUAGUAAUAUCCAUGGAUCUUUGAGUUAAAUCGCUGAUUUCCUUUUGCAAUUGAUACAUUUUAUCACCGUUAGUUUGAUCAUACCUGUCCUGUAGCUCCUAUCAGAGCUCAGCGACAUUGUUAACAUACUGCAAGCUACCAGCAAUAUCUCUCGAAAGUGAAUGCAAUAUCCAUGAGGUGACCAUGUCGUCACAACGUUUCCAUUGAUUGAGAAGACGAUCUUUUGGAUCUGGUUUUUUGUACUUCCCAUUAACAAAUCCCAUUUUGUUCUUCACUGAAAGAGCACGUAGCAUACCACGCCGCCAUGACCUAUAUCCAGUUCCAUCAAAAAUACCAGGCGUGAUUUAAGAACCAACGCUUUUAUAGGGAUGUAUAUAUAAAGGAUCAGUCGAAUCUAUGGUUUCCUUGUCUCCCGCCAUAUGAUCAAUUGAACAAACACUCCAACAGAAGAAGAUGAAAUUGAAGGCUUAAUAAGUAAAAUUGAAGGAUUACAAUUAGGAGAGAAAAAAAUAUGAGAGAAUCGAUGACACAAAAUUGGGGAAAUUGGGAAAAGAGUAAAAUAGAUUCAAUUGAAAUCUAUUAGAUGAUGAUAAACAAUUGGUUGAUUGAGAAGCUGAUAAAUGGAGGAACCUAACUCUGAUACCAUGUUGAAAUCUAGAGACAAGACUCCAUUGAUGAUUUGUGAUGAACAUCCAUAAAAGCUUAAAGAAGAAGAAAGUAAAAGAAGAGAGAGAAUGAGAGAGAAAGAAACGAAAAUAUUCGGUGUAUUGAAAAACUUAAAAGUGCAAAGUACAUGUUCAAGCAAAUUUAUACUACAAUAUAAAAUCAACCAGCUAACUACUAAAACAACUUUUACCUAACUAAUUAUGUUUAACACUAAAUGAAUCUGAGUGCCUUUUUCUGUUAAUUAGUCUAAUCAAUCUCAACACUCUCUAGUGCCAUUUUAGGCUCUUGUACCAUUCUAGCCGCAGAUCCUACAUUUUCUAUCAAUUCUCGAGUAAUGCACAAAUCAAAUGAGGAAAAUUUCAGAAAAUUUUGAAUAUUCUUAUGUAUACCUCUAGUAAACCUGACCGAGUCAGCCAUUGCAUACAAUACAAAGUUUUUCCCAAAAAUCUUAAAUAAUGAAUUUCCCUUUUAACAACUAUUAAAUUAUACUGAACAUCAAACAAAAAUGAUUUUAUGUAUAUGAUUUUUCAUAAUCUACCUAAUAUGAAACAUUGAAAGAAAAUCACAACAAAAUUGACAAAAAAUACAAAGUCGUGAUAUGUAUAAUCAGAGCUUUAACAAAAAAAAUCAAAACGAAUGGUUGAACUAACCUUGCCACCAAGUAAUCUGCUUUAAUAAUAAUCCUUUAUGAGUUCGCAAAUCUGCUUGAAUCCUUGAUAAUCAACGGACUUGACGAAGAAUCUGAGAAUUUUGAGAAAAGAAACGUGAAAUUGGGGAAUAAUUUGAAAAUUUUGAAACGUGAAAAUGGGGAUUAACUAUUACAUGUCUUGGAAUGAUAAAUUAAAUUAAUGAAUUUGUUUUCUUUUUUCAUUAAUCCAUUAGUGGACCAUGUUUGGUCCAAUAAAUGAGUUUCUCUUAAUAAAUUAAAUAAAUAAUACUACAUAUAUACUAAUAUCUAAAAUACAUAAAUUUAAUAAAACUAAUAUCUAAAAUACAUAAAUUUAAUAAACAUGUUGUAAUUCUAUCAUUUCAAACAAAUUUUUAAAAUUGUUUCUUUUGAUUGAUUAUGUUAGUAAUAUUGUCUUAAUUGCUAAAUUUUCCUUUAUUCAUGAGAUGCUUGUUAUAAUCAUUUAUCAUGUUCAUUUGUAUUAACUGAAUGACCAAAUAUAUUGUAUUAAUAUAUUAAUUUUGAUAUACAUGAUUAAUACGCAUAUAUUAAGAAAAAAUAACUUGAAUGGAUAUGUUUUAAUAAAUAAUUCUGGAUUAUUUUUUAUUUAUUAUUAUGUAUAGCAAUACUAUAUUAAAUGCAUAAUAUAUAAAUGUGCCCUUUAACUUGACUUCAAAUUACAUUUAUGCCCUUUAACUUUGAAUAUACAUAAAUAGACACUUAAACUUGUAUAAAAUUGAACAAAUAGACACAUAUGUCAUACAUGUCAUCCAACAUGUCAUUUUUUGUCCUACGUGUGGUGUCCUAUGUGUAUUGUGUAAUGUAGGACUCAUGUGUUUAUUUAUUGAAAAGUUGUAUAGUUAAAGUGCCUAUUUGUGCAUUAUAAAAGUUGGAGGUUAAAGUUAAAAUUUUAAAUCAAGUUUAGGGUCCAAUAUAUGUAUUAUACCUAUAUUAAAUCUGCAAUAUGUAUUAAAAGUGAAUUAAGUAUGCAAUGUAUAUGUAUUAUAAUUGUUUUUUGAAGUAUAUUAUUUAUGUUUGUUUGGUAAGAAGUUGACACAUUGUAUUAUAAAUGUAUUAAAAUGAGUGAUAAAUAUAUUAAUUAAUCAAUAAAACUUGUAUUAUAUGUGAAUAAUAAAUUGUUCAUUGUGAUAUGAAUUAACAUUGUAUUAUAAAUAUUUAAAAGUGAUCAAGUAAAAAAAAUGUUAUUGCUAUAAAUGGUAAAUAUUUUUGAUUUAUUGUAUAUUAGGUAAGUUUUCCACAAUUAAACUAAUAAAUUAUUGGGUAUAUAAUAAAUUUCGCUCAUCUUCCUUGCCUCUCGUCAGUAUAUUGUUAGAGGCGAGUUAGGUGGGGGAGUUCAUGGGUUCAGACGAACCCACUAACUUUUUUCAUAGACACUAUUAUUGUAUAAAAAAAUUAAAAAUGCAUAUAACUUGUGAAUCCCCAAGCUCCUAAUCUUGGCUUCCUCUGUUAAUAUGGUAUCCCAGAUACAUGCGAAUCACACCAUAUACAUAUAAAUACAUGUAUCUAGUGUGUUUCACAUGAAUUUGAGAUCACACAUAACAAAUCUUGGUUAAGAGAUUUGAUUUGAUUUAAAUUUCCAAAAUUAAUUAUACAUGUAUUAUGAAAAUCCUUAAUUACUCUUCUGAUUAAGGAAAUCAGUUAUAACCAAUUAAUUUAAACAUAAAAUAUGUAUCUCAAUUUAAAAUUUUGACAGAUACAUAUAUCUCAUACAUUCAGACUCUAUAUUCUAAACGUGAAAUAUGAUAAAUAAAGUAAUAUUUACAAAUAUCAAAAAUCUUAGCAAUUAAAACCUAAAAUAGUGUAAUUUACGUAGAUUGCCCCAUAAUAUAAUACAUGUUGCCAAACUCUCAACAAAUAGUGGCAAGUUAGGUCCAUUUUAUGCUAUAUAGCUAUAUGACUCAACUGAAUUUCUAGCCCAUAUAAAGUGGGCUAUACCAUAAUAAUGGCCCAAUCAUUUUCCCUCCAAGUAAGAAAGUCGCGCCCAUAGUUAGUAGGUUUUGAACAUACAAGGCGGGCCAAAAACUUAAGACCCUUAAUUUUACCAAAAUUCAAUUUCCCGCCCCGCAAAUUUGCUGAAACUUAAUUUUUACUUGCACCAUUUUCAUUUCUGUGUAGCAAAUCCACCGUAACCAAAGAGAAAAAGAAUCCACCUUUAUCAAUGGAGAUGCUUUGAUAUAAUUCAAGAUUCAACUUUUUAUUUCAACGCUGUACAUUGGGUUUUAUCAAUCUUGCUGGAUUUUAUGUUUUAAGGUCAGUUUUCAAGAAUCUGAUUAAAGAUUGGUACAUUAUAGUUUCUAUUAAAGUUUGUUAAUUUUGUUUCUAUUGUUGUUCUUCUGAGUUUUUUUAUUUGCCCUAAAUUUCUCUAGGGUUUUAAUUUGUACAGUAGCUGAUGCUUCUGUGAUUAGUAUUGAUUAGAUGUGUUUAGGUUAUCAAGUUUUCAUUUUUAUUGUUGGUCUGUAUCAAAUAUAAGAUUCUUUCAUCAUCUGUAGUAGAUUCGAGAAUUGGGUAAUUGAAAUUUAUGUGUUUUAGGGCUAAAGAUUGGUUUUUGUUGGUAGGGUUCAUGUUGGAUUAGUGAUUUCAGGAUGGAUGAAGAUAAUGCUGUUGAAAGGUGUCAUAAAAGUCGUCCUGUUUUGAGAAAUAUAACGAAUCAGCUUGGAAACAAGAGGCCAUUUUCUUCACUUUUGGGCAAUUCAAGUCUAAAGUGUGUAGAUAAGGGAAAUGAAAACCUAGGGGGUAAAUUUGUUUUGGUAGAUGACGGAGAUAAUGCAAAACGUGUUUGUGUUGGUCCUCGACCUUGUAGCAAGAUUAAGUCAUUAAAGGUGGAUGUUGUAUCAGGGAUUUCAAAUAUACCAAAUGACAACCAGGAUCCCAGUUUGUUGCGAGUUGAUUCAGCUACCGCUAUCUGCCAAAGUACAAUCGGAGAUAAGGAGAACAAUGAUGCUUGUGGGAGUGCUAUUGAAAUUGUCAAUGAUCGGGAAAUAAUUCCAAAGAAAAAUUCUGCAGUGAUAAAUGAUAUGGAUGGUGUGGUAACUGGGGUGCCAGUACCAGCAUUGUCUGGAACUGAUGACCAUGAUGCUACUCGGAGUUGUGGAAUUAACGAGGAUAGUGAGGACACUGAAAGUGAAGAUAUGUUUCCUAAUGGCCCCGAUGAACAAGGUCUUGAUAAUCUGGUUAUGAGUCAGUCUGGGUCAGUAGACUUGGCAAGAUUGCCAGAUUCACAGGAGUCAAGAGUUAAACUUGAGACAUGUACCGGAACACAAGCUUGUGAGGAUAAUUCAGGUUUAAGUGCUAGCAUUGAGUCAAUCAAAGCUUGCUCUUGUACCUUUUGCACCAAAGGUAUAAAUAUCUCGCAGACCAUUAUAUUGAUUAAUGUUCUUAUGAGCUUAUAUCCUGUCUUGUUUCAGUUCAUAUUAGUGGAGUACUUAUUUAGUUGUCUUUGUUCUGUGAUAAUCAGCUGCUUAUAUAUGGUUAGACCUACAUUACCAGGAUACCAAGGGUCGCAUAAGUGGUGAGUCAGCUUAAAGAUAUUUUAGUUAAUUAACUUAAGAUCUUUUUUUUUUCUCCUUGUUUCUUUUCUUUACUCAAUUGCUGUUUUCAAAUACCUAGCCAUAAAGAAGAGUCAGAGAGAAGCAAGUCUUUUAGUUGAAAGAAGUGGCAAGGGUAAAGAGCUUCAGAAGGAGGGUCCAGAAAAGAAUACUGAAGCAGCAAAUCUUGAGUCGAGUUUAAUGGGUCACUGGAAGUCACUCUUUCAACACAUGGAGCACAUUUUUCAACGGGAAGCUGACCAGCUAGUAAGUUUGCUAACUGACCUGUUCAGUCUCUGAGUUGGUAUAGAUACUCAAUUCAACUUUUACAUAUAAUAGCCGAGAGUUGUGAAGCUGUCAAGCUGAUGGAUGUUCUCUGUUGACCAUCAAGCUGAAAGAUUUUUCUUUGUCUAUGUUAACUCCAGUUGUUAGAGCUUUCAGUGUGGUGCAUUGUAUUUUUAUACUAGUUGGAUCAUUCAUUUCGAGGACACAUACUUGUUCCAUAAGUAUGCCUUAUGAUGGGAACAUUGUUCAUAGAUUAGAAGAUUGUUAUCUUUUAGUAAUCUUCAAGUAUUUGCCAAAGUUUGAAGAUCUUUCUUUUCCAUUUUCAAAAAGUAAUUACAAACUUUGACAAAUGGGCAGAGAAAAUGUUUUGCCUUUUGAUGGGCACAUGAUUCAUAAAUGAGAAGAUUGCUAUCUUUUAGUAAUCUUCAAACAUUUGCGUAAGUUUGGAGUUUUUUUUUUUAAUUCUCAAAAUGUUAUCUUCAAAUUAUGACAAAUGUGCAGAGCAAAUGUUUGUCUAAGUUCAAUAUUCAAUUUGAAAAUCAUGUUGUCUUGUUACUAAUAGACAGGAGGAAGUAAGUGUCUCUUUACCUCUUUACUGAAAAAUAGAACAUUUCCUAUCUGUCAAUUGCCCUGUGAGGAAUGGGGGAUUGACACUACUUCCAAGUUGCAAACCUACAUAUUAGCCAAGUUGUAAUUGAUAGCAGUCUCUUUGUUAAUUUACUGUCCUGGUGGAGUUUGUCAGGACCAGUAGCCAGAGAUUACUUGUUAGAACAUCAAUAAGCAUAUCAGUGUUUUGUGAGAUCAUGUUCUUUCCAUUUCUCUGAAAACUUUGUUCUGUCAAUAUAGAGAUGUAGUUGCACACUUGCACUUGUGAACUGCUAACUAGAGAGAACUAUUAGAAAGUUCAUUCAGUUAAUGUUCUGUUACUUAUUUGCUUUUAGUUUCCACCCUGAUUAUGCUUCUUAGAUACAUAGAUAUAAUGAAUUCAAUGAAAGAAGAAAAUAAUUUGACAACAAUGAAAGAAGUUAUCACAUUUGUAAUACAUGAGUAUCACUUCACCAUUGAAUGUUUGAUUCACCGUUCCGUUUCCUAUUCUCUGUUCUUUUGCUAUUUGGCUCCAUCAUUUGUAUACAUUCAUAGCCCUAAACAAUUUGGUCUUGCCCUCAAAAGAAAUAUACACGUUUAAGACAUGUCAAUAUGCCAUAUUUUGGCAGUGAAGUAAUAAAAACCUUGUCUAAUUCCUGAUUUUUAAUUUCUUUGAACCAUUGUUAAUGCAAAUAUCAGUUGAUGGAAGCUACUCCAUGUUAAACUAGAGUAGUUGGUCAUGAUGUUGCCACAUUGACCUUGCUCUUCACGCAAGCACUUUAUCUGUAAAUGAUGCUUAGUUGCAUCAUGUUUACUUUCUGCACAAACACUUCCCACUUAUGCAAACCCCAAUUCUCUUUCCACCCCCUCCCAGCUCAAUUAAACAGUGUUAGUAUGAAGGUGAUGAUGUAUUCACUUUUCUGUUACAGGAAGGUAGUUUAGUUACACUGACCGACCUCAAAGACAGAUGCAAGACAGAACUGGAUUCGUCCAAUGGGACCUCAGAGAAUUGCUAGUAGGUUCCAAAUCUUCUGUUUGAGGUUCAUUUUCUAUAAGUUUUUUGGUUGCUCAAGUUUUAACAUGAUGUAUUGUACUUGUGAAAUCUUGUAUAACAGUCUGGUUGAUGUAAAAUAGUUAGAAAAUGGUAUAACAUUCUUGGUGAUCAUACAUCACAACAGAAUGAGUUUCUUUAGAUGAGUGCUGCUGUUUUUAUAAUAGUAUGAGGCUAUAUAUCGAAUUGCUUUCAAGGCUACCAUAGUGAAUCGUUGAGCCUAGCUGGUUGAGCAAAUGGCACCUUGAUGUAGAUUGAUCAUUUUGUGAAGGGAAAAUGUUCAAUUUGCCAUUUGCUAGUAGUUGAGGCCAAAUAUGCCUUUAUGUCCCAACAGAGGAUUUUUUUCAACAUAAAGACUUCUGGACAAGGAAAACUAUCAAAUUUGCCUUGGAUGAUGUGAAAUGAUGUACAUUGGCCUAUGAAUUUUUUGAAAUUGUGCAGAUUAUUGUUCUCGACCUUAUCAAUCAUCUAUCCAAAUCAAUUACCAUCAUUAUAAUUGAUCCUCUCAACUCUCAAAAGCAUUAUUUGAUGACCUCCAUUACUCCACCCUGAGUUCAUUCAAACUCUCUCUCGCCCCAUUAUUUUUACCAUUUUUUUCCUAACACAGCCUGCGUUGGACCGCUGUAACCCUCUUCUUUGAUCACCACAGUUUGAGAAAGUAAAUACUCUUUUUGGAGGUUGAUGUGGAACUCUGGCAUCACCGUUAAUGAUGAUCUAAGAAUUAAUGGUGACGGAGUUGUGCUGAUAGAGCUUCGACAAAUAUGAUAACUUUAUGGUGGAAUUGUUCAUUUUUUGAGUUUUAUUACAAAUGAUUUGAGGUUUGAGAGUGGUUAAUUUUAGUUUUGGGGAUAUAGAGACCUUGCCAUUUGAGGUGUUGAGUGAUAAAGUUAUUGCCAUCGAAACAAUGAUCCCCUUCUUCAUUAUUCAAGGCAAAUUUGGAUGAUCCAACCAGUAGAAUCUCAAUCAACGGAUCACUAAAGAAAAUAAGUCCAAAGCAUAAAACAAUCAUACAACUUGAUUUCAAUAUAUAUUGAGGUUAAAUUUGAACGAUUUCAUGCAAAGUUUAUCGGCGAAUUUGAAUGUUUUUCCUUUUUUUUUUAUUUUGUUAAAAUAUAUACUUUUUUUCCUCUAUAAUUUAUGUUGCACAUAUAUUGAACUAGAGAAACAUCUUCAUUCUUGUCCCAUAUAAUGUACACUUUUUCUCAAGAUGAUAUGACAAUGAUGGAGAUAUACACUGUAGUGGAAGAGGUGAAAUCGACCUGUGAAUUAUUGAGGUGAUAAAUUUCAAAGUUAAUUAAACAAAUACAUGCAAGUGGUUUGUUGUCCUUUUGCAACUAUAAGUUUCUUGAUAUUGUUUAUGAAAAUUGACUUUGAUGUGACAACUUGAGGAUGAAUAUGAUUUGAUAAUGGCAACUACUAUGAUAUUGCAAUUGUUACACAGUAAAAUUUCUUCGAUAACAUGCAUGCCAUCAACCUUUUUGCUGAUGCUUUUCAUAUUACGACGUGCAAUAUUUUAGCUUGCAGUACUUAAUUAUUUUUCAUACUGAUAAGUGAUAAAUGUUCAAAUUAGAAACAUAUCAUUUCUUAAAUGUCUUUAUUUUAAGUAUGGGUGUACAAAGAAAAUUAAUAAAUUGAAAAAAUAGAGUCUAAUUGAGAAAAAAUUCGACAGAUUUGAUAUCGAAAUUUUUUUUUUGAUCAUAAUUGAUUUGAUUUAUGCAAUUAUUAAAGAGUAAUAUUAUAUACAAUUUUUUAAUAUAUAAUUUGAUUUACGAUAAAUUAUAUAAAUCUCAUAGUUUUAAUAUGAAAUUACAAUGUACCCCUAAUAAGUUUCUAAUUACAUUAAUCCAUUAAAAAUUUAAAAAAAAAACAAAUAUAGUAAUUGAAGCUCAGAUACAUUAAAGAGCAACUUACAAAAAUGUCUAUAUUUAUAGGGUUAUUAAAGUUCAAUAGCUAUAAAUAUGAUAUUUAUAAAAAAUGACUACAGUUUAACUCUUUUUUUUAGCUAUAUUAUUGUAUAUGUUUUUUAUUCUUCUAUUUAUACAUUGAUACAGUUUUAAUUACAAUGAACUAAAUAAAGAAACUGUAUUAAUUGUAUGAAUUCAAAUUAGUAUCUUUAUUUAUAAAAUUUAAAGUAUCAAUGUAUCAUGGAUACAAGUAUUUGUAAAAAUUUAAUGUAUUAAUAUAUUAAGCAAGAUAAAGUAUAACAACUUAGCAUAUGAACACGAUAAUUUGAAAAAUAAAUACAUUGUUGCUAAACAAAAAAUGAAUACACUAAUAUAGUAUACAUAUGAAUACAUUAUUGUUAAAUAAAAGAUGAAUAUAUUUGACAAUACAGAAAAAAAAAAUUGGUAAAUAAUAGAAUGUGUAGGUAGCAAAAAUGUGCAAGUAUUCGGUUGUAUAAAAAAAAUAAAAAAAUCAACAAACAUCAAUCUCUUUUUGGUCAAGUUUUUCUUAUAAUACUUGAGGCUUGGUGUUGACUCAUGUAUUUGUUUAUAAAAAAUAGUAUUAAUAUAUCUAAUUAUACUUGUAUUGCCUAAUUAAUCUUUCAAAUUCGAUAGAUUGCUUAUGUAUCCAAAUAUACUUGUAUUCAGAAAUUACCAUUUCAACUUGUGUUAAUAUUAGAAUACAAGUAUCUAUUUACAUAACUAUUUACUAUAUAUAUACAAAUUUGACAAUUACACAAGCCUCAAUCUCUUUUUGUUCGUGUUCUUCUUGUACUACUUUUUUUUAUAACUAGUCAUUGUAAUGUAGAAACUAGUCAAUCGAAAGCCUAUAAAAAUAUAUGCAACAUAUAUGUAUACAACUAUGAUCUUCCUAAAAAUGAGGAGAUAAUCAAUCAAGUGAUAUCUGAUGAAUUCAAAUUACAAAAAUUAUUUUUAAAUCAUCAAAAAGGUCUUAAUUUGAAAGAAAUUUGGGAGAAAAAUACAUAAAUUUUGUGAUAUAGGAAAAUUGAUGAAAGAGAAAGUAUUAGUGAGGGUAAACAUGAGGAACCAAUCACAUAAAACACGUGUAGACAUAAUAAAUUAGGUAUGUAAUAAUAAAUUCCUAUUUAAUAUUAAUAAAUUUUGUAAUUAUUUUUAUAUAUAAUUAACUUUGCUAUAUUGUGUAAUUAUAUCCAUAUAACAUACAAAAAUGAAUUAUAGCUACUUAUUUUAAAUAUAUAUUAAUGUUUGUCAUAUUUUGUAGUUUUUUCUGUAUUAAAUACUAUCUCGGAUACAUUAAUAUAUAGCUCAGAUACAUUAAAAAUUAGUUCAAAUACAUUAUACGUAGCUUAUAUACAUUAAAUAUUAAUUCGGAUACAUUAAUAUGUGGCUCGAAUACAUUAAUAUGCAUCUUAUAUACAUUAAAAAAUAAGAAAUUUUGAAAGUGAAAAUAGUAAUAGCGUUAUAAAUCGUUGAAUUUUUAAAAAUAAUAUGAGAUAAUGAAAAUAAGUGAACCAAAAAUUCUGUAUUUCUGUAAUUUGUCCUUAAAUCAAUGACAUGAAUGGUCAGUAUGUUUUGUAGCCCAUAAAUGCUAGUAAUUCAAAUAGUUUCCAAACUACUAAUACUAACUAACAAUUUACAUUAGGAAUGAUAAUACUGCUGAAUAUCUCUUUCUUUAAUUUAUCAUUAAUUUAGACAACUAAAAUAUAUAGAGUUUAAUUUAUUUAAAUAUUUAAUCAUGUAAUUAAUAUUUAUAAUCCCUAUUAAUUUUAACAUGAUUUAGUAUUUUUUUUAUGAUGAUUUUUAAUAUGACUUAUUUUAUGUCAUUUUAUUAUAUAUCUUUUUGUCAUAACUUAUCACACAUUUUAUGUUAUUUUUUAAGAAUAAAAAUGCCUUAGAUAAUUGUAUACAAGUUAAUUAUAUGCUUAUUUAAGACUUUACGAAAAAAAUUAAAAAAAUAUGACUUUAUUAAUUUUGUUUACGGAAAAGGGCCUAAAAUACCUUUGAAGUAUUGAAAAUGGUACAAAAUUACCCUUCAUCCAUCUAUUGGCUCCAAAAUGCCCUUUUCAUCCACCUAUUGACUCCAAAAUACCCUUGUCAUCCACCUUUGGAUUCAAAAUUGACCACUUUUUAAUUGUUUUAAAAUUAAACUCGUUGAAUAUUUUUUAAAAUACUUCACGUUCAACUAUUGGUUAUAAUUUAAUUUAUUAAUAUAAUUUAUAAACCAACCCACUACACAAUAAAUACUAACUAAACUUCACCCAAUUAAUAAUCCAAUUAUAAUAUCAAAAUCAUCAUAAACACUACUAAAACACGAUGAAAUUAUAGAUUCCUGAAAAUAACAUUCAAAAUUAUUCAAGUCCGAUUCGAAGCCCAAUUAAAUUUAGGUUGAGCCGCUUAUUUAGGAGGACACUUUCUUUCAAGAUUGAAUGAGAAAUUUAUGAUUAAAGGUAAAGAAGUAAUACAUCCCGAAUUAAUUCAUGCAUUUUUUUAAAAUAUAAUUUUAUAAAUAUUUAUUAUUUGUUUUAAAACCUUUAAUAUAUUAUUUUUAAAAAAAAGUUACCUAUGAAGUAACAUCACAUUAUUGAGAUGUAAGAAUCAUUAAGAUAAACAUAGUCAGACGUUUAAGUUUAUCGGUAAUUUUAUUUAGACACUUGAAUGUAUGAUAAUUUACUUCUAUAGAUAUUUUCGCCUCAAAUUUUUAAAAACACUCAAUUGGUAGUAGCUAAUCUGUUGUUGCAUUAAUAAUGUGACGGAUUUAUUAAUUUAGAGGGGUUUAAUUAGUAAUGUGUUGGUAGUUGAUUGAUUUAUAAAUCAUAUUAAUAAGUUAAAUUAUAACAAAUAGUUGAGCGUCACGUAUUUAAAAAAAUAUUUAAAUAGUUUAAAUAUAAAAUCGUUAAAUAAGUGGUCAAUUUUAAACCAAAAGGUGGAUGACAAGGGUAUUUUGGACCCAAUAGGUGUGUGGGAAGGAUAUUUUGGAGCCAGUAGAUGGAUGGAGGAUAAUUUUGUACUAUUUUUAAUACUUUAAGGGUAUUUUAGGUCUUUUUCCGUUUUAUUUAUAAAUUUUAAAACCUAACAUAUUUGAUUUACUUUGAUAUUUAAAAAUUUUCAACUAACCUGGCCUAUACACCCCUUCUUUCAUAUACUAUAAUGUUUAUUAAACUUUAUUCAACAUGACAGAAUAGUUAAUUAAACAACUUCUUGGCACAUCACGUAACACAACUUACUUACAACAACAAUUAUACUCACUAUAAUGAUAAAGCCAUAAAAUUAUUUUUUGUCACAUUUACAGUCAUUAUACUUUAAUCCUUAUAAUAAAAUAGUUAAGUCACUCAACUUUAUCAAUUAUAAUGACAAAGUCUACCUACCAAGAUAACUUGAUCUGCGUAAUUGACAAAGUAUUAUCAUCAUCUUCUUCUUUUUUUCUGAAAAAAAAUUAUUAUUUUUUUGCAAUUCUAUAUUCAUCAAUGGAUAAAAUAAUCCAAAUUUUCAACUUUAAUAUAAUAGGUGAAAUCAAGUCAUUUUAAUUGGACAAAAAUAUUUUUCUUGACUUUAUUUUCAUAGACGGAAAAUUAAGAACUAGUUACUUAUGUAUGUUUAUUUAACAUAAGAACAUAGUAUAUAGUUUGGUAACUUUAUUUUUAUAGUGAAAAAAUGUUUAAUAUAAGUGAAUUAACCCUUGUCAAUAUCAAUUUAAUUAUGUAGAAAGAGUGAAGGGUUGACUUUGGAAGUCUUAUUUAAAGGAUAUUUAGUCAUCUAAGGGGGUGCUUUCGGUAGGAAGAGAAAUGUUCUUUUAGAUUUUUUAUUUUUAUUUUUAUUAUGUGUGUGUUUGAUAUAUAAAUAAAAUAUAUAUAUUUUUAAAGAUUGGUAUAUUAAUCUAAGUGAAUAGACUUGGGUGCUGACCUUUAUAUCUGACUUUGUUAUAUCUUUUGCAAAUUUUAAAAGCAAUAAUCGAAGUGUUUUGUGCUUCCCUCUCUUUCUUUGUUUUCUUCUCUAUUUUUAAAGGUCAAAUGCACUAAUUAAUGUAGAUUUGAAGCAAUAAUUGUUAAUUGUAAUAUUUUUCUAAUCAUGUGGUUUACCGAUGCACAUGUACAAGCUUGAUUUGUAGUUGGAGAUUGAACGAUUCCAAAAAAAUUGAGAGUAGAUUAGUAUAAAUUUUGUUAUAUUAUUAUUUAACCACAAAUUAAUUUGCACUUUAAGCUUAAAUUUGAUGUUAGAAUAAAAUUUUAUUCGUGACAAUCAAGUAUACAGAAUGUUUUAUUUAUACAUGAUUUAGAAAAGGACCGCAUCCAAAAAGUAAUAGGGUUAUUAUUAUAAGUUCAUAUAUAUAACUAUACGUGUAUUGAAUUUAAAAGUUUACAAUUGGAAUAGUAAAUGAAAUUUGGACAUAAUAUAUAGUACAAAACAGUCGUGGUCUCGUUGAAUUCAUAUAGUAAUCAAGAUGUUAUGUCCACUAUUUUAGAUUAGUUGAUUAAAUUGCAUAAUUAAAAUUCCACGUGUCAUAUUUACAUGCAUCAAUUAACUCUUUUAUUUCUUUGCAAUUAUUGUACCUAGUGGAAGUCUAUCCGUUAGCCAUAACGAUUAGACUUAGGAGUUCUAAUUUAUUAAUUAAACGUUCUGAAUUUAUUUUUUCUUGAGCAGUAGUGGCACACUUCAACUCCUCUCAAAGCCAUUUUAUUUUCGUGAUAAGGUUUUUAAAAGUCUUAAUUUGUUUGUGUUGGCAAUUGGCAUCCACUUUCGUCACCUUCUACGCUACUAACAUCAUAAAGUUUAGUUUAUUUAGUGCUCUUAUUAUUUUUAAAAUAAUGAAAUGUCCACUAUAUAUCUGUAUAUAUAUGAUCACUAACGAACACAACAAUUAAAAUAACAAGCGUGUGUGUUUAUGUUCAUAUAAAGGUCAACUAAUAUGAUGGCACAGAGGGGUGGAGCCGCCUUUUAUUGAAGGCUCUGCAUAUUUAUCGAAAAAUUAUAUCGUAUAUAAAUGUCAAAAUUUUAAUUUUGUAUACAUGCAUAUAUGAUCACUAACAAAAAUUCGUGUGCGCUGACUUCUUCCUAUUGGCGCGCCAUGUAUUAUACAAAAACAAUUAGGGUUGACAUGAAAGAAAGUCAACCAAAAUAAUUUGGUCAGAAUAAUGAGUCAUGCUGGUAAUAAUAUUUCUUAAUGCCCCAUAAAAGCGUCAAUAAUGCAAAUUGUUGUUCUUUAAAAAGUCAAUCAGAGGUUAUGGAUGAAUAUAGUGGCAAGAAGAAAUAAAUUAAAUAUCAUAAGGUGAUUAUUAAGUGGAUCAAAGUGCAAUUCCUAUAAGAUGUGUGUUAUGGAAAAGAAGGUCAAAAGCACUGAGAAAUGCUUUGGAUUAUUAAUCUUAAUCACAGGUUUACCAAUUUUGGCAUCACUAAAGAUCUGAAAUUAAAAUGUAUGUAUUUAAUUUAGGGUAUUACCUAAAUUCUAGAAAAAUUUACUAAUAAAUAAGAUUAUAUAUCAUAUAUCUAUGUAAUUCUAAAUUUAUCUUUACAUAAAAGGUGGGAAAAUGGUAUAUAAUAGCAAACUAAUAAACUAAAAUAAAUGGAAUAGUUAGGGUUUGAUUAAUUGUGCUCCAUAGCAAACGUUUGCAAAAAUUGUCAGACGCCUCUCUCCCAAAUAUCUCGGGCGCUACUCUCUUUCAAUCUCUCACUCGCUUCCUCACUUUUUAUACAAACACAAGCGUAUAAAAAUUGUUUCUAAUUGUAUAAAACAGAGAAAAUUGUAUACAUACAUAUAUUUUUGUUUCCCUCUCUCCCCUCUUUCAGAUCUCGCUCGCCACCCUCGUCUUUCUCACUUAUACAAACAGAAGCGAAAUGUAUAAAUUGUGUUUCUGUUUGUAUUAAGCGUGACAAAAUUGUAUAUACACAUACAAGUACAUAUAUUUUCGUCCUAUACACUUAUAAUUAUACAAUAAAAAUACUCCUCUGUCCAGUUUCUUUUGCCUUUCUCUCUUUCUCGUUUUAUACAAUUUUCAAAUUGUAUCUAAUUUCUCUCUUUCUCGUUUUAUACAAUUCGAUUCAAUAGUAUAUUCCUUGUCAAAUCUCUUUUGUCUUUCUCUCUUUCUCCUUUUAUACAAAUUCAAAUUGUAUAUAAUCGUUCUAUACACUUAUAAUAAUACAAUUUGUUUUAUACACUUCGUUUUUAUACAGUUCUCUGCCCAAGUGUCUUUCUCUUUCUUGUUUUAUACAUUUCGUUUUAUACAAUUUGCUUCAACUGUAUAUGUAUAGUGAAUUAUACAGUUUCUAUGUUUGUUAUGAAACACAAUUAUGCAAAUUUUGCUAUAACAUACAAAUAUAAAUUUUUUAUUUGUUACAUGUGAAAAUUGCCAAUAAAUUUAUGAGAAGAAAGGUAACAUAGUCGAAAUCGGCACAGUUAAAAAGUCGCAACCCCAUUCAAUAAACAUGUAUUAUGUUCAUGGUUUGAAAGAUAAUUGGUUGAGCAUCCCUUAGCUUGAUCUACCUAAGACUAGGUUCAUUAAAGACAUUGAAUACAAAGAGCUUAACUUUAACCAUAUUAAAAAUUGGAGUUUUUGGUUAGAAUUAUGCCAUAACUAUGACUCAAAUCUAAUGUACAUCUUUAUACUAUUUAAGUAAGCAAAAAGUAUUCUUAUACUAUCAAAAAAAUUAACAAAAAUUACCCUUUAGUGUAAUUUUUAUUAAGAAAUUAAUCAAACAAAUAAAAAAUAUAUAUAUUUUUUAAUUUGAUCUUGUGUUAGCUACAUCGAGAAGAUCAAUGUUAACUAAAAAGUAUAAGGAUAUGGAUAAAAAAAUGAAUAUUUUAUUCUCAUAAUUUAAAUUUUGUGUGUUGUUAGUUUAUAUGUUAUUUUUUUUCAUAAUCAAGUAAAUUGACUUGCAACAAUACACAAGUUUUAAAAUAUUUAUACAGUAAGAUCCAAUGGUUUCAAAGAUUGAAAAAAAAAUCAUUUUAAAAAUAUUAUGUUCAAUUAUUUAGAGAUUUUCUUUAAUAAAAAACAUAUAUAGUACAUAUAUACUAUAUAGACAAUGCAAUUCACAUUUUAUACAAUAUAUAAAAAUAUUGGUAAUUUAAUGAAAUUAUGUAGGCGUUUUGUUGUGAAAAUUAAAUAAUAAUUACUUUAUUUGAAAAUUUUUAAAAAUGGAGUUGUCUUUGGACAAUUUUUUUUAUAUUAGAAUUUGAAUAUAUUUUGUCUGAAUAUUUUCAUUCUCAAUUUCUAAAAAUAAAAAAAAGUGUCCAACUUGACUAGCUUAAUCGUAUGAACAUAUAUUCAUUCGAUCUGACACAUUUUUUGUUGAUGGCUUAAGUUUCUUUAAAAAAUAAUCAGAAGAAUGAAUGUUGCAACUUUUUGAAUAAUACAAUAAUAUUAUUUGUUCACUUUUAUAAUACAAAAAUAUAGAUCAUAAUUUAGAAAUACUUUUAGCCAAAAACUUGUAAAAAUUAUCCAAUUUAGUUUUUUCUUUCAAGAACAAGAAUGAACAGAUCUUUUUUUACUGUUGCAGAUUCAUGAGCAUACAAAAAGGGUUUAAUUAAUACUAUAACUUGUCAUUUGAUUUAUCGAACAGGAAAAUUAUGGAAUUGAGUACCCACCCAUAUUGUAGACCCCCACACAUGCCAAAUGAAGCCUUCACUAAGUAAGCCUCAAGUGGUCUAUAUAUCGAUCACAUGAGGUCCUUCUCAACGUUCAUUAGUGUCCAUCGAGGCCAUUGAAUUAAUCAAAGCUGCCAUAAAUUAAAUAGUCAAACCUUGGUACAACUUCCAACACAUGCAUUAAAAAAAAUGGAACUGUAGGACCACUUUAUCAAAUGAAAUUGUUCAUAAAAUAAUCAAGUGAAAAAAGAGUAUACCUUGUAACUCUCUUUUUUUUCUCUCGAUUGAAGCUCAAUUAUUUAUAUUAAAAUUUAUGUCUGAAAAUCUCACAUUAAAAAUAACAUUCUUAUUAAUAUUUAAAAUAAUUCAAAUUCAAAAUAUUUUAUAAAAAAUAAAAAAUACUUACCAUACUGUCAUAAUCUUCGAAUAGAAUCUACAGUUAGGGUAUGCCUAACCCUCCACACUGUGGUGGCUAAAGAAUUGUCCAUAUGUUUUUUUUUAUAUAUAUAUAUGGAAUUGUCUAUAUGAAUCAAGUGUAUAUGUUCUUUUUUCUUCUAUAGAAUUGUCUAUAUAACUCAUUGUUUGAAACUCUCUUUUGAAUGCAUCUUGAUUGGACGUUUUUCACAUGAUAGGAAAGCACAUCACCUUACGCCAUUGUGUUUUACAUCAUUAAUAUACUUAUUGAGCUUAUAUAUUAGCAAAAAAUAUUUUGGAAUUUUUCUUUUGUUAAACGAGGAAACUUUCUCUAAGUAUAAUAAAGGCAUAAUAUAUAAAUGCGUUCUUUUAACUUAGCCUUAGUUCAUAUUUAUGUCCUUCAAUUUUGAGUAUGCACAAGUAGAUACUUAAAUUUGUAUAAACUUGAACAGGUAGAUACAUGAGUUCUACAUGGCUCGAUGCAUGUAGGACACCACAUAGGACGAAAAAUAACAUGUACGAUGUCAUGUAGAACAUGUAUGUCUAUUUGUUCAACUUUAUACAAGUUUAAGUGUCUACUUAUGCACACCCAAAAUUGAAGGGCAUAAAUGUGAUUUGAAUUCAAAUUAAAGGGACAUAAUUUGUGUAUUAUAUCUAUAAUAAAUUUAGUUAUGCUUCAUAGCUAUAAUUUACAUAUUUAUCAGUUGUAAUUAUGAUUUAAGUUGUCUUAUUUAUAUAUAAUUCGGAGAUUUGUAUAAUCCGCGGGUGUAUUUGUAUAAUUCAAAUAUUUUUAUAUAAACUCAAAAUAACAAAUUAUACAAACACAAACAUCUGAACUUCAAAUAAUUAUACAAAUUAUAUCAGAUAAAAAUAAUACAAAUUAUAUUAUACAAACUUUGAAGUAUACAAAAUAAAUAAACUGAGUUAUAUAAUUAUAGCUAUAAGUAGGUUGCAAAUAAAAAACUUUAUGCUUCCAGAAUCUGCCUAUCUUUUUAGAAUUAAAGUAUUUUUGUAUCCAGAAUAGGAGAAAGUUAAUAAGAAUAAAACAACAAAACGAUAAUAUAGGAUCAUUUGAUAGAAAGUAUCGAAAUGAUGCUUUAUAAAGCGUAUUAGCAAUGCUUAUAUUAGUGAAUUACAUUAUAAGAAAAUUAUGCGAGGAUUUUCCUUAGGAUUAAUCUGAAAAUUUACAAGAGAAUAAAUUUUCAUACUAAUCCCCAAAAAAAACCUCGUAUAAAUAUUUAUUUACAAAAAUACUCUCCAUAAUUAUAAUUAAAUUUUAUUUAUUAAAAAAAUAAUUCAUAUAUAUUCUUAUCAUUAUAAAAAUAACUUAAUGAACCUUUUAUUUACAUAAAGCUUUCAUUGUUUAGUUUUUUUCAGGAAUUGUGUUACGUAGGUAGUUUCUCUUUGGAGAAAACAUACACAAAUAAAUAAAUAAAUGUGUUACGUUUAAAUGAAGAGAAGCAUAAGGGGAUAAAAAGAAGAAAAUAUUGGCAUUAUCUACGUGUGAAUGCAUUCUUCUUCUUUUUUUGAAUAAAAAGGGUACCUAUUUUGAACGUGGCGAGGAAGUGUUAUACACGUAAGAAACGACGCCGGAUAGGAUAAUCAAAGGGACCCACCAACUUUCCCAUCACAAAUGACGGAACAGUGGGGCCCACAUUUAAUAUUCGGAGGAAGCUUCAUUCUCACGCAACUUGGGAGGAUCAUGUGAACCCACGCCAGUAUCUCCAAAAGGCCCAUAACCUCUUCCAUUUCUUAUUUUUGUAUUAGAUUCUACUAAAAUUAAUUUUCUAUAUUCUUACUACUGUCGAUAGAAUUCUAUUAUUAAGUUAAUUGUGUUCUUAAUUUCACCUUUGGGAGAGAAUUCAAAUAAACUAGAAUGAAUAAGAAAAAUAAUCAUGGUUAAAUUUAAUCAUUACUAUUUCUAUUUACUGAAAAAGGUUCUUGAAAUUGUUAUUGUGAUACGAAACGAUGGAAAAUUUGAUCAAUUCAAAAGUUUAGUGAAAGUUGAAGUUCAUAAUUAAUUGAUGAUUGAGAUAAAAUACAGAUUAAUCAAUUACAAUUAAGUGAUGUAGGGUACCAAAAAAGAAAAAAAUUAUCUACUUUCUUGUGGUUGUGCAUGAUUUAAAGAUGUGACAUUGCAUUUAAUUUAACCUUUAAAAUUAAUACAUGGAGAAAAAUAUUACCAAAGAUAUAAAAUUUGUUAUUUUUAAUUGGGUUUCAAUUAUGUGAUUGAGUUUUAAUGCGUGUUAGAUGGUGUUGGGUGCGAAAAUUAUUUGAUUCUUACUAAUUUAUAUUGGAGUCAACUAGUUAAUAUUCAAAUAAUGUUAAUCUAUUUCUUAAUUAAUCUAAAGCUCAAUUCACUUUAACAUCUUCCAUUUUUUAUGUUCUUAUUCACUUUAAGCAUGCAUCUAUAGUUCAAAUUAAGACAACUAUGAAAUCUAAUUCAAUUUUAAAAAUUAACUCAAAAAAAAAAUUUAAUUCUCACUUCAUCAACUAAUUUUUGAGAUUAAAUUAAAUUCAAAUAGCCUAUUUUUAGGCGAUAUAAUAAUUAAUUUAAAUAUAAUCCUUAGAAAGUCAGUGGCCUCUCUAUAAAUGUGCACGCACCAAUUUAAGCGGUGAAACCAUGAGAAAAAAAAAUCAGAAACCUAGCAUCAAGGGGAUGAUAAUAAAACACUCCACAUCAGUGAAUGAGUAAAAUUUUUGACCUUAUGUCUUUUUUUGUAUUCAUUGAGAUGAAGACAUUUAAAUUUAAAUAUAAUUAAAUUGAACCAUGGUUAAGAUGGACCACACUCUAAUAAAAGUUAAUAGGUGAAAGAAAGACGAAAUUGCCCCUACACGCAACUCUAGAACGUACAAGCAAUGGGCGCCGCAAUUGACGAUAGAUUGUCUUUGUCUUCUCCACUAUCCACAGUCACUUCUUUUUUUUAUUUUUUUAUUUUUAAAAAAAUAUUUACUUCCCUUCUACGUCGGUACUUUGACUUAUUCCAUAUCCACCACCUAACCUUUUAAUUUUGUUAUUAUUUAUAAAAAUUCUCAUAUUAAUAUAAUAAAAAUAUAUAUAUUUUAGAGUGUUAGAUUAUAAUUUAUAGCUUGUAAUUUGAUUUUCAAAAAGCUAAAUGAACUAAUAAUACGAACAGAGAAAGUAUUUCUAAUUAGUUAUAUAUAUAUUUUGUUUCAUUAUAUUUGAUUCAUAUUGACUAGACAUUAUUUAAGAAAUUUAAUUUUAAAUAAUUCUUUAUUUAAUCAUUCAGUGAUAAAAAUAAUAUUUAAAAAUAAUUUUAUUUUUGAUAUAUGGUAAUCAAAGUAAAAUGAAAUGGGGAAUAUUCACUAAUUACCUCAUUGUCAUGGUACACACGAUUUAUUUUUUUCAAGCCGAUUUAAGAUAUUGGUUCUUUAUUAUUGCAUUUGUCUCAUCACUUACAAUACAACAAAGUUGAUGUUUUGGAAUAUGAAAUAGGUUAAUAAUUUUACAAGUUUCAGGACAAUGAACCCAACGCAUAGUGCCUAUUAUAACUAAUUUUUAUUUUAAUUCGUCACUAAACCAUUUCAUUAUUAAAUCCAUUUCCCAAAAUUUAUUAUAAACCUGGCCUUGGAAUUUAAAUUUAAAAAAUUUCGUCUUUAUCUUCUUUUACUAGGUCGAAAGAGGUGAUUUAUUUAAGAAUAUUUAUGUGUCAUAUUUGUCCAUUUUAAUGACGGAAUUAGAUAGAAGUGUGCAUUUGGUUAGAUGGGAGUUGGUAUGAAUUUGAGAAUGAUAUCCAAAGGAGCACUUGUCUUUAGUUGUGUCAAGUUACAAAGAGGAAUAAACGACUCUCUAGAUAUCCAAGGGCUACCUUUAUACCUUUCUUUACUCUUUUUUAAAUCUAGUAUGUAUUAGUUGAUAAACAAUGAGUAAAUAUAUACUCGCCUAUUGACUUAACGGGUUUUAACCAAACUAAAUCAUUAUAUAAAGUCAUUUAUCAAAAUAAUAUGUUUUUCUAAAAUUUUAUAAAAUUACUAUAAAUGUAUUCCACAGUAACGUUUUAGGAUAUAUUUUAUUUUUUAAAAGCUGAUGGCGUCAGAUUGAUAUACGUUACUCACAGUAACGUUUUACUCCUAAAACAUUACUUACAUUAACGUUUUACUCCUAAAACGUUACUGGAAAUAACGUUUUAAAAGUAAAACGUUACUUACAAUAACGUAUAUCAACCUAAUGUUGUUAGUUUUUAAAAAAUAAAAUAUACCCUAAAACGUUACCAUGAAAUACGUUUAUACUAGUUUUAUAAAAUUUUAAAAAAAUUUAUUACUUUAAUAAAUUGUUUUAUAUAAUGAUUUAGUUUGGUUAAAAAUUCAUUGACUAAAGACUCAGUAUUAACAUUUGUAUAACUUUAAAAAUAUAGUUUAUAGAUUCUUGAUUUAUUCAAUAAAAACUUUUAUAACAAAUACUUCCUCCAUUUUAGUCGGGAGAAAUGAUCUUUUAGUUUUUACGAGAAAAGAUUAGUCCGUGACUCUAUAUUCUUUUUUAUCAGAUUUUCAUUUGUAAAUAUAAGAUAUUUUAUUUUAUAUUUUAUUUGUACACAUAAACAUAUCUUUAUUUCAAAUUACGUGGUACCGUUUAUAUUUCGAAAAUUAAACUUUUUAACUUUCGAACAUAAUUAAAUUUGUUAACUUAUUCAAAUAAAUUUCACAUAUUUGAAAGCUACAUAAAAAAAAAUCCCAAUGUUAAUAAUUUAGAAUAUUUCAAAUAUUUUCAAAAAAAAAAUCAUGAUAGAAAAAUAAUUUAUUUGAUAAAAAAUUAGAAUAAAUGAAGUAAUAAAGAUCGUUUGAUUGGUUAUCGAAGAGAAGUUAUCCAUAUAUUAAUUAAAAUUAAUUAAGCUUUAGAUAUUGUUUGAUUGCAAAAAUAAGAGAUAAUUUAUUUAACAAAUUUUUCUUGCAUUAAUUAUGCACUAGAACAUUUUUUUGGUUUUCAUAUACAAUAUGAAUGUCCCAAUGUAAUUUGAGAAAUUGACUAUGAAUAAUUUCAUGAGAAGUACAUCUAGAUUGAAUAAGUAUUAAAUUAGGCAUGACACAAUUUUUCACUCAGUCAAACACAUUACUUUAAAUAACCAAGCGCAGCUAACAUGAAUUGAAGUGACAAUGCAUUUGUCUUGCUUUUUAUUCAUUUUCGUAGUCUUAAUAUUACAUAUUAUUUUUUGUAACUUUUUUAAAAACCUAAUUUAGAUUAUUGUUUCAAGUUGAAAGUCUAUUUGUAAUAACUUUUUGCGUCUAGGUAAAUAGUUUACGUAACUCUAUCCUUUUAAACCUUAUUUUAUUAGACUGUCUUAAAAAUAUUAAUGUUAAUAAUUUUUUUUUACAUUCUACCAUUUAUAUGAUAAAAUAAAAACAUUUUUAGAGGAAUAAGAAAGUGUGUUGCAUCAAUUAUAAUGUUUCACGUCUGAUUGUCAAAGUUUUAAAGAUACGUUGAAAUGCGUGAAAAUAUAGCCAAUGUGUCGCUGAAACGUCAGGAUACGGAAAACGCGUUUAACACUGACAGGUGGAGGUUGGUUCGGCGUAUUAACUCAUUAGUGGGUGUAGCCGAAUUAGUUGACUGGUUAUUACCGGUCACUUUCUACUUUAUUUUAAGACCCACUGCCAACUAGAUAAUGCUUCAUUUAACUCUUUUAACUUUACCUCAAACUUACUCCACCAACUUCAUCUAAUUUUAUAUGUACUCGUAUUUUCUUCGGUCGAUUAUUUUUAGAUAAAUUAAUUUAUUUCUUAAAAUACUUGUAAAACUAAUUAAUUGUAAGUAUAAUAGGAAAAGAUAAUUUUUAAUUCUUUUAAGAAGAAUAAUUAUUUUUAUGGUAUAUAAUGGUUCACUAAUAUAGAAAGGGGUAAUAGAUUUUUAAAUAUCAAUUUAAUAACAAAAAAAUUUUACCUCUUAGUCGACAAUAAUACAAUUUUUAGUUAAUGCUUUAAAAAGAUUUCCUCCCUCUCUGAAAUUCAAACCUUAAUAUUCUUUUCUGGCAUGACAAAAAGUCCAUCUCUUUAACUUUUAAGUAUAAAGUAGUUUUAGUAGCUAAAAUUUCAAUUAAAAGGGAAGUUUUUCAUGCAUCAAAAAUGUCCAUUUUGGUAGUGUAUGAUAUUAUAGUGCAACUUGAACUUGAUUUUGGUAAGAUUUUCUUCAAAUUUCAAAUUAAACAGGAUAUAGUUUGUAUGAAAUGGAUUUGAAAACGUAUCAUUAUAAAUUGAGAAAAUGCACAAGUAUUUUCUAGACUAUAAUUACAAUUUUAAAAACACACUUUAACUAAAUUAAAGUUCUAUUAUCCUCUGAGCUUAUUUUUUUUUUGUAAUUUUGUGCACAUUUUUAACCUACGUGACAUCAAAAUAUCGUCUCAAUUGCGUGAAGUCACGAGUGUGCCACGUAAGAUAAAAAGUACACAAAAUUAUUAAAAAUAUAAAUUCAGGGAUAAUAGAACCUUAGUUUAAUUAAGGUGUGUCUCUGAAAUUUUGAUUAUAAUUAGGGAGGUACUUGUACAAUUUUCAAAUUAAAUUUUGACAAAAAAAUUCAAAGUUUGCCUUUUGUAAAAGAAGCUUUAUCAUUUUAAAUUUCUCAAAAGAAAAACAGUCAUGUUUAAUGUAAAAAUAAUACUAAAAAAUAAUGAGUAUUAUUAUUGAUUAAUGAUUUAAUAAAAUUAUCUAUAUUUAAUGAUGUCUUAAAGAUAUUUUGAUCCUUAUAUACUAUAAACUAUGAUUUGUUUAUUUGAUAUUUUGCAAGAAUUACAUAUUUUAAAAUAGUUUUCACAAUUUGUAAAGUUUUUAUUUUUAUACUAAGAAAAUACGACAAAAUAAAUUUAUAUUACAUAUUUAAAUAAAAAAUUUUAAUUUUAUAUCGUUUUAUUCUCAUAUCGCGCUCGGAAGUUGACCUAAAAAGAGUUUUGAUGCAACAAGUAAAAAUUGUAAUAUGAACACACUACUUGGUGACGAACUGUAAUUAGAAAAUAACUGUCAAAAUUUUUAUGCAUAAAAAAAUUAUAAAAUUAAAAAGUUUUAACUAAAUAUACCACCCGAGAUAGAAGGAACAUUGUCCCACUCACUUUAAUGGUAGGGGGCUGGUAAAAAUAGAUCUCAGGUAGUCCAAAUGGACCCUAUAUUUUUUUAGGCAUAUAUUGAAAAUCACAAUAAAAAAAUGAUUGUAUUAACUUAUAAAUAAAUAUGAAUAUUUUUUAAAAAGAGUUAAUCGUAAAUGUAAUAUAAGAAAAAUUUUAGUUUAGUAAGAUAAAUAAUUAAUAUGAAAUAAUCACUUAAUAUAAAAUGAACGGAUCGAAUAUAAUAUUAAAAAAAAUUGAAUGGAGGGAGAGAGAAGAAAGGCACAUAGCAGGUCUUUAAAUUGAGAGGCGAUGUUCAACAUUUCUCAGAGUGAAAAAAAAUCAGUGAGGCUACCUAAAAUAUUGUGUGUGUAUUUACAUUUUCUUUCCCCCCCCCCUUCUCUAACAUCCCGCUUCUUUAGAUCCCUUUCUGUUGUCGUCUGUCUUUCAAUUUCAGAAAUUUUAUACAAAAAUCAAACUCCCUUUUAGGUGUUUUGUUUUUGAAAGCCAGGUGAUCCAGAACAGAGAUCAACGUUCUCUUUUUAUUUUUUAAAUUGUUCAAACAACCACAAGGGUCUGUUUUUCGUAUCCCUAAAGGUUGUUUUUUUUGAUUUGUAGAAAGCUUUGUAAAAAUCUCUACCUGUUGUGUAGUUUUGAUAUUAGAAAGAGGUAAUACUUUUUGUGUGUUUUGAUAUUAACCAUGGCAGCAGCUAUAGAUGUAUACAGCAGCAGCAGUAACUUGUCAGAUCCUUUAACAGAAGAACUUAUGAAAGCACUUGAACCUUUUAUGAAAGGUGUUUCUUAUUCUUCACCUUCAACUUCGUCUUCUUCUUUCUAUACUUUUGGUGAGCCUAAUUUGUAUACUGAUUUCUGCACAAUCCCAUCAACGGCUACCCAAAUGUUUUCUCAAGGGUAUUCGUGUUUUGACAAUAUGGGUGUAGCUGAAACAGGUUCAAUUGGGCUUAACCAUCUAACCCCUUCUCAGAUCUUGCAAAUCCAAGCUCAGAUCCAAUUUCAAAAUCAACAGCAACAACUACAACUAUUACAUCAACAACAACAGAGCUUAGGUUUGUUAACACCCACUUCAACAUAUUCUAAGAAUCUGAAUUCUACUAACUUUCUUGGUAUGAAACCAGUCCCAAUGAAGCAAACGGGUGCUACUUCUUCACAGAAGGCUACUAAGCUUUAUCGUGGAGUUAGACAACGCCAUUGGGGCAAAUGGGUUGCUGAAAUUAGACUUCCUAAGAACAGAACUAGGCUUUGGUUAGGCACUUUUGAUACAGCUGAAGAGGCUGCUUUGGCUUAUGACAAAGCUGCUUAUAAGCUAAGAGGCGAGUUUGCUAGGCUUAAUUUUCCACAUCUAAGGCAUCAAUUAAACAAUGAAUUCUCUGAUUUCAAGCCUUUGCAUUCCUCUGUGGAUGCUAAACUUCAAGCCAUUUGCCAAAGCUUGGCUAAUCCCAAAUCAGAUGACUCGUGUUCUAAAUCUAAUUCCAAGCCAAGAAAGUCCAAAACUGCAGCAGUUUUAGUGGAUUCAAAUUCAGCUCAAGAAUCUUCAUCAAAGUCAGAAAUCACCACAGAUGAUUCAUUGAAAGAAGAAUUCAGCUAUCCAGAAAGUGGUACUAUCAAGAUUGAGGCUUCAUCAUCAUCAUCGCCCCCUACACCCUCUGAGGAAUCAUCAUCUUCGCCUGAGUCUGAUAUUACUUUCUUGGAUUUCGCUGAACCAUCUUUCGAUGAAUCAGAAAACUUCUUCUUACCCAAGUACCCUUCCGUGGAGAUUGAUUGGGCAGCUCUUUGAUACUUUAUUGUAGUAUUACUUUUUUUUUUUUAGAUAUAUCAUGUAUGGUGUCAAGUAUGGCCUCCUGCAAUGGUGUUUUUGACAUUUGCGGAGGUUGGUGUAGUAGUGAAUAGAGUCAUGUAAUAGUGAAGGUCGCUCACUCUCCGUCUUGUUCAUGCUUUGGUUUUUGUAUAUGCAUUGAACCAAAAGGGAGAGACUUUGCAUCAUGUAUGUGUCUUGUUCAUUUCUUAGCUUAAUAUAAUCAUAUCUAAUGUUUUAGUAUGUAUCUACACUUGUGCUAUUAUAUCAUACAACCUAUCUUUCAGUUCCCAGAAAAAAGAAUCCACUUAGCUAGUCAAGUAAAAUAACUUCCAAACAUGAAGAUUGAAAAUUUGAAAUAACUUAUUAGUUUUAUUUUUAAAUAGUUACAAAAGUACUCUUUUACUUAAUUUUCAUAUAAUCUGUUCCGUGAAAUAUUAAGUGGUACGUGAUUUUUCUCUUGUAGGAUCAUGAGAUUUAUAGUAAAAAAUUGAGCAAAAUAUUUUUGAACAUUCUUUAGGAAAGACAUAACAAAGUGUUUCUAUUACUAGACUUGUAAUUAAAGAGUAAUAUUAAUCUGAUAAACUUAAUAAUAAUUUAAGAGUAUAUUUAAAAGAUGUGAGUCAAUCAAAUAAAAAGAUAUUGCAGUAAUUGGUAAAUAAAAUGAAUUAAGGUGUUUUGCAUAUGGAAUUUUUUGUUGGAGAAUUAGUGAAGGUUAUGUUUGUUUAACCGAAAAAAAAGAAAAGAAAAAGGAGGAGAGUUGUAAAUAGUGACAAAUGGAGGGUGGACCCUACCACGUAAUAUGUAUUAUUUCUUCCACAUGGCUUGAAUAGAGGAGUAUUUUAUUAAUUGUAGCCUUUUGUCUUUUGUAGAAUUCAGUUACAAAUAAAAGAUUAUUCAACCGGAAACUUUCUGCCUUGGAUGCUAUAUAUUCCAUGUCACCUUCAAAACUCUCAAUUCCAAGAGCAUAUUUAGAUUUUUUUUUUCUAGAGUGCAAUUUAAAAUACAGUAAAUAAAGUAGUGAUUAAUAGUAGAAAAAAAAGUAUUUCAUGACUAAUUAUAACUAAGAUUAUUUGAUUGAAAAUAAGUUAUUUUAAAAUAAUUAAUUUUUAAAUAAGUUAUUUCAUUAUGUAUAUAGAAUAAUUUAUUUUAUUAAUGUGACAUAUCUUUUUAUUGGGAAUCAUGUUUACGUGUUAUGUCCUAUCUAAUCACCUUCUUCGAUUCUUCUUCAGUCUAGCUCUAACUUUCCUAGAAUCUGCUAUAGCAAAAUCUGUCAUACUCUUUUUGACUACUUUCACAAACCUUCUUUUCACAUAUCAAAACCAUCCUAAUUAGUAUUUACUUCAAUUAUCUUUGUGUGCCACAAAUAGUACUAUCUGUUGUAGUAUGUCUAUACAUUCUUAUAAGCAUACUUAUUUUUGAUAUCUUCAUUUUUCAAUGAAUGCAUUCUUAACUGAUCAAUCAUCAACAGCUGAAUGAACUUGAAAGUUUAUCUUAGUUCCAUGAAUUGCCUUGGUGCUAGCUAAAGGUAUACGGUGGGGGUAUGUUACAUUUUGUGCACGUUAUUGGUCCAUUAUCUAAAUCAAGUUUGUAUAUGUGUUUUGAGUUUGGGACUGUUAAAGUAUGUCGCCAUUAUUAGUGAAUCUUAUUGAUGACAAUGCCACGUUGUAAUAUUCAUGGACAUUGACUAAUAAAUUGUACUUAAUUCACGUUUGCCCACCAAAUGCAACGUAAAUUGCUGGACGUAUUUUACAAUUGACAUUUCUUCAUUAAACGGGCCCUCGUUUAGAUUAUUAUUGUUGAUGAUUCAUCAUUUGCACGGAAAGUUAAAUGAAUAAUAACUAAUGAGUUUAGAACAUUCUAGAGACUUUGAAAUUUAAUGUCAGGUAGCAAUGGACAUAAAUAUCGAAAAAUCGAAUCGAAUAAAAAAAAUUUAAUUUUUUGCUGUCGAUUCUUCGGUGUUUUGGUUUGGUGUUAAUUUUUUUGAAACUUUAAUUCUUCAGUUUGGAGUAUGGUGUAAGGGUACCGAAACUACGGUACACUAAAGAACCGAAGUUUUAUUUAAAUAAAUUUAAAAAUAUUUAAAUUAUAUUGCUUAAUUAAUAAUACAUAUACAUUUUUUAAAUUUUGACACAAAAUAUUUACAUAGACCAUUUAAAUUUUCGAUUUUUAAAUAAUUUUUGAUUUUUAAAUGACAACGGUAAAAUAUUUUCCUCUUAAUGAAUCACGCUUAUGGGACAGGGGGUUUGGGGGUGAGGACCACAGUAAUCAUAAAAUGCCACCGGAGAAAAAACACAGAAAAUUACUAGCCAAAGUUGUUGUAACUCAAAGGAACAUGAAGCAUGCAAAUUUGAAUUAAACUUCCAUAACAACAAAACGAGUCUAAGUUCAUAUGAUCUUGAAUUCAAUAUCCUUGUUGAAUAAAAUAUAUAUAUAUAUAUAUAUAUAUAUGUAUAUAUAUACGACAAGACUCUUUGUGAAUAAGUAAAUACAAUUAACAUGCAUGUCCUAUAGAUAAUAAAUACCAAGACUUGCCAUCUAUGCUAAGAAACAUAAACAAAUCCUUUGGCAACUUUACUCAAAAUUCAUCUAGCCCUCUUUAUUUUUAUUAAAUACAUGAUGAAACUUUUAAUAUUUUAUCAUAUUCCCUCUUUAUUUUUAUUCACAUCGAAAAACUGAUUUAAAAAUACUAAAUCAAAAUAAAAAAAAAUCAAACUGAAUCGAUCUAAUUUGGUAUAAACUAUGAUUCAUACUUUUCUAAAAUCGAAUACGGAAGAACCGAACGCCCACCCCUACCGUCAGAGGAGUCUUAAGGUUUUCAGAAGGAUAGAUAUAUAUUAUGAAAAAGCACAUCUAAGAUAUGAAUUUUAACAGUUUGACCUUUAGAUUCUUAAUAUGAAUCGUUAAAUUUUAAAAAUUACAAGUCUAAAAUACAUCAUAAAUCUUUAUAUACACAUAUGAUUUAAUUAUAUAUUUUUGGGGGAUUUUCAAUGUAACACUCUUAAACUUUAAAAAAUUAAAGCAAAAAAAUAAAAGAAAAAUUAGUUAAAACGUCAAAAGUGUUACCAAUAACCACUUGUAGAGGUGUUUCUUAAAAAACAAUAUCGAUACAUAAGAUUAAAUUUCUAUCCUCACUUAAAGUCUAGAGAGGUGCACCCAAUUAUCAUCAUGCUUUUACAAGAUAUAUACUUUGAAUGUGGGUUCACACAUCUAUACUUAAGUAUUUUUUUUUAAAUAUAACACUACUAUAUGUGAUCUAGAAAAGAAAGCAAGGAUCAAGUGAACCCACGAAUUCUAGAUACGCCUCCGUUUAUCAAGUGCGUGUACAUUUUUCCAAAGUAAUGCCUUUUUUACCAAGUACCUGUGAAUUCUCCCAGAUUAGUAUUUUCUUUUUUUGAAUUCAUAAAACAGGCGAUAAUAUUUUAGAUAGUCUAAGUAACAUAGAUACUAUAUGAUUAAUUAGUUAACGGGUGGGACAAUACAUAUACUACCAAUUAGUCUAAAAGAUAUUUUUGUUCAUCAUGUCAAUUGAGAAAUGUAGAUUCAUAAAUGAGUUACUUUUAUACAUUUACCCUAUAGUUUAUACCAAAUUAGACAUAGUGAAUCCAUAUUGUUAAAGUUGAAUGCUUGAUGAUUAAUUAGUUAUACCAAUUAAGGUUACAUAAAACUGUUGUUAUCUGUUUAGCUCACAAAAGAGGUGGGAUCACCGAAGUUAAAAGUCUGAGUACGAAUUUGAUUGAAUUUAAUAGUUACUUUUAUUCAAAUACUAUAUUUGUAUUAAAUACAUAAAAUUAAAUUUAGAAUCCAGUUAUUCAUAAUACUUGAAAUCAUCUAUAUAAAAUUCAAAACUCACAAAACUAAAAAUGGCACAACCUUAGAAAGUAAAAAUGCAUUAUCUCACAAAGCUAAUCAAAGCCAAGAGAUAAGGAAUUGCAAGGCCACUUUAACUUUCAACCCCACAAAAUAUACAUUAUAAUUAUUCUUUAUCUCUACGCAUGCCAAGACAAGUCUUACAAUGCCAAAAACUAAGGAAGAUGAUAGAAAGUGACUCUGAAAAAAGCCUCUUAUUCUGGGCCAUUAUCAAGAAAGAAUCCUUCCAAGCUUUGCACAAGAAGGAUUCUCUCCACAUAUUCAGAAGGGAGUCAGAAUUUAAAGUUUAUAGAUUUUAAAAUUUAAUUUUUUUACGUCGUUACAAGGUUCAUUUUUACAUAUUCAAUGAAUUUUUUAGUAUAAAUUUAGAAUUUAAAUCAAAAUUACUAAGUUUUAGGCGUUUGGCCAAACCCCUAAUCAACGUACUCUUUUCUUUUUAUUCUUUUAACUUUUCCCUCUCAAUAUUUAUAUAAAUUAAGUGUUGUUUUCAUGUCGAAAGGACUAACGUUGAGCCACAGAAUAGGGGGCUAAAAAAGGAAGUGUGAACGAAUGGGUAUAAAUACUCUUUCAUUAUCUAUAAAGUAUAUGAUAUUAUUCGUUAGAUAUUAAUAAGGGUCAAGUUGUUCUUUAGCCUUUACAGGCUUUGAUGAGGUGGCCUAUGCAUGCUUUCUAUAGAUGGUUGCACUACUCAAUUUUAUUUUAAAAAUUAAAUUAAGAUGAUUUUUCUAUUAUAAACAUAAUUUUUACCAAGUAAUUUUGAAUAAUUGAGUGAACAUAUUAGUAACACUCAAAACAUUUACCAUCUAUUCUAUGUAAAAAUAAGCUUAUUUAGUGCUUGGGAGGCAUGCAUGGAUAAAGCAGAGUUCAAAUAAGUCAGUUGGUGCAGUAUCAUGUAUAAAAACACAGGUUUUUAAUUAAGGCUAUUUUCUCAUUUUUUGCAUUGAUAAAUCAAUUCUAAUGCACUAUACUAAAUUUUUACACGAAAAAGAAAGUUCUUAUUUUUUAAAAACAUUUUUCUCAUUCUUUAAUAUUAUAUUAUUAUUACCAUUUAUUUUCAUAAAACAAAUCUCUUUCUUACAUAUUCAUUCUAUUCAAGUCAUAUGCUUUCUUACAUGAUCAUUUAAUAUAAAAUUAUUUUAUAGCAUAAUUUUUUAGAUAUGUAGUGAAAAUAAUUUUAAACUUGGCGUAACUUAUUAGUUUCGUCUCUGAACAAUUGAUAGUUGUAAAUUAAAAAUAUCUUUUACUUAACUAAUUAAACUUAAAUACACUUUCGAUAUGCAACAUGACAUAGCAAGUGGUUUCAAGUUAUUGUAGGAGCAUGAGACCCUUAAUAAAAAAUCGAGAGAAGUGUUGAAAGCACUCCUAAACUUGGCGAGAAUUCGUGAGUGUAUUUCAAUCAUGUUGCACGAUCGAUGGUGUAUUUAACUUUACUUAGUCAAGUAAAAAUGUGUUUUUAAGACGGUCAAUAGUUCAGAAACAAAACAAAUAAAUCGCGUCAAAUUUAGUGAUAUUUUCGAGUUAAAAAUAUCGAAGCUGGAAGACAAGUUUGAAACAACCUCUUCUUUUAUAUCAUUGGAGUCUGAGAUUCCUACUCUUAAUUCACCUAUGCUAUCAUUUGAGAAAAUUGAGAGACAACAAUGUAUAAAAUUUUUGAAUGGAUUCAUCACUAUUCAAGGUUCUAUAUUUAUACAAAAUGAAAAACAUCUAUUUGAUAUCAGCUUCCAUAUUAUUCUUAAACGUUGGGCCUUAUCUACUUGAUAUCAGCUUAAUCAGGCCCAAAGUGAGAAUGAAUUUGUUAGGCCCAAAGUGAGAAUGAAUUUGUUAGGCCCAAAGUGAGAGUGAAUGUUGACACCCUACCUCAAGAUUAUGAUGAACAGGUCCUUUGUAAAAAUGUCGGCUAGUUGUGAAGUAGACCCGAACAUACGACAAUGAGACGACGGACGAAGUGACAGUCCAGUUCGACGUGCUUCGUCCGUUCAUGAAAUACCGGAUUCUUCGCAAUGUGAAUGGCUGCAAGGUAUCCGAAUGAAGAGGCACCGGUAUUGAGAGGUCUUUGAACAGACGGACUAACCAGGUUAGCUCAACAACGACCCUUCUCAUUGAGCUAUAUUCGGCUUCAGCUGAACUAAGAGAGAUUGAAGAUCGUUUCUUCGAAUUUCAAUAAAUAGGAGAAGUUCCAAGAGUAUUGACUGACUGAUCUGCGUGAAUCUGGACAGGGACCCUAGUCGAAAUCACAGAAAGCUGUCAGCUUGAAAGAGGAAGAGGAUGGGAAAAAUAGACCAAGACCUGGAUCAUUAGCAAGUAACGCAACACCCGCAAAGCAGCAGUUAAGUGCGACUGACAAGGAUCCUGCAUAAAUUGACUUAGGUGCUGCACAGGCCUCGUAUUAGUCAGGUAGUUCAAUUUCCCCAAUAAGUGUCGAUAAAAAGUAGAAUAAGUGAUAGGCUCUCCAUGAUUAGCCAAAUAAUUUUAUAGUAAGAUCUAAUGGACAAGAAACAGAACUGAGAUGUAGAGAGUCAAAGUCUCUCAAAAGAUCUAAUCUGAACUUUCUUUGUGAAAUAAUCAGACCCUGCGAUCAUUCUUUGUCUAAGAAACCUUUUAAAUUGUGUAAUUCUGCAUUAUAAUUUUCUGUCAAAAGGAUAUCAUCCACAUAAAUAGCAACAAUGGAAAUUGAACUGCCUGAUUUUUUUGAAGAAGAGUGAAUAAUCAUUCAAGGAAUGACGAAAUCCUUUAAAAUUAAGAGCAGCAGUCAACAUAGCAUACCACUGUCUGGAUGCUUGUUUAAGUCCAUAUAUGAACUUUUUAAGCAAACAGACAUGGUUAGAAGUAGAAGGUGAAACACCUGGAGGAAAUUUCAUAUACACCUCUUUAUUUAAAUCAUGCAGAAAUACAUUGUUAACAUCUAAUUGGAAAAUUCCUCUACCAUGUUUAACUGUUGUAGCUAAAUGACACCUGAUAGUAGUCAUCUUGACCACGGGUGAAAAAGUUUCAUUAUAAUCCACCCUUCUUUUUGAACAUCCCCUAUGAUAACCAAUCUAGCCUUUAGUCUUUCUAUAUACUGCCAUCAACAUGUUGUUUGACUUUAAAAACCCAUUUGGAAGGUAAAGAUCUUUUACCAGUAGGUAAGACAAUAAUAUCCCAAGUUUUGUUAAGCUCCAAAGCUGAAAGUUCAUUGUCCAUUGCUUUCUGCCAACCUGGAUGAUGUGCAGCCUGCAUAUGAAUUGAUAGGUUCUUGUAUACUAGAAAUGGAAUUGAGCAUAAUUUGAUCACUAAAAGAUAAUUUGUUAUGAGUAACAGGACUCAAGAAGCAACUGGAAGAAACAUCUACAAAGUGGAAAGCAUCCAGACAUAUGAUUCUAAAUAAGUAGGCUUCUUGUGGUUUCUAGUGGAUUACCUUAGAAGAGUCUUAAUAAUAGGUGAAGGAGUAGGAAUAUUAGAAGAUCAGUAGGUGAGGAAUCCUGAGAAUCAGAAAUAGGAGGAAUAGGAGGAUCAUGAGACACAUCCUCAGUAAUGUCACAAAUAUCAUCAGAAAUUAGAGCAUUAUCAGUAAGAUCAAAUUUAUAGUGAAAUGAAAAGGAAUAGACAAAUUAGGUAAAGAAUUAGAAGGAAAAUAAUUGGUAGAAGGCACAUAUUUAGAAAAAGAAAAAUAUUCUUCAUGAAAAACAACAUUCUUGAAACUGAUAUAUAUUCUUAGUUUGAAGAUUCAUGACCUUGUAACCCUUUUUUCCAUAAGGAUAUCCAAUAAAGACACAAGGACAAGCAUUUAGAUCAAACUUACUUCUAUGAAUAGGUAAAGUAGACACAAAACAAAGACAUCCAAAACAUUUUAAGUGAGAGUAAAUAGUCUUAGUUUUAAAGAAGAUUUCAAAAAGUGUUUUGAAUCGCAAGACACUAGAAGGAAAUUUGUUGAUGAGAUAAGUUGAUGUGAGUAAGCAUUCUCUCCAAUAGCUAAUAGGAAGAUGAGACUGAUAUAAAAGGGCUCUAGAGGUUUCCAACAAAUGUUUGUGUUUUCUUUCUACAAUACCAUUUUGUUGAGGAGUGUGAACACAAGUGGUUGAUGGACAAUUCCCUUGAAAAUGAGAAAAUCACUUUAUACUUUACCACUAUCCAAUUCAAAGGCAUUAUCAGUUCUGAUUUUUUUUUUGAAUUGAAUUGAAUUGCCUUUCGACCAUAUGAUUGAAAGAUUCAAUGAUAGUAAAAAUAUUAGAUUUAGUGCUAAGAAGAUAUGUCCAUGUUGCUCUACUAAAAUCAUCUAUAAUGAUAGUGAAAUAUCUAAAACCAUUGUGAGUACUAGUUUUAUAAGACCCCCAAGAACAUAAAUAAACUCAAAAACAGAGGUAGUAGAAAUAUUGCUAGAAGGGAAAGGUAACUUUGACUGUCUAGCCAUAGGAUAGAUAAUACAAGGGGAAGAAAAUUUAGAACAAGAUGUAGAAAUAGGAAAAACUUUUUUCAUAUUACUCAUUGACAUGUGGCCUAAUCUAUAGUGCCACAUCUUUUCUUUUACAUUGGAAUCAAAAUAACUGGAAGAAGAAGUAAAAACAUCUGCUAGAAAAGUAGAAAAAGUAAAACUAUUAAAUUUUGAAAUGGUAGUAUUGCUUGUGGCAACAGUUGGAUCACUGCUCUUAAGAAUAUAUAAACCUUCUUGUUCUUUACCAAGUACCUGAGGGCUUUUCACCGAAGGGCCCUGCAAAAUCAAGCAAGAAUUAGGAGUGAAAAGAAUAGAUUUCUGAAGUUAUCAGCACAACUUAAAAGAAGAAAUAUAGAGCACAUUUUCUUGAAUAAGAUCAGAAAAGAUUUUAACAGAACCUGUACGAGUGACACUGACUUUAUGAGAAUUAGGAAGAGUGACACUCAUAGGUGCAGUAAGAGGAUUAAUGUUAGUGAAGUAACCUUUAUCAGAAGUAAUAUGCUUAGAAGCUCCACUAUUUAGUAUCCAACAACAUUUAUCAAUUUUAAGUAGACAAACAUGAGAUUCAAGAGAUUUAGUUAUACCAGAUGAUAUUAUAUUUGUAGAUGAUUCAGCUGGAUUCUUUUGAUUCAUCUUUUGCAGUAGUGUUAAUAGUUGACUAACAUUUUCUGGUGACAGACUGUUCAAAAAUGCAUGAUCUGAAUUUUCCUAUUGUGAUGCUUCACUUGUGCUAAACACAUUUCCAGCAACAAGUACCUUUUGAUAUCUUUUAGGUUUAGUAAACUUAAAAUCAGAACCCAUGGAUCUUGUAACAUUGCUCUAUGGUGUGUCCUGUUUUCUUACAGUAACUACACACCAAUGAAGAUUUCUUGGUUCCUUUAUUAGGCUUAUACUCAUUGUUUCUCCUUUCACCUCUAUUCCCUACUAGAAAGGAUGCUGAAUCUCUUGAUAAGCAGGAUUAGCAUGGAUCUUUCUUUGUUUUUCAUCCUGAAUUACUAGAGAGUAAGCUUGUCCAAUUGUAGGUAAAUGUGCAAAUAACAAGAUAUUGCUUCUGACACCUAAGAAAGUAUCAGUCGAACCCAUUAAAAACUGUAGUAGUCUUUCAUCUUGAUGAGCCUUAAAGCCCUUUUCCAUGGCACCACAGAUACAAAUACAAGAAAAAGCAGAAAAAGUGCUUAAAACAUCUAGUUCAUCCCAUAAACUUUUCAUCUUAGUAAAGUAAGCAGAUGGAAUUUCCUUGAACAACAGUAUUAAGUUCCUUUUGAAGUUGAAACAACUUAGCACCAUUUGCUUGACCAAAUCUACCUUCUAGAUUUGACCACAAAACUUUGGCACUUUGAGAGUACAAAACUGACUCAACAAUUUCUUUUGAAAGAGAAUUUAGCAACCAAGAUAGUACCAUAUCAUUGCAUCUUAACCAAGCUCUUUUCAUUUUCAGGUCUUUAUCAGCUGGAACAUCUAGAGAUCCAUCAAUGAAUCCUUGUUUGUUCUGAGCAAUAAUCACAGCCCUUCUCCAGCCAACCAUAGUUUCUACCAUCAAAGACAGUAGAAACAAGGUUCAUGCCUGGGAUAUCUGAAGGAUGAAUGCAGAAAGCAUGUGAAACAUGUACUGAUUUAUUUACAACAGCUACUUCAAAAAUUUCAGUAGUUUGUGAAAGGAGAAUCUGAACAUGAGUCAUUUUUCAAAAAAUGGAAGGAAGAGUGAAGACUAUGGAGAAGAAGAUAGGAUCAUUUUUCAAAGUGAGAGUGAAUAUUGACAUUAUUUCCUAACUUUUAUCAUUAUUUUCAUUAAAUUUUGAUGAGGAUGUUUCAGGUGAUUCUACAAACAUGAAGAAAGAAAAAUCAAUGAAGGCUCUGAAAUUGUCUAAUAAAAAAAUAAUCUAUGUAACUAAUACUCAGAAAUCAGAAUUAUUGUUGGUUUCAAAUGAAUUCUUAACUUUACAUAUUAUUAUGUUUGUCACGAGUUAAACUAUCGAGUCGUGCAAACACCUACUCGAACUCAUAGAUGGGAGAAACUUUACCACCAGAUUUGAAAUUGAUAAUGCGAAAGUAAUAACAUAUCAACUUACGAACUAAUUUAGAAAAUACAAAAUUGCUCUCAACCUUGAUAUAAAUAAAAGUACUUUAGUAAAAUGCAUGAACCUCUUUCUAGGAACUAGUGUAAACAUGUUGAAGAGCUUCUAAGAGAAUACCAAACAUUAAAACAAGACAUAUCUCCCACUAAAAAAAAGGAGUAAAAUAUGUUGUAUUCACCCAAAGAAACAUCAUUGACAACCAAACUAUAAGCGAUCUCAUAAUAAAGUCAAACACAAUAGUUAUCUUUUAGUCUUUUGAGUUGAAAUAAUCAUUAUUAUUCAUGAAUAAUCAUCAUGUAAUUUGAUAUAUAUCAUGAGGAAACUACACUUCAUAAAUAUAUUGAUAUUUUAUCAUACUCAUACAAUUGAUCGUAUGAAUCACCAAGAAAACAUGAGUUUUAAGUCAUAUGGAAAAGGGUUGAUAUAAUUUGCAAAAUAAAAGCCAUCUUCCCUAACCAACCAAUAACAUAUAUUACCACGACCUUUACACUUGUCUGAAUCACUUUCAAAAACAUAAAAGGUUUUGGUCUUAGUAACCCAAACAAAUUCACACUUGAACCGAGUUGUCUGCCAAAAAUUCUCACGAAAAUGCCAAUGAUAACCCUCAGGCCCAGGAUUAAGAAAAUGAGUUCCUAAAUCAUUGUCUUUGGACCAACAAUGGACAAACAAAGGAUUUGUUCCAUUAGGGAGGUCACUUACAAUCCAAAUUUGAUAACGAGUUAAAGGACCCUCUGUAGAAGGAGUAGCAACAAUUCCACUCAAGGACAAGAUAAACAAAAAUGAAAUGAUUAGAAUUGUGAUGUAAGAAUUCAUGUUGAGAAAAAAAAAAUAUUAUUUUUCUCUUUUGUAGUUUAAUGAUAAAAGGCUAUUUAUAGUUUCUCGGAAUUAGAUUACAUAACAUAUGGUCAAGAUAUAGUGUGGAGUUAAUUUGUCAAAGGUCAUUCAAUUUGUAGAAAUAUCUCACAUUUGAAUUUUUCUUGUCAAUUUGGUAUUAAAUUAUGCCCAUAUUUUCAUCAAAGUUAAAACUAAGAAAAAGAAUUCAAAAGUCAACUAAAAUUUACGUCUCAUUUAUUAAGAAUUCAAUUUUAAAUACAAUACCCUACAUCCAUUAUAGAAAAUUGGUUGACCCAUUUUUAAUUGUUUAGCAGAUGGAGUAAAAAUUCUCUCGUGUUUGCAAUUUAAACAUUUUGCUAUCUAUGUACCUCUUAAUUGAAAAUAAAUAUAAGCAAUAGAAAAUAAGAAGAGAAAAAAGGAAAAAUAAAAUGCAUAAUUAUUAAUCAUCUCUAUAUUCCAACCCCUUUCAAUAGACUAAAGUGAGUUUGCUCUAAUGGUAAGCACUCUCACAUUCAAUUCGAAGGUUGCGAGUACGAGUCAUCAAGAGAGCAAAAGGAGUGAGAGCUCCAAAGGGAAGGUAAAAAAAAACCUUUCAAUAGAUAAUUUUAGAUAAGUUUCUUUUGAAGUAGAUACACGAAUAUCAAAACAAUACAUUAUAUUGUUAGAUUGAAUUUUAAACAAAAGCAAACAGAACUUAACUGACUAGUACUGAGUGUUAUUGUUGAAUUAGGUCUUAGGCCUAACUCACACCCCAAAAGCUAACUCAAAGGGAGGAGAAUUGCCCAAACUUUAUAAGGAGUUCACCCAUCUCAUAACCACCGAUGUGGGACUUUUAUCAUACUUUAAUACCCCAUCUCACGCCCAAUGCUUAACAUCUAGUGGUGGGUAAUUUUGAUUUUGGGGGUCUCAACAUCGAGUGAGAUGGACCCUGCUCUGAUACCAUGUUAAUUAGUUCUUAGGCCUAACUCACACCCCCAAAAGCUAGCUCAAAAGGAGGAUUGUCCAAGCCUCAUAAGGAGUCACCUAUCUCAUUAACCACCGAUGUGCGACUUUUGUCAUUCUUUAACAGUAUUCUUAUGAAUUAAUAAUACGAAUUUGUAUUGUAUAAAUAACUCAUGCAUCAAUAGAUGAGAGUUUCUUUCAGCAUUUGAAACAAUACAUAAUAACAUUUACUUCAUCCCCUAAAAAGUUUAAACUAUAUCAAAUUAAUUUUAUUUAAUGGAUUAAGAGAUAUUCUGUUUAAAAUUAGAUUCAUAAAAAUAGUUUGUAGACUUCCAUUGAUUUUUCUUUUGAAAAGUGUCCAAUGAAUUCAGAGGAUAACUAGCAAUAUUAGUUUUUUUUGUUGUUGUUUGAAUUCAAUCUAACAGUAUAAUUUAUUGCAUUUCAAAUGUGUGUAGAGAUAAAUAAUAGUUAUGCAUUUCAUUAGUUUUUCUUUUAAGCUAAUCAUUAUUUCCAGUUAAGAGGAACUUCUUAAAUAUAAUUAUUUUUUUUCAAUUGCAAUUUAAGGAAAAUUUUCUCAUUUAUGUAAUUGAAAAUAAUGACAAGUUCUCAUAUUGUAAUACUUAGUCCUUCCUCCAUAUAUAUUUACUUGUGAAACAUUUUUUAAUUUGAUUUCUCUUCUUUCUUUUUUUUUUUUGACAAAUCGAGGAAGAAAUUUUUUUUUCUAUUACACUUUCAAUUAUUAACAAUGAAUUAAUGUCUUUGAAAAAUGUAUUGAGUAAAUAUGUUUGAGACCUUAUUAGUUAGUAAGGGUAAAAUGAUAAAUUUACUAUGUCAAUUAUUAUUUUAUUAAUUAUUGUGUCAAGUCAAAAGUUGACUAGUAAAUAAGGAUUGAGGGAAUAUUAGACUUAACCAAAUGAAAACACAAUUAGCUCAUGAAAAGUCAAAAUUUGACUAGUAAAUAAGGACAAAAGUAGUAUUACAUUUGACCAAUAGUCAAAUGAGAAUACAAAAUUAGCUCAUGAAAUUAUAACUUGUUAAAACUUGGGUUGAUUAGACAACUAAGACAAAGUAUGAAUUGAGUAAAUUGAGUUGUGACCUACUGUAACACCCAAAAAAUUUACAAGGAAAGACAUAAAUUAUUCAAUAACAUAUCAUAACUCACUUUUAAAAUUUGAACCAUUCGUGUAACACCUCAAACUUUGAGAAUUGCUAAAGAGGGUUGACGGGCAAGUCCACACACCAAAAAUGGAUCAUGUAUCCUUCACGACUCCCUAUCUGGACCGUAUAGGGGUCCAUGACACGUUUAGGGCAAGGUGAUCAACCAUCCAGGGCUUCCAAGGUGGGGUCACCUGGAGGGGAUCCUAGACAGCCCGUGGUGGCUUGUAUGGUAUGUUAGGAGUUCGUAGAAGUCACCUAUCAACCUUUAAGUUUUGGGUAUACUUCAUACAAUCAUAUGCCUCAACACAUAAUGAAUUAGGUGAACACGACCUAUCAAAUCAAAGUUAUCUGAGUCACCUUUCCACAAGCCACCAAAUUUGUCUCAUCUGAGUUCAAAGUCAAAUGUUAUGCAAUUUUUAGUGAAGCUCUGUCGGACAGACUAAUUGUUCACAGAUGACUAUAUGGCCCAUGAAGAGUUUUAUGGACCAAAGAGCCUUAAAUGGUCCGUGAAACCUCGCUUCAAGGGCAAUCUAUCUGUUUUUAAAGUUGCAGUCAUUGUGAUCUUUCACCUAUGCGUUUGGUAUUUAAACUACGCUGUUUUAAUCCAUAUUCUAAGUCUAAAAAAUGACGUUUUACCUAGUUAAGGGCUUAUAAAGUGUUAAUCAAUUUAUUUUAUGUUCAGUAACACUUCAAGUCACUAGAAAAAAGGUUCUAAGGGGAAAAAAACUAGGGGUUUGAGCAUUCUUAGAGCUUCGUCGAUUUCUCCAAUAACUUUAUUCUUUCACGUAUGUAAGGCUAUCAUAGUGUUGGAAUAGUUUGUCCUCACACUCGACAUCUACUUUCAAAUCAGUAAACGAAUAAUAUGAGGUUAUAUCCUUAGAUUUGAGUUUUCUUGAGAUGAGUUGAUAUUGAGUUAUGAGUUCUUCAGUUACUUAUUAUUAAAUUAUUUCCUAAUUAUUGAAUUGCUAUAUCUUGCAUUAAGAUUCUUGAAUUGAUUUUUCAUGUUUAUUUUUCCAGCAUCAGCCCUAUUUCUUUGAGUAUUCAUUGAGUUCUUAUAAAAAUCUUUUAAAGAAAACACAAUUGAUUAAACUGAGUUUUGAAAAAGUAAAGUGAAGUUUGAGAAAGAGCUUAACCAAGAUUUAAAUAAGAGUAAAAAGGAACUAAGUAUUUUCCAAAUAUAUCAUUUUUAGAUAAAGAAAGAGAAUAUCUUUUUUUAGAAAAAUUAAAGAAGUUCUCAUAAAGAUUGAGUACUGAGCAAUUACCUCUUACUGAAGCCCUUUUUGAGUAAUUACCUCAACCAAAAAUGUACUUUUAUAUUGAACAAAGAGAAACCUUGUUUUCUAAAUGAAAAAAUAAGUUUCAGAAAUAUUUCAGAGCAGUUACCUCUUUAAAGAGGAUAGUUUGAAUAAUUAUCUCAAACCAGAAAAAGCGUAUUAUUUUAUACAUUUGACAAAGAGUAUAUAUUAUUGGGAUUAGUAUUAAGCACCGAUAUAAGAGAGAGUUCAGACAACUCACAACACCUAUAAACCAUGUCUUGCCCACAUGGCUACAAUAUUUUUUAGAUGAAUCUUUAGUGCCUUCGGCAGAGCUUAGUUGAUCCACUUAAUUGAGAGUUCUAUAUCCCGGUACGAUAUAGGACCAUUCUAAAAGUGUGGAAAAGAUGUAUCAUUACAUAGCUCAUAGUGAUGGUUGUUAGUUUGAAAAUCAUCCAAUAUAGUUAAAGUGUAUUUUCAUAUAACAAUUGUUAUACUGAGUUCAAAGAUAAGUAAGUGUUUUGUAAAGUUUUAAAUGAUUUAAUUCCUUUAUUUCUUUACAUUCAGCUUGAGUAUAUUUUAUCUCUUGCAGUCGUUUCAUUUAGUUAUUUCUUUGGCUAUAUUACAUACUCAUACAUACAAUGUAUUGAUGUCAUUCGAACUGCAUCUUUUUAUGAUGCAUAUAUAUGUGUUUAGGAUCAUCCAUAUGCGCUUCGUGAAGAUCACAUUACACUUCAGAUACCUUGGGUACGCCUCCUUGCAUUUCGGGAGACUUCACAUUUAUUUUCUUGUCAGUUGUAUUGAGAUGUCGUGGGUAUGGUCCAACAUCCAUCUUGAAUAAUAGAGGCUUUAUAGAUAGAUAGGGUUGAAGAAUCUCUCAAUAUUUACUUUUCCUUGAGAUGUUUUGCGAAGUAUUAUACUUAUGUCGUUGAGUAUUUUAAAGACAGUUUGAUUGAGUAUUUACUUUGAGUUCAAAUGUUUUAAAUUUAAUUUUUAAGCCUAUUAUCGCUUAGGUACUCCCGCUAAGUAAUCAGCUAGGAAAAGGGAUGCAUGAGGAUCAAGAUCAAUAACAAUUCUUGAGUGUUGGCUACGUCGAGAGUGUAGGCUCAGAUUGUGACACCGCAUUAUAACACAAAUAAUCCCAAUACAUUUCAUUCCAAUUAACUUUUGAGUGGAUGAAUAACUCAUUUAUUAGCACAGGUCAUCUUGAUUGACCCGAAUUUAGUCCAACCCAUCCAUUUUCCAUCUCUACUAAUAACUGUUGAAAGUAAAUGUUAGGUUGGACCUGUAUAUUUUAUUUUAUGUAAUAAAUAAAUUUUAUAUGUAAGAUCAAUUUAAUUUUCUCCUAUUCAAUUCUCAUUAAUUCAUUGCAUUUCAUCUCUCAAGAGAAAUAAUUUUCUUUCGCCAUUCUCUUUACCUUUGUCAACCAUAUUCAAUCUUUUUGAUAUAUUGUUUUAUAACAUAUUAUCAAUAUGAAACUCUACUUUAAAAAGAAAAUUAUCGCACUUAUUAUACCAUACCAAAUUUUUUGAUACCAUAGUUUUUGAUAUUAUGGUAUAUGGUAUACAUUUUAAUUUUUUUCGUACUUAGAAUAUAUUGAAUACCAUAUAUAUAAUUAAAAUACUAACAAAUAUACAACCUAGUAUUGGUAUAAAGUAAAUGUUUAGAGGUUAAAACUUUGACUAGUCUAUUUUAAUUGAAAUUUAAUUGAUUAACAAGAGUAGUUGUUUGUACUUUAUUUUGAAUGUAUAGUUGUACAUGUGUAAUGUGUUGAUAUGACACAACUGAGACAUUUUUUUAAUUUUCGAGGUCUAAAUAAUCUACUAUACAAUUAUAUAUAUUACUAGACAUUUUAUGAAUUGUGGUUACUGUUUUAUCAUAUCGUAGAAUAUCGAAAUUGAACUUCGAAAUAUCAAACCAUACUAAAUUAAAUUGAUAUGAUAAGAAUAUAAUGUUUUAAAAAUUAAAUACCAAAAUUACGAUAUUAAAAUUUUGAAAUACCAUAUCGUAUCAUACCAUGUGCAUCCAUAUCAUUAUUCCCAAUAAGCCAAAAUAACUCAAAUAAUACUAGUGCCACAACAUCAAUCUAUGAAGCUUUUAUGACAAUUUAUUUUUGUAAUUCAUGUUAGUUAAUUUCAUUUUUCAGUACAAUGACCAACUCUUGAAAAGAAGAGUUAAUCAAAUCAAUCAUCCUAUUAGUUACUCUUCAAUUGCGAUGGUAAGAUAAAACUCAUUUCAUAUUAUUUUUUUUUAUAUUUUUUAUUUUUGUAAAAUGAAAGAAUCAUUUCAAAAGAAAUUUAUGCUCGCCCUUUUGUAGGUGACAUUCUGAAGAAUGAGAAAUUGAUGAUAGCAUCUCAGAUAUUCAACUUUCUUCGCUCCCCGAUUUAUUAUUACUAAUAAAAUGAUAUAAUAAAAAAAAUUAGUAUGAGCUCAUGGAUCUAACAGAAACAAAAUUAUCAUAAAUAAAAUUAUAUGAGUCACGUCUAUUUGGAUCUAUUUUGUUUUUGUAUUCAAUUCAACAGUUCGAGGAAGAUUUAUUGUGUAGUAAUAAGGUAAAAUGUAUAAUUAUUAAAUAAAACAUUCUAAACAAAUGACAUUUUUUGUGUCGUGAGUAGAGUUGUAAAAGAGGGUUAGCCUAGCUCAACCCGGUUCAAGUCUCGCGAGCCAAAUAUUUGAUGGGCUAGAGCGGAUUGAUCCUUCAUUUACAAGGGCCUCAAAAUGCUCAACACAACCUAACCUUUGAAGGACCGCAUCUGGAGUGGGCUAGCCUGUUUUGUCUUUCUUUUUUUCCUUUCAAACUGAAAAUUCUAUGACAUCAAGAAAAUGAGAUUAUUUUAAACAAAUAUGACAAUCAGUGGUAUUGUUUCAAUGACACUAGCAAAAAAUCUAGUGUGAUCAACCUGUAUCUAGGAUACUAGAUACGUGACAUACAUGUAUCCGGUGCGAUGCAUUCCUGAUAUGUGAGCAAGAUAAGGAAGUGGCGAGAUGGGAGGGAGGCGAGAACGCGUGAUUUGUCAAUGUAUCCUAGAUACAUGCGAAUGAACUUAGAUAGAGUGUAUCUAGAACAAAUUACACCUAAUUUUGAAUUCCUAUAUGUAUCCUGAGAUACAUAUAAUUUGACACACCAAAAUCUUGUAAGAAUCGUACUAUCUAAAAUCUAGUAAUAUUCGUACUAGUACAACAUAGCGUGUAUUUAAGGAAUUAGACCAUACGCUGGUGAAAUUUUUGUAAGUUACUCUUAAAUAAAUAGUAACGGCCUAUGAGCUAUCCCAAGUCCGAUCCCGAUCAAGCCUCAAGGGGCAAGGGAUUAUUUGACCUGGAUAGUUUUAAUAAUUACUGAUAGUAGUUAUAGGAAUGAUCUUUUGUAUAAUUCGCUUCUUUUUAAAGUUGUAUACAAAAUCGAAUUCAAUUUUUUUAAGGUAAUGACAAUAAUCUCGAUCGAGAAAAGAUAUAUAAUAUCGUUAUUCGCAGAAUAUUAAAUCGUUAUACUUCAUAUCAAAUACAACACAACUCCUUCAUAGCACCAACCCAGUAAUCACACUUUGUUCUACAAACUACUUUGAAAUAAUGUAGCUUUAUUAAUGUAUACUUGGUCUACCACCAUUGAAACUUGUUUGAUACUAAAUUGUACUUUCUAAUAAAUUAUAUAAGAUACAAUCUGAAAUACAAUGACAAUAACUGUAAAAAUCAUACAAUUUGAAUUACAGAAUACAAUUAUGAAUUUAUACAAGUUUGAUACACUAA